This 138160-nucleotide long non-coding RNA is filed under the name Triticum aestivum (bread wheat). RNAcentral's name for it is "long non-coding RNA (TAES_LNC027588)". The stretch from base 91879 to 91947 matches the Rfam family "tRNA". The record is from RNAcentral. Lineage: Eukaryota; Viridiplantae; Streptophyta; Magnoliopsida; Poales; Poaceae.
GCUCCCAUGCCGCCGUCGCCGGGCCCGCCGGGCCCUCGCCUACCUCGCGCUGGCGGUCACCAUCCUCUUCCAUUGCAUGUACGCCAGCGCCGUCUGGGUCUUCCUCGCCGCCGACCUAGGAUACAUCUUCGGCAGGAUCUACUUCACCACGGGCCUCUGCUUCUUCGUGGUGGGCGACCUCCUCAGCUUCCGGGUCCUCCUGGGUGGUGAGGGGUGGGGCAUGAAGUACGUAGCCUAUUUCUUCUGAUCAUGUUCGUGGAUCAGCUCACUGCGUACUGAUGAGAGCGUGGAGUAUGCAUUAAGUAUGCUGUGACGAUUGAUGGAGUAGUGCCAUAUUUGCGAAUCUAGUAGCUGGUGUAGUGUUAAUUAGUAUCCAGAUCGACUCUAUUAGUAGUUACUCCAUUUGGGCAAUGCUUUGCUGGCUAGUAUAUAAUUAGACUGGAUGGAUUGGUAGAUUGCGGUUAUCUUUGCUGUAUUAUUCAACCCUCUAUGUAUGCAUGUGAUCAUCAGACAUGAGUUAUAUGCUUACAUAGGUCCAGCUUCGCUAUAAUUUGAUGUCUCUGAAAUUGCUGCUGCAGUGUAUAUCUAUGCACACAUGUUGUUUCUGAUGUUAAAUUUUGUUUUUCAUUCAUUCCGGCAACCGCUGGCUUGUCCUCUCGGCUGGGCUGCGUGGGGUGCUCUCAGCUGAGAUUGAGUGACCCCCGUCCCGACCAUGCUUGUGACCAUGCAAUCACAAUUUGAUGUAUGGGACAACAUGAUUUGGAAUGCCCUCCUGCCGAUUGAGGUUCUUUUUUAUGCCUUUUCCUAUAUGGGGAUCCACACGCCGUCACUUGACUUGUGGGAGCGGUUUCACCACAACGCCGUGCAUGUAGCCACAUAUGGCGGAUGUAAUACAAAAAUAAAGAACACAAUGAUCCUCCUUGAACCUUCAAAAAUUAAGUUUCUUCUGAUCGUGGAGUCAAUAUUUAGCUCAUGAGUUAUCAAUCAUCCAAAGAGUUGUGAAAUUGUUCCACAACUUACACAUCCCGGAACGCCUCAAACUAAUGGGGUAUCCGAAAGGCGUAAUUGAACUUUGUUGGACAUGGUCGACUGAGAGAAAUACAUAUUUCAACCUUAUCAACUUCUAGUUUAAUUUACAACCCCAACUCCAAAUAUGAUUAGGACAACGUUCAAUUAACGGCAUAGGACGAUUGGAUGGUGGUUCUGCAUGAUGUAGCAUCUAGGCUAACUAGUCAAGGUUGAUGGCAGCUAGGUCAUAAAAGUAAAAGAUAUUUUGUUUGCCCCACAUAUCAAUACCAUAAUCAUAUAAUCAUAUCGUUCCAUCCUCUAUCCCGCUUCUAUACCCAUAUUUCUCUUCAACUUUAGUGCAAUGUCGUCUCCUUCAUGUUGCCCAUCCCGCUGCAUCGACCUCAUCCGCACAAGUCCUUGGACACGUGUUGCCACGAGUACCUCCCCGCCCCGCCUAUAUGGGGUCCCAUCUCCCCUGCAACGCCACAAACUCCUCCCUGGACCAGAGCUCCUCCACUUGGGAAUGUUGGGGGUUUGCGCGGCUCAGGUGCCGGGCCGGAAGUUGUACGUCGAGAAAUGGCCCGCGGAUAAGUUCAUCCUGUGAUUUGACUACAUCUACGACAUGUUCCACAUGACCAAGCUGGAUUUUUAGUUCAUACACAUGUAUGCGUUGUAUCUCAACUACAUCAUCAGGCGCGAGAACAUGCACUAUAUAUGCGUCGCGGACCCGUACUAUUUGCACGAGAGCUUCUUGGCAGUCUGCAAAGAGCACCAUGACUAUGCGAGCAAGUACAUCGGCGAGUUCAUGAUCGCUAAUAAGGACAAGGAAACGAUUCUCCUGCCUUAUCAUCCCACGUAAGUCAUCCGCGGAUAUCCUUUCGUAAGUUUUAAUCAUUCCUUUGCAAGCAGGGAGGCUANNNNNNNNNNNNNNNNNNNNNNNNNNNNNNNNNNNNNNNNNNNNNNNNNNNNNNNNNNNNNNNNNNNNNNNNNNNNNNNNNNNNNNNNNNNNNNNNNNNNNNNNNNNNNNNNNNNNNNNNNNNNNNNNNNNNNNNNNNNNNNNNNNNNNNNNNNNNNNNNNNNNNNNNNNNNNNNNNNNNNNNNNNNNNNNNNNNNNNNNNNNNNNNNNNNNNNNNNNNNNNNNNNNNNNNNNNNNNNNNNNNNNNNNNNNNNNNNNNNNNNNNNUUUGCACAGCCGGGGGAGGGGGGGGGGGGCAUUCUCAUCUAUCUUUACCCACAAUACUCCCAUGCUCUGUACUUGGACACAUCGAAGAACAUCAAGAAAAAGGAUUACACACACAUAAAGAGUGUUCUCGAUAGUUCCCUGUUAACCUUCAGCCUGUUUGGUGGAUAUAUCAAGGUGAAGAAGUACAGGAAGAACUGGUUUCGGCCAUAAGACCGACUUCUGCUGCAUCCAGCAACAAAACAAUAGUAAGGCUGAUGGAUUCUACCUCAUGCAUCACCUGAUCGAGUACAGAAGGGAUAAUCAACGCCUUCGCAUGUUAGCUACUUCCAACGAUGCCGAGAUUGUCAACUGGGCCACAAGAAUAGGAAGGACACCGGAUCAUCUAAUUUGAGAUGAGUUUUAUCACGUACAGUGUGAACUUGCUCAAGUGAUCAUGACGGAGGUCCUCGAACAAACAUGGAUGUUCUACCAUGGGCCAAUGACGCGGGACGAUGUCCGAGCACUGCUAGUCGCUCAGCGUCUGGACUUGAAGCCUUUCACGAAGCUCAGGUGCUUCCUCCCUGAGUAUGAAGAUUGGUUCGCCGACAUGGAGGAAUGAUUGAUGAUGACACUGUGUCACUACUGUCUUUCUAUGACAAAACUUUGAAUUUAUACACGGCGAAACUCCGUGAUAUAAUUAAACCAUCCUCCUAAACUAGCAUAGAUCGCUCUAGUUAAUUAGUUUGGGUACGAGGAACUUCGUUAUUUAUGUUUACUAUAGGUUUCUUGUAUUUUGCUAAUUAUGCCUCUUUGUGUUUCUCAAGUACAUUAUGUUGCAUAUUACCGUUGAAUUCAUCAACUGACGAUGCAGGUACAUAGAUCAGAGUGAAGGAAAUAUGCCCUAGAUGCAAUAAUAAAGUUGUUAUUUAUAUUUCCUUAUAUCAUGAUAAAUGUUUAUUAUUCAUGCUAGCACGGGAAGCCUCUCGACAGACCCGAGCAGCUCCCGUUCUACCAACCAUGAUGUGAAGAUUACAUGACUAGUACUUGGAAGCCCCAAAGCAAGGGGGCGACUGAUACGUCUCCAACAUAUCUAUAAUUUUUGAUUGUUCCAUGCUAUUAUAUUAUUUGUUUUGGAUGUUUUAUAUGCAUUUAUAUGCUAUUUUAUAUUAUUUGUGGGACUAACCUAUUAACCUAGAGCCCAGUGCCAAUUUAUGUUUUUUUUCUUGUUUUUGAGUUUUCAGAAAAGGAAUAUCAAACGGAGUCCAAACAAUAAAACUUUCAUGGUGAUUUUUCUUGGACCAGAAGACACCCGUAGGACUUGAAGAGGGGGCCAGAAGGUUCGCGAGGCGACCACAAGCCCGCUAGGCGCACCCUAGGGGGGCGCGCCUUGAGGGCUUGUGGGUCCCCCGGAGGUCCUCUAACCCUAACUCCGCCUCUUUAAAUGCCCAAAUAUUCCCAAACCACCAGAAGCGUCCACCAAAAUACUUUUUCAUCUCCGCAAGCCUCUGUUCCCGUGAGAUCCCAUCUUGGGGCCUUUUCCGACGAUCAGGCCGAGGGGGGUUUGAUCACGGAGGGCAUCUACAUCAACCUUGCCGCCCUUCCAAUGAAGCGUCAGUAGUUUACCACAGAUCUACGGGUCCAGAGCUAGUAGCUAGAUGGCUUCUUCUCUCUCUUUGAUCUUCAAUAUAAUGUUCUCCUCGAUGUUCUUGGAGAUCUAUUCAAUGUAAUACUUUUUUGCGGUGCGUUCGUUGAGAUAUGAUGAAGUGUGGAUUUACGAUCAGAUUAUCUAUGAAUAUUAUUUGAGUCUUCUUUGAAAUCUUUUAUGCAUGAUUAAGAUAUCUUUGUAUUUCUAUUCGAACUAUCUAUUUGGUUUGGCCAACUAUAUUGGUGUUUCUUGCAACGAGAGAGGUGCUUAGUUUUGGGUUCAAUCCUGAAGUGUCCUCACCCGGUGACAUAGUAGGGGUAGCGAGGCACGUAUUGUGUUGUUGCCAUCGAGGAUAAAAAGAUGGGGUUUUCAUCAUAUUGCUUGAGUUUAUCCCUCUACAUCAUGUCAUCUUGCUUAAGGCGUUACUCCGUUCUUAUGAAACUAAUACUCUAGAUGCAUGUUGGAUAGUGGUCGAUGUGUGGAGUAAUAGUAGUAGAUGCAGGCAAGAGUCGGUCUACUAUCACAGACGUGAUGCCUAUAUUCAUGAACAUUGCCUUAGAUAUCGCCAUAACUUUGCGCUUUUCUAUCAAUUGUUCAACAAUAAUUUGUUCACCCAUCGUAUGCUGUCUUUAAGAGAGAAGGCUCUAGUGAAACCUAUGGCCCCCGGGUCUAUUUUCCAUCAUAUAUUUUCAGAUGUAUAAACCAAAAACCCAAAAAUACCUUGCUGCAAUUUAUUUAGAUUUACUUUAGUUUGAUCUUUUAUUUAUCUUUUAUACCUAUCUCUAUUAGAUCUCACUCUUGUUCGAGACCGUGAAGGGAUUGACAACCCCUUUUUCGCAUUGAGUGUAAGUGUUUAUUAGUUUGUGCAGGUGAAUAGAUUGGAGACUUGCUUGUGCCUCCUACUAGAUUAAUCCCUUGGUUCUCAACUGAGGUAAAUACUUAUCUCUACUUUGCUGCAUCACCCUUUCCUCUUCAAGGGAAAAAUAACCGCAAGCUCAGGAAGUAGCAGGAAGUAUUUCUGGCGCCGUUGCAGGGGAGGUUCUACAUCAAGCCUACAAAGUACCCAUCAUAAACUCUCAUCUCUUGCACUUACAUUAUUUUUCAUUUGCGUCUCGUUUUCCUCUCCCCCACUUCUAAAACAUUUUCAUAAAAACACAAAAAUAUUUGCCGUUUUAUUUGCCAUCUUUCAGUUUGCCUUUAUGUCUUACUUGGUUUGUUUGCUCGUUCGCUUGGCAUAAUUGUGUGUUUAUUGAAAAUCAGAAACAAAAAGCUUAUGGAUCCUCAUCCACUUGCUAAUAUUUUUAAAAGAUCCAAUUAUUAUGAACCAAUUUCUAGUGAGUUGAGUGCACUAGAUUAUCUUUAUGAAAUUUUGCUUGAGAUUCGUGAAUUUGAAAAUUGUGACGAAGUAUUAAAAGAAGAAAUUUAUAAAGUGAUUCACGAUAGCUGCUUGAAUGAAAAGCAUGAUUGCAAUGAUGUUAUUAUAAAUCCUAUUAAUGUCAAUUGUGUUAAUAUUAAGCAAAACCCUAAUCUUGGGGAUGCUAAUUUUUCUAUGCCCGCUACUUAUUGUACUGAUCAUGAUUGGGGUGAUUCUUCUUAUGAUCUUGAAAAUUUAUUUAAGGCUCAUGACAAAUAUGUUUGCAAUAAUAUUGAAAGUGGGUUUGGAAGAGUGCCAACUCUAGGUAAUGAUGAUCCCACUACUUUGGAGAAUGAUCAAUCUUAUGAAUUUUUUGAUAAAAGUGGGCUUGGAGAGGUCAUGCCUUUAUUUGGUGAUAAUCCCACUAUUUUGGAAGAGUGUCAACUUUCCAUGCAUGCGAUCAUGUAGACAAAUUUUUACGUGAUAGCUAUAUUGUUGAAUUUGAUUAUGAUCCAACAGGUAAUUAUUAUGAGAGAGGAAAAUAUGGUUGUAGAAAUUUUCAUGUCACUAAAUUACCUCUCGUUAUGUUGAGAUUGCUAUUGUUUCCUUCUUCUUCCUUGCAUAUGCUAGUUUUUGCUUGUCUUGAUAAUUUGUUUGCUUAUAAAAUGCCUAUGCAUAGGAAGUAUGUUAGACAUAAACUUGUUUUUCACAUGCUACAUGAUGUUCUCUUUGUGUUUCAAGUGCUAUCUUUCAUGUGAGCAUCAUUAAAAUUAUCAACGCCUAGCUAAGAGGCUUUAAAGAAAAGCGAUUGUUGGGAGAUAACCCAAUAUAUUUAUUUUAUGUUUUUAUGAAAAUACACAUUAUUACCUAUGUAGUAAUUGUGUUUUGGUGUUUUAAUUAGUGUUUGAGCCAAGUAAGACCUUUGGGAUGGUCUACGGUGAUAAUUGAUUUGAUCUUGCUGAAAAACAGAAACUUUUGCGCUCAUUGCCAGAAUUUUAAAAAAUCUCAGAAAAGUUAUUUUGAUAUGAAUUCUUUAAACAAGAUUUAUAUACAAAUUUCCCAGGUUUUCCUAAUUUUUAAGAAGUUGUGGAGUAACAGAAGUAUACGAAAUUUCCAGAUUACUACAGACUGUUCUGUUUUUGAUAAAUUCUGUUUUCUAUGUGUUGUUUGCUUAUUUUGAUGAAUCUAUGGGUAGUAUCGGGGGGUAUAAACCAUGGAGAAGUUGGAAUAAAUUAGAUAUAACACCAAUAUAAAUUAAUAAUGAGUUCAUAACAGUACCUAAGUGGUGAUUUAUUUUAUUAUACUAACGGAUCUGAUGAGUUUUCUGUUGAGUUUUGUGUUGUGAAGUUUUCAAGUUUUGGGUAAAGAUUUGAUGGACAACGGAAUAAGGAGUGGCAAGAGCCUAAGCUUGGGGAUGCACAUGGCACCCUAAGGUAAUAUUCAAGGACAACCAAGCAUCUAAGCUUGGGGAUGCCCCGGAUGGCAUCCCCUCAUUUGUCUUGAAUCCAUCGAUAUGUGUUUUGCUUGGAGCGUCUUGUAUGAUAUGAGUCUUUGCUUUUUAGUUAUCCACAAGCAUCCUUGUUGUACAAACCUUUUGAUAGGGACACACAUUCAUCGUGAAUUUGUUAAAAUACCCUAUGUGCUUCACUUAUAUCUUUUGAGCUAGGCGGUUUGCUCUAGUACUUCACUUAUGUCUUUUUAGAGCACGGCGGUGGCUUUAUUUUAUAGAAAUUGUUGAACUCUCAUGAUUCACUUAUAUUAUGUUGAGAGUCUUAAAUAGCAUAGUAAUUUGCUUAGGCUAUGAAUUUAGUCCUAAUAUGAUGGGCAUCCAAGAGGGAUAUAAUAAAACCUUUCAUGUAAAGAGCAUUGAAUAGAUGAGAAGUUUGAUUCCUUGCAUUUGUUUUGAGAUAUAAAUAUGGUGAUAUUAGAGUCAUGCUAGUGAGUAAUUCUGGAUUGGUAUAAAUACUUGUGUUAAAGUUUGUGAUUCCCGUAGCAUGCACGUAUGAUGAACCGUUAUGUGAUGAAGUCGGAGCAUGAUAUUUUUUUUGAUUGUCUUCCUUAUGAGUGGCGGUCGGGAACGGGCGAUGGUCUUUUCCUACCAAUCUAUCCCCCUAGGAGCAUGAGUGCAGUACUUUGUUCCAAUAGCUAAUAACUUUUUGCAAUAAGUUUGUGAGUUCUUUAUGACUAAUGUUGAGUCCAUGGAUUAUACGCACUCUCACCCUUCCACCAUUGCUAGCCUCUCUAGUACCACGCAACUUUCGCUGGUGCAUUAAACCCACUAUAUACCUUCCUCAAAACAGCCACCAUACCUACCUACUAUGGCAUUUCCAUAGCCAUUCCGAGAUAUAUUUCCAUGCAACUUCCACUGUUCCGUUUUACUAUGACACGCACCAUCAUUGUCAUAUUGCUUUGCAUGAUCAUGUAGUUGGCAUAGUAUUUGUGGCAAGGCCACCGUCCAUAUUUAUUAUACAUGUCACUCUUGAUCAUAGCACAUUCCGGUACACCGUUAGAGGCAUUCAUAUACAGUCAUAUCUUGUUCUAAGUAUUGAGUUGUAAUUUUUGAGUUGUAAGUAAAUAAAAGUGUGACGAUCAUAAUUAUUAGAGCAUUGUCCCAUGUGAGGAAAGAAGGAUGGAAACUUCCCUCACAAGUUGGGAUGAGUCUUUGGACUUUAUAAAAAAUAAAAGAGGCUAAAGAAGCCCAAACAAAAAAAGAGAGAAAGAAAAAAUGAGAGAAAAGAGAGAAGGGACAAUGUUACUAUCCUUUUUCCACACUUGUGCUUCAAAGUAGCACCAUGAUCUUCAUGAUAGAGAGUCUCCUAUUUUGUCACUUUCAUAUACUAGUGGGAAUUUUUCAUUAUAGAACUUGGCUUCUAUAUGCCAAUGAUGGGCUUCCACAAAUUGCCCUAGGUCUUCGUGAGCACUUAGUUUUUUUUAUUGAGCUUUCAUACACUUAUAGCUCUAGUGCAUCCAUUGCAUGGCAAUCCCUACUCACUCGCAUCGAUAUUAAUUGAUGGGCAUCUCCAUAGCCCAAUAAUUUGCCUAGCUGAUGUGAGACUUUCUCCUUUUUUGUCUUCUCCACAACCAUCAUAUUCUAUUCCACCUAUAGUGCUAUAUCCAUGACUCACGCUCAUAUAUUGCGUGAAAGUUGAAAAAGUUUGAGAACACCAAAAGUAUGAAACAAUUGAUUGGCUUGUCAUCGGGGUUGUGCAUGAUGAAAUACUUUAUGUGAUGAAGAUGGAGCAUAGCCAGACUAUAUGAUUUUAUAGGGAUAACUUUCUUUGGCCAUGUUAUUUUGAGAAGACAUGAUUGCUUUAUUAGUAUGCUUGAAGUAUUAUUUUUAUGUAAAUAUUAAAGUUUUGUUUUGAAUCUAAUGGAUUUGAAUAUCCAUGCCACAAUAAAGAAGAGUACAUUGAUGAAUAUGUUAGGUAGCAUUACACAUCAAAAAUUCUGUUUUUAUCAUUUACCUACUCGAGGAAGAGCAGGAAUUAAGCUUGGGGAUGCUUGAAACGUCUCCAACAUAUUUAUAAUUUUUUAUUGUUCCCUGCUAUUAUAUUAUCUGUUUUGGAUGUUUUAUACGCAUUCAUAUGUUAUUUUAUAUUAUUUUUUAGACUAACCUAUUAACCUAGAGACCAGUGCUAGUUUUUGUUUUUUCCUUGUUUUUGAGUUUUACAGAAAAGGAAUAUCAAACGGAGUCCAAACGGAAUAAAACUUUCGUGAUGGUUUUUCCUGGACCAGAAGAUAGUCGUAGGACUUGGAGAGGGGGGCACAAGGUCCGCGAGCCGAGCAAAAGCCAGCUAGGCGCGCUCUAGGGGCGCCCUGAGGGCUUGUGGGUCCCUCUGGGGUCCUCUAACCCUAACUCCGCCUCUAUAAAUUUUCAAAUAUUCCCAAACCACCAGAAGCAUCCACCAAAAUACUUUUCCGCCGCAGCAAGCCUCUGUUCCUGUGAGAUCCCAUCUUGGGUUCUUUUCCGAUGAUAUGCCGGAGGGGGAUUCGAUCACGGAGGGCAUCUACAUCAACCUUGCGUCCCUUCCGAUGAAGCCUGAGUAGUAUACCACGGACCUACGGGUCCAUAGCUAGUAGCUAGAUGUCUUCUUCUCUCUCUUUGAUCUUCAAUAUAAUGUUCUCCUCGAUGUUCUUGGAGAUCUAUUCAAUGUAAUACUUUCUUGCAGUGUAUUUAUUGAGAUCCGGUGAGUUGUGGAUUUAUGAUCAGAUUAUCUAUGAAUAUUAUUUGAGUCUUUCUGAACUCUUUUAUGCAUGAUUAAGAUAUCUUUGUAUUUCUUUUCGAACUAUCGAUUUGGUUUGGUCAACUAGAUUGGUUUUUUCUUGCAAUGGGAGAGGUGCUUAGGUUUGGGUUUAAUCUUGUUGUGUCCUCACCUAGUGGCAUAGUAGGGGUAGAGAGGCACGUAUUGUACUGUUGCCAUCGAUGAUAAAAAUAUGGGGUUUUCAUCAUAUUGCUUGAGUUUAUCCCUCUACAUCAUGUCAUCUUCCUUAAGGCGUUACUCCGUUCUUAUGAACUUAAUACUCUAGAUGCAUGCUGGAUAGCGGUCGAUGUGUGGAGCAAUAGUAGUAGAUGCAGGCAGGAGUCGGUCUACUUGUCACAGACGUGAUGCCUAUAUCCAUGAUCAUUGCCUUAGAUAUCGUCAUAACUUUGCGCUUUUCUAUCAAUUGCUCAACAGUAAUUUGUUCACCCACCGUAUGCUAUCUUCAAGAGUGAAGCCUCUAGUGAAACCUAUGGCCCCCAGGUCUAUUUUCCAUCAUAUAUUUUCAGAUCUAUCAACCAAAAAAUCCAAAAAUACCUUGCUGCAAUUUAUUUGGAUUUACUUUAGUUUACUCUUUUAUUUAUGCUUUAUACCUAUCUCUAUUAGAUCUCACUAUUGUUCGAGACCGUGAAGGGAUUGACAAGCCCUUUUUCGCGUUGAGUGCAAGUGUUUGUUAGUUUGUACAGGUUCAUUGAUUGGAGACUUGCUUGUGCCUCCUACUGGAUUGAUACCUUGGUUCUUAACUGAGGGAAAUACUUAUCUCUACUUUGCUGCAUCACCCUUUCCUCUUCAAGGGAAAAAUCAACGCAAGCUCAAGAAUUAGCACAGACUAUAUUAUGGCGGGGGUUAAAGAAGAGCAUUACUUCAGCAGAGACGAGGAGAUUUACGCUCAAUUUGAAGAAUUAUUCUAGUUAUACAAUAAAGAAGAGCAUUAUUUUAGUUAUGCCAAAGAUGUCAUAUGCAAUUUUUUCAUGUAACUUGCUUUGAAAUAUCUUAGAUAUAGUAUAUGAAUAUAUUUAAAAUGAUAAAGUAGUAUAUAUAGUACCACAUGAUAGUAUAUGAGACAUGUGGGUUAACUAUCCCCGGGUGGUAGGAUGAAUUUUCCCUAUAUAUAUAUAUAUCGAAUGUCUCGCACCACCAUUCACACAUAAACAUGUAUAUAUACAAUUUGGUAUAUACAAUUUCUCCUACAAUUUGUAGAUCAUUACAUGGAGACAUUACUGCGAUAUCGGGUAAUGGAAUUCUCCUUUGGGAUCUAUGAACUGGUUGAACAAAAAUCCCGUUAUUUCAUGUUGAAGUGCUCCUACGCGAGCCUCCAAUAGGAGUCGAUCCCGCAUCUCCUUCAUCUUUAAAGAAGAAAUCAAAAUACACAUGUAUUAUUAGUUGUGUGUAUAUUUGAUAAUGAUGUACAAAAUUGUGAAUAGUGUUCUGGCAAACGUACCCAUUGGUCUCUAUCAGUUCUGGUCCUUUUGGUAGUCAUCAUGCGAAUGUUCUCGCAAAUGUAGAAUGAACAUAAAUCAGUCCCCGACGCCUGCUUCAGGGCCUUUAUGAGAAUAGAAUUCAAUCAGAUAAUAAUUAGUCAAGCAUGAUAGUUAAUGGUAUUGAAACUAGAAUUAAAGAGAUGGUAGCUAGCUGGUACUAGCUACUUAAUUAAUUACCUUGGGUCGGAUCCAUUUCAUCUCUUUUUUCCAUGAGCCAUCAACCUAUUUGAUGAGCUUUUGCCAAGACGUGCCCGCCGGCAAAUAAAAUGAAUAAAGGAGUUAUUAGUUAUUGAUAUCAGGAAAUGACAAACUAAAGAGGCCGACAUGUAGUUCGAUAAUGAUUGAAAUUAUCUGUUGACCAUCCCCUUCACGAUUUCGUAGUCACUAGCUUUUUUAAAUAGUGAGUCCAGUACUUGAACUUUUCCCUCGUCAACUUCAAUGAUUAACAAGAUCCAGUGGAAACUGCAUGCACAUACAUUUGCAUGUAUAAUUAAGCGGGUAUGUGCAUAACUCAUCAACUACCCUAAACCCUAUACACUUAUUAACAUCAAGCUAGUAAGCAAAAACACAAUUUGUAGUACAAGACAGUGUGACUCACCCGAAGUUGUAAGGAAGUAGAAUUUUUGGACAGGCAUUUAGGUGCUUCAAGAACUCUAGCAAGAUUUUCUCUGUGUAUGGUCGAUCAUAUUCUUGUGACCAUGUCUUUUCAUUAAUGAUAUUUGGGUCAAUGAACCCAAUGCCAUAGCGUCCAACUUUUUUCAUUUCAAACAUCUUCAUUCUGCAUAAUACCACAGAAGAGAAUAUAGUGAGGAUAAUUACAGGUAAUGAAUAGAACAAGCACUACAGCUAGCUAGAGAACUAAAUUAAUUACAAAAAGAAACCACUUACAAACUAUAGCAACUGACGACAGAUUUGUCGAGUGCGUCUUGAUUGAAUAACUGAAAUAUUUCUUGAAACUCAACCCACAGAUCUUUUCCAUGGUAGUAGUACUCUUCGGCGACUUUCACCAUGAGGGACUCUUGAUCGGUAGUCUUGGCUUCUUUCAUGUACCAUUCAUGCAAUUGAUACAUUCUCGUUAAUAGAGGCUUGACCUCCUUGGGCUUCACCAGAGGCUGGCCAUGGGCAUAUUUCCAUUUUAUGUCCUCCUCAUUAAGCAUAUCCAUGGGCUCGAUCUCUAGUAGUUGAUAAAUAGUGACACCGGCCUCUUCAGCCAUCCUUCUAUGAGCGUCGGUUAUUACCAACUGAUCAGCGCCGGUACUCACAUGUGUUGGUACAAUGAGCGGGGGGGGGGGGGUCGAUUGCACCGCCUAUUCUCCAAACUGGGGAACAACUUUCCCGCUUUUUUAGCAGCUGCUUUGCUGGAGCUCGAGCUCGACUCCUUCUUUUUUCAUGCUUGAUAUGCCUUCCUAAUUUGGUGCUCAUAGUCUGAGUCAACAUGCUUGCGAGCUGGUGGUUGAGCCAUACGAAUAAAGUGGUCAAUGACAUGCUCGCACUUUCUCCUUUGGCGGCGGUGGCAGUUUUGGUCCAAAAUGGGUGUCCAACUAGGCCCUGCAUUCGGCUUCGUUUUCCUUGUCAGUCAUGUCGUAAGGCCUCUUCGAAAGAGGCGUGAGGCUUGGACCAAAUUGGUAUCUCUUGCCUCCUAUAAUUGUACCGCUAGCCGCCAUAGCUGCGGCGGCUCUCUUCUGUUGUUGCUUAGGCAGGGGAGCCCGGUGACGCGGCAAAGAUGGCUGAUGCGGUGCCUGACUUGGAGGAGGAGGAGGAAUGGGCUGACGUGUUGCCGGACUUGGAGGAGGAGGAGUGGGCUGACGCGAUGCCGGACUUGGAGGAGGAGGAGUGGCCUAACGCGUUGGCGGACUUGAAGGAGCAGGACUCUGCUGAGGCGGUGGCUGAUGGCUUGCAGGAGCAGGAGUCUGUUGACGCGGUGGUGGACUUCGAGGAGGAGUCAGCUGACGCGGUGUCGGUGGCCUUGGAAAGAUGAUGCAAGCCUUUCUCCAUAGAAUGAUAUGAUGUAUGACCUCUCCCAAUGUGUGCUCGUCAUCACCUCCAGGAAUGUCAAGCUCUAGCCCCGAAUAUUGUGACACCACUUCAUCAACCACGACACGAGCAUAGCCAGCUGGUUGGGUUGCAAUGGAAGGUUGCUUCAAGGGGAUUUGUAUAAGCAACGGCGUCUGCCACCUUCAUGGAUAUGUUCUUCAUUUUGAAGUGAAGCUCACAAUUAGUGUUAUCCAUGAUGUCAUCCAUAGGGUACCUAUCCUGCAGUACCUCAUCGCCCCGGGCGGAACCCACGCUUCUUCUCGGCAUGGAUGGGAUGGUGCUAUCAGAUGCUGGAUCUGCUAGCUGCUGGUAGAGACCCCUUUUCCUGGCUAAGUGAGUCGAUCUGCUGUUGCUGCCACUGGAAUUGGAGUGCCAACUCUGCGUGCCUUGAUUCUAGGCCUUGAAGGCAUUCUGCUUCCUGCUUCCUUUGCUCCUCCUCCAGCUUCCUCUUCUUCUUCUCCUCCAUCUUCUUUCUCGCACAACUUCUGUAGUCGGCAUUCCAGUCGUCAAACCCCUCAUACCACGGAACAAUGCCUUUGCCUCGUGUUCUUCUCGGGUGUUUAGGAUUUCCUAGGGCACGCGUAAGCUCGUCGUUCUCACUGUUGGGCGUGAACACCCCCGUUCGAGCCUCUUCUAUUGCAUUGCAACAAGUAAUUUCAGGUCGGCUCCUUUAAGACUUGCCUUCUCCAAAACCUAGCAUGUCUUUGGGUCCAAUGUCCCCCCAUGCGCAUAGAGCCAAGUCCUGCACCUGGGGGCCAGCUCAAUGUAACUUGAAUGAUCCCUGCAUCAACCACCUAUUACUCAUCCUUAUCCCACUUAGGCCGGGCCACCGCGUAGCCACCUGGCCCCAGCUUAUGGUAAUGCUCCUUUUUCGCGGCAUUGAUCUUGUUUAUUCUCGACCGUUCCUUAGCUAUUUCCGAUUACUUGAAUUUCACGAAAGCGGGCCAGUCAUCUCUUUGCUUCUCUAGUGUUCCUGUGAAUUCUGCAGUCUUCUUUCCUCCUUCAACGUACUUGGCCCAUAUAAUUUUCUUGUGGUUGUUGAAUGCAACUGCCAUCUUCCUAAGAGCAGCGUCCUUGACUUUCUGCACAUCUGCAUCUGUGAAAUGAUCUGGUAGGGUGAAAUGUGACGUGAGAGAUUCCCAAAGCAGAUCUUUUGCUCUUUGGUCAACAAAAGUAAGAUCUGGACGUUUCUUUGCUGGCUUUUUCCAUUCUUGAAUGGAGAUCGGGAUUUGAUCCUUCACAAGAACUCCGCACUGACGAAUGAACUUGCCCACAUUCUUCUUAGGCUCACUUGGUUCGCUAUUAGGUUUGAUGGCAUCGAUUGUGUACUUUACGCCAUACUUCAACUUUUUGGCCGGGCCUCACACUGCCCUGCUGCAUGUAGAAGAUUUGCUCGAUCCGGAGGGCUGAAUGAAGAAAGAUCGAUUCGUUAAUAUAUAUACAAAUCAUUUAAAACAUGUGAUGAUCACCAGAUGCCCGCUUAUAUAAAUAUACCUCGUCGGUCUUUGUUAUUUCAAGAUCAACAUCUUCUUCGUCAUCAUAAUCAUAGUUCUGGACUUCAUCUAUUUGUUUGUCUUCAUAAAAUAUCAUACCCUCACCGGUAGGGUUCAGAUAUUGCGAGCCGUCAUCUUCUUCAAACUCAUCUGGGCGAGGGCAUGAGCGUAUGAUGUUGAACAGGGCCUCCUCUCCUUCUCUGCCGGUAUUGUCCAUAAUUUUUAUUUAACUAAUCUAGAAGAAAUAUAAAACAAUUUAGUAUUCAAAUUACAAUGCAUGCAUGCAAUCAAUAAGGAAAAACUGAACCAUAGUACAUAAUAUGCAUCAUCGAAUAUAAUCUCGAAUACAUCGUCUUGAAUAUUAUUGAAUAAUAUAUAUAAUAUCGAAUACAUCGUCUUGAUUAUUAUAGAAUAAUAUAUAUAAUCUCGAAUACAUCGUCUCAAAUAUUAUCGAAUAAUAUAUAUAAUCUCUAAUACAUCGUCUCGAAUAUUAUCGAAUACAUCACUAGCUAGCUAAUAUAGAUCGAAUACUAUCGAAUAAUCUAGUUCACUCGUGGUUCCUGAGGCGCGGGCGGUGGACACCCAAAGAGAAGAAACCAUCACAUGAUCAUAACUCGGGUGAGAUCCCCAAAGAACCUGCCAGUAUUGGAGAACCUGACGUCCAACACAACCAUGUAGCGAUGGACGUGCUCGUCCUCCUCCCUAACACAGUGACGUACCACCUCCGGCGGGGCCAGCUCCCUCCACACCGAAAGUGGCUCAUGCGAACGCCACCAAAGGAGCUCUGGGUCUAAGACGGGACCCGGGGCCGGGUACGUCACCAAGCGGUGCGCCCCUAAAGGUAGCACCUCCCAGUGCCAGCCCGGCGGAGCCCAGUCCCGGACAUGGCUCCUCUGAAGCAGGACGUCGUCGCGAACGGGUCGACGGCGAGGAUGUGGGCCGGGCAUCGUUGACAUCGAGAACAAAUUCUAUAUGCAAAUGUAACAUUUUUAAAUGAUUGGAUUAUUGUGAUUUAUUAUAUAGAAAUUCUGUAUGCAAAUUCUAUAUGAUCAAAUGUUGCAUAUGUCAAAAUUCAAACUUUGACAUAUGAUAUCUAGCUAGCUAGCUAGCUAAUUCAUCUAACAUUAAUAUAUCUAGCUAAUUCAUCUAACAUUUGACAAAAAGUAUAAGAAACUAAUUCAUCUAACACUAAUAUAUCUAGUUCAUCUAUAAGUAAAAAUAUAAAAAACUAAUUCAUCUAACAUUGCUAUCUAAUUCUUCUAACAUUUGACAUUAAUCUAAUUCAUCUAAAACUUGACAUUAAUCUAACAUAUAUAUAUAUAUAUAUAUAUAUAUAAUUCAUCUAACAUUUCUAUAACUAAAAGUAUAAAAAACAGAAAAACAAAAAAUAAUUAAGAAAGUGUGUGUGUGUGUGUGUGUGUGUGUGUGUGAGGCGGCAGGGGACGGGCCGGGGCGGCGCGCGACAGGGAUGGGCGCGGAGAUGGGACGGCGACGGGGACGGGCGCGGCGAUGGGAUGGCGACGGCGCACGACGGGGGCGGCGACAGGCCGGGGUGGCGACGGGGACGACGACGAGGACGGGCGCGGCAAAGGGGCAGAGGUUAAAGCAGUGGAAUAAGAGAAGAAAAAUGAUAUUUUUUGAAGUGCUGCUUAUAUAGGAUGGACCUUUAGUACCGGUUGGAGCCACCAACCGGUACUAAAGUUCUAUUUUGGCCAGGCCAAGCAGUGGGAAGCGACCACCUUUAGUACCGGUUGGUGGCUCCAACCAGUACUAAAGACCCCCCCUUUAGUACUGGUUGGAGCUACCACCCGGUACUAAAGGGGUGAGCUGGUACAGGUGCGGUGCGGACAAGUUUAGUCCCACAUCGCUUGUCGAGGGGCGCCUGCACCAGCUUAUAAGCCCCGCCGCGGCUGCUGUCUCGAGCUCCUCUCUAAUGCAGGCCCUCUAGGCCUACUCUGUUGCGAUGCCCUGUUGGGCCUACUGGGCCUGCAUCCUGGCCCAACUACAGGUUGGGUUUCUAGUCAUAUGCAGGCCGUUGUGGCCCAGUAGGCGAGCUUUUUUUAUUUUUUUUUCAUUUUUUUCUUUUCUGCUUUAUUUAUUUUCUUUUAUUUAUUUCUAAGUCAUUUUUGUUGUAUUUUGAGUUUCUUUGUGAAUAUUUUUCCUUAAGGUACAAAAAAUUACAAACUUUCCGUUAGUGCUGGUAGUUUUCAAAUGUGAAUAGUUUAAAUUUGAAUUAAUUAAAAUUUGUGUGAAUCACUAGUUUGUGAAUAACUUUACUUUUAAAAUAGAUUUUUUCAGUGAUUAUUUUUAUUAUGUUUAAUAUUAGUGUGUUUUAUCAUUAUAUUCAAUUUGGUAAUACUUAGGUUAUUGAAAUGCCUUUGCAACAGAUGAGUUUUCGUCCGAAACCCUGAUACUUCGAAAGAGAUUGUCCAUUUUAUACACGAAGUGCAUCCAGUUUUUUCCGUAACCCUCUCAAAUUUUUUACACAUGCUAUGUGGGUGAAAUGAUGAUACCAUGCCAACUUUCAACCUUUUCAGAGUUCAUUUGUAGUGCUUUUCAAUUUCAUGGUCAUUUAGCUCAAAAAAUCAGUAAAUGCAUGAAAAAUAGCAAAUGAAGUCAAAAAGGGUUGAAAGUUGAUGACGUGGCUUUCAAUGGUCCAUACUGAAUGCACAAAAGUCUGGGGUUGAAGUAAGUUAAAAAAUGAAAUGCCUUUGUAACAGAUGAGUUUUCAUCCAAAACCCUGAUACUUCGAAAGAGAUUGUCUAUUUUGUACACGAAGUGCAUCCAGUUUUUGCCGUAACCCUCUCAAAUGUUUUGCACAUGCUAUAUGGGUGAUGAUACCAGGACAACUUUCAACCUUUUCAGAGUUCAUUUGUAGUGCUUUUUAAUUUUAGGGUCAUUUAGCUCAAAAAUCAGUAAAUGCAUGAAAAAUAGCAAACGAAGUCAGAAAGGGUUGAAAAUUGAUGAUGUGGCUUUGAAUGGUGCAUAUUGAACGCACAAAAAGUCUAUAGUUGAAGUAAGUUUAAAAAAAUGAAAUGCCUUUGUAACAGAUGAGUUUUCGUCCGAAACCCGGAUACUUCGAAAGAGUGUCGGAUUUCGGGUUCCUGCAGACCCUAAAGGUUCGAACUCUGGGGUGCACGCGGUGAUCACACCUCCUGCCUACCUACGUCUCGUCGCCUCGCAAGGAUCUAAACUACACGAAGAACAACAUAAGGGACACGAGGUUUAUACUAGUUCAAGCCACCAUUGUGGUGUAAUACCCUACGUCUAGUUUGUGGUGUGGUGGAUUGCCUCAGGGGCUGAUGAUGAACAAUACAAGGGAAGAACAGCCUCGCGAUGGGCUGUUCUUAGGAUGGUGCGAUGAACUGCUUGGGUGAGUUUAGUCGCUUCUCUCGCUCUCUAGCCUGCCCAAAAUCUCGAUCCCUCACUCUGCGGUGGCUAGCUCUAUUUAUAGAGGGAGGCCCUGGGCCUCUUCCCAAAUAUUGAGCGGGAAGGGCGCCAAGAAUUGGCCAUUUUGAAGGGGAACAUCUAGUACACUUAUCCUGACUAAAGUUGGUCCUCGCCUGCCAAAGACUCUGACGAUGACGCCUUCCUGGGCUCCACGAUGACCUCCAUCCUGCAGUUCUACCGGUCUUGAUCUUGUUGCACCGAAAUGGUUGCCCUUGCUUGAUAAUCUUGCCUGCGCUUGCCCCCUUUGCACCAAAGAGGAAACAAGGACUCUGCGUAGGCCGGCGCCCGCCUGGCGCCCGCCUGGCCUCGGUCAUCAUGGCUUGCGUCAUGGGCACCUCGUGAGGUACCCUGCCUUGAUCUCUCCGCCUCCUCGCGAGCCAGCCUGACGAGGCUGUGCCCGAGGAAGCUUCCUGUCACUCGCCCCGCGAGGCUUGGCCCCUCGCGAGGGUCUUGAGUAUGUGUCGAUGAAGAUGGACCGUACUGGGCCACUCCCUCGGCCACGCCGUAGGCCGCAGGCAGGCAAGCCUAGGUACCCCCUUUCCCAGAACGCCGACAGUAGCCCCCGGGCCCAAGGCACGCCUGGACUUGGCUUAGCAGAGAAGCGAAGGGGAAAGUGCGAAGCGCCGCGGGCCCCAUCAGCCUGCGGCCUUGGGUGCCACGUGGCGGUUUAUUGGACGUGUGCGUCCCCGCUUCCGCACGAUGCCUCGGCAGCUGCACGAAUUGACAAGAGAUCAUUACCCGUCCAGGCUUACCUUCUUUGCCUCUUCUAGUCAUUGCCCAGAUCCCCUUUCUCGCUCCUAUCCUUCUUGCUUCCGAAAUCCCCAGAUCUACUCCAACCCUGCAUCUUAGCAAGGCAUGGCGCCUCGGCAGACCCCGGCUGGAGCUUGGUACUCGCCCGCUCUGGAUCCUCCAAAUGUGUCGGAGAAGAAUCUUGCCCGGACGUGCCAGAUGAUGGCGGUGCAAGGCAAUGAUGGAGCGGCCGUGCUCAAGGUUGGUUCCGCCCUUCCCGAGGACAAAGGGAGCACCUUCUACCCGCUCUUCGUGAGCGCCAUCGCCGCCGGUCUGGUGCCCCCCUUCUUCGAGUUCUUCCUUUCUGUUCUCCGCCAUUACAACCUGCAAGCUCUGCAUCUCCAUCCCAACUUUGUUCUUCUCUUGGUGAUUUUCGCCUACUACUGCGAGGCUCAUGUUGGGGUAAGGCCCUCGGUGGCCUUGCUGCGCCAUUACUUUUACCUCCGGGUUUCUCGCGGCCCCAUCACCACGUGCACGAGCUUUGUUGCAUAAAUGCCAGCUCCAAUGCUAUCUCGAAGCCCGGGAAGAGGAUUGAAGGCUUUAGGAGCAAGUGGGUCAUGGUGGAUGCUGGGCGCAUCCAUCUCCGGCUGAUCCUGCCCACGAGGCAGCCCGAGGUCGCCGACGCUUGGUCCCGCGCGGAACUCGUCGAUCCCCGCGCGAAGCCGGUGCUGGAGAAGAUGGACGCGGACCUGUAGCCGGGAAACAUGGCGACGGCGAGGCUGCCCGGGGCGUCGCUCCUGAGGGAGUUCCUGGAGCACCGAGUGGCUCCGCUCUGGGAACACCCGCUCCCGCUGUGGAGGCUCGGGGGGACCGAUGCCGCCCUUCGCCUGAGCUCCGUAGUCCUGGCCGACGAAGAUCUGGCCGCGGUCCUCCAAUCCUUGGUUGGGGGAGACGUGGCGAGAUUGGAGGGUGCUCAUGUACCCCUGUUCCUUCGGGAUGAUUGGGAGCGGGUGGUGAACUCCAUGCCCGCUUUCAACGGGGACGGGCCUGUGCCCGCGGAGGUUCCUGAGGACCUGGCGGCCCUGGCGAUGGUGAACGUGUCCUCCGGCGACUCCGGCAGAGAGGAGGAAGAAGAGGAGUAGGAAGAGGAGCCCGAUUCCGAGGCGACCGACAAGGAGUCGAGAGCGCCCCUCCCUCGACGCAGGUCCCGCGCCCUUCACCUCUUGCCGGAUGACGAUGAGGAUGGCGAUGAGCGAGGCGGCGAGAGCUCGCCCCUGAUCCCGAAGAAGGACAGGAUGGGGCUGGUUCCCCGCGGGCCUGCUCCGGCUCUGAGGCAAUCUGCAGACGUGCCUCCUGCUCCCGAGUCUCCUGAGGUUGAUCCCAGCAGCCGGCUCUCGGGCUUCAAGUUCGGCCGGAGGUUGCUUGAGCCCGCGGGCGAUGACCAGUAAGUGCUUGAUUCUCGUUUUGCUUCUUGUUUUGUUGCUGAGGCUUAACGUCCAUACUCCUUGGCUAGUCCGGUGCCUGCGGCGAAAAAGCUGAAGGGGGCCCCUAAGGCUUUGUCUGGGGCAGCACUUCCAUCCGCGGGAGAAGGGGGCGGCAAGGCCCGGGCCUCUCCUGCUCGGCCAUCCUCACGAGGCCAGGCAGGGCGUGCCAGGGCGAGCUCAGCCCCCGUGGCCCAAGCGACUCCCGAGGUGUCCUCGCCUGACGCCACUGCCGCAGUCAUCGGGGCGCAAAAAGUCCCAACUCACGGCGCUGUGAUCACGCUGCCGUCUUCUCGUCCUACUCCGCCAACUGCCAUUUCUCCGACUCCUUCUACUGUCCUGGAUCGUGCUGCUGCUGAGCUGGACCGGCUGCGAGAAGAUCUUCGGGGCGCCGACCCUUGCUUUGUGGCCGGGCGCCUGGAGCUGGCCUCCGGCUGGGUCCGCUCUGAUGCUUCAGUUCGAGCAGCACUGGUUCAGGCUGCGACGGCUUGCGACGAGGAGAAGCAGGCCACCCUUCAGGCCAAGGCCGCUCGCGACACUGCCUUGGGUGAGGUUGCGGAUGUCCGAGGUCGCUGCAAGGCGCUGGAGAGCGAGCUGCAAGGCCUGCGACCAGCUCGCCAAGGAGGUCCGUGACCGCCAGGAGAGGGAGGAAGAGAUGAGGGCUCGCGAGACUACCGCCAAGGACCGGGAUGCCUAGCUUGAUGAACUCCAUGGCCGCUUAGACACACUAGAGCAGGCAUUGGAGGCGAAGAAGAUCGAGUUGGACGGCAAGGUGCGGGUCCUGGCCGAGGACCGCGUGGCCUUCGCGAAGCUGGAAGAGAAGGCUCGCACCUUGCUGAAGACGCUUUAUGAUAGCGGCCUGGAGAGCCUGCUGGCCGGCGCCAAGGACGGCCCCGCCAAGUUGCUUCCCUUCCUAGUCUGCGCCCUUGAAGAUGUCGCCCUCGGCCUUGGCCCCACAGCUGAGGCUGAGGCGCGUGUCCUUUCUUCUGUAGCGCUGACGCGCAUCUUCACCCAGAUCUACCUUCGCGACCCCGAUGUUGACCUUGACAACCCACUGCCUGUGAGCGGCGAGCUUGCCGCUGUCGCUGCUGAGGCCGUGAAGGGUCGAGUGGAGGCUCUGCUGGCGAAGUUCCGUGCUUUCAGCACCAAGCCAAGGCGAGGUGCUGCCAAAAGUGAGGCUCCACGAUGCGAAGUCGCCCAACGCAGCUCCGUCACCAGCGAUGGUACUGCCAGAAAGUGACCCCUUCGCGGCUCCUGUCCUAUUGUUAGCUCUGGUAACAUGCAUCAUGCCUCGUGGAGGCGUUUAAACUUGUGUUUGGUGUUGUGAAAGCACUCUAUGGACUGUAAUAUUUGCUUUUGAAUUCCUUGAUAUUUGCGCUUUUCCUUCCUACUUGCUUGUGUUCUACGUCGGCAGAGCCCGGCCCCGCGCAUACCUCAGCCGCCGUUAGCCCCGACCAGAAACCAGGACGGGACCAAGGAGUGAGGGGCUACGUGACCAGUUAGGCUCCUGAGUCGCGAUGCUCAGGAGUCCCCCUGGACGCGCGAAUAACAAGUAGAGAGGGAGAUGUAUGAGUAAAUCCACCAUUCUACGUCGGCAGAGCCCGGCCCCGCGCAUACCUCAACCGUCGUUAGCCUUUUGGAACUAAGGGGUGAGGGGCUACAUGACCAGUUAGGCUCCUGAGUCGCGAUGCUCAGGAGUCCCCCUUGACAUUCAAACGGCCUUCGUACCUUGGCUCCACUCGGGGAGAGACGUGCGACGAACCAGGCCCGAGGGGCCUGGCUGGGUGGCGUGCGUCUGGGCAUAACCCAGGCGUAGCCCACGUGCCCAACCCCCUCGCGUGGCACUCCCGAGGGGAGGCGUUAUGAUGGGGCCGGGCACUAAGCUCUGGGCUCCCUGAGGUUGAUGCGGCCGGGGGCCACCCUCAGUUGUUUAUCACCAGCACGGAGCAUAGCGCUUCCGUAUAUGUACGGGCAAAGCCGCUCCUCGGCAGUGUCGUGAGCCAGGGCGGAGCAUGGUGCUUCCACUGGUGUGUGGGAGGGGGCUCCCAUCCGGGAGGAGCCCCCGGGGUGUGGUGACAUAUGGCUAGCACGGUAGGGCCUGACGAGGUGUAUCUGGGCACCCGUGAGCCAGCGCGGGACUCACGGGGCCCUACCUCAAGGCGGGUUGCGCCUGGCUCUGGGCCUUUACUUGUAAUGUGUUCCUGCAAAUUUGGUUAGAUGCCGAUGCUCUACGUCCUCAGGUCCCGGCCCUCGAGCAAGCUCAACCGUCGCUGGUAUGCCAGGUCGCGAUGCCGUGGACAAGGCCAGGAGGUGAGGGCUGGAGAGCCAGUAAGACUCCAUGAGUCACGAUGCUCAGGUACCCCCCCUUUAACGUGCAAGCGGCCGACAUGACAGAAGAAGGGUGCCGCCACAGGCAUCAAGUAAUGAUCAUGAUGGGUCAAACGCACGACCCGAAUAAGCGCGAGAGGGAUAAACGCCACUAGGUCUGGCCCGAGUGGCUUGUGGAUAAUGCAGCCCGAGGGGCGCCCCCAGUAAGCUAAAAACAUGAACUAAAGGGAUACAUGCCGCAGGGACGGACCCACGCGGCCUGGGAAUGAUGCAGCCCUGGGGGUGCUCCCAGCUGAAAAUGAAACUCGAAGGAUGUCACCUUAUGAUGUUGAAGAUGAAGGGAUGCUGAAGUAGCGGACGGCGAGCGCUGCGUUAGGCGAUCUUUACGAGCCCCCAGGCCCAGGAGCCUCGGGAGGCUCCGGAGGCGCUGGCGGCUCCUCGAGGACCAUCUCCAUCUCUGCCAGGACUGUGGAAUGCCUGGCCGCUUGAGCCUCCAGGAUGCUCCUCAUGAGGCGUUACCGCACAGCAGCCACGUUCGGCAGGCCGAGAGGCAUGCGAAUGUAGCUGUGAGGUGGACCCUCACAACACCCCACGCAUGAAGGCCAGAGGCGCUCCUGAGAGGCGGCUCGGUUGAGCCCUGGUAUGUCAAUGCAGACGCGCAGGAGAGAGCCCCCGAGCCUUGCUCGAGGAGGGCACCGGGCGCGCCUUCCUAUGCGACAGAGGGAGGCGCCCCCUGAACGGGUGCGGACCCUGAGGGGCCUGCCUCCCGAGGGUUCGGACCGGGCGAUGUCUUCUUCUUCUCAGGGGCAACCUCGGGAAGCCUACCGCUCCCGCGAUCUAGCUCUUCAAUUGACGCGGCUUGAAAAGCACACUCCAGAGAACACACCGCAUCCCUCUCUUCACAAGGCACCGUGAUGACUCCACCGCUUCCUGGCAUCUUGAGGACAUUGUAGCCGUGGUGAGUUACGGCCAUGAACUUGGCCAGGGCUGGGUACCCGAGGAUGGCAUUGUACGACAGACGAAUGUGCACGACGUUGAAGUCAAUGAGCUCAGUGCGGUAGUUGUCGCGCUUCCCAAAGGUAACAGGAAGGCGGACCUGCCCUAUCGGAACCGUGGAGCCAUCAGUGACUCCUGAGAAAGACUUGGUUGACUGAAGCUGAUUGUAUGGCACUUGGAGAUUGUUGAAUGUCUCGACGGAUAGGACGUUGAGCCUUGCUCCGCCGUCGAUGAGGGUCCUGGUGACUUGUGCAUUGCUGAUGAUUGGGGAACAAAGCAUCGGGAGGACUUCGGCUGUUGCCGCGCACUUGAGCUGAUCCGCUGAGCUGAACGUGAUGGUGCACGCUGACCACCUGAGAGGGCGUGUGGCCUCGAGCUUGGGGAGGACUGCAUUCACUUCGCGAGCAAACUGCUUGAAGAUGCGCUGAGAGGCCAGGGCCUGAGCGCCGCCCAAGAUGCAAGCAAUUGCGUGCGGCUCCUCGAAGCCUCUAGCCCCCUCGUCCUAAUGAUGGUCUUCAUUCCUCCUCGGCUGUGGUGACAGAGGAGGGAGGCCCGCGUUGCCUUGUGGGCGAUCCUCGCGAGGCUGAUCCCUCCAUGCUCCCUCGCGAGGCUGGUCCUGCCAGCUGUCCUCGCGAGGCCGGUCACGCCACCCUUGGCGAGGGCCACGGUCUUCCCAUCGUCCUCCACCUCUUCCUCCUCCUCGGCCAUAGCCCCGGUCGUUGCGCUCGGGGCGUCAGCCGGCACGCACGUCCCGCACGGCCCUGAGCUCUUGGCAUUCGUUGGUGUUGUGGGUGUGGAGGUCGUGGUACACGCAGUACCGGCUGCCCUUGGAUGACUCAGGCUGAUCCCUGCCUCGCUUGGUGUCCGGCUCUGCUGCAAGCAUAGUAGCCCCCUUGCGCUUCACGUCCUUGACCUUGGGCUUCUUCUCUUCUGGGUCGGCAGCCGGCAGCUCUAGGAGGGAAAGGCGUCCUUCCUCAGCCCUGGCACACUUGGUCGCCAAAUUGAACAGCUCCAGGGAGGUGCACAAGUCUUCAUGGAUCGCAAGCUCCUCCUUCAUCUUGAUGUCACGCACGCCGUCGGAGAAGGCUGAGAUGAUGGCCUCCUCAGACACCCUGGGGAUCUUAAGGCGAGUGUUGUUGAAACACUAGAUGAACUUCUGUAGGGUCUCUCUCGGCUGCUGCUUGAUGCGGCGCAAGUCGCUCAUGGCCGGGGCCGGUCGCGAGUGCCUUGGAAGUUGGCGAUGAAUCGGGUGCGCAUCUCGUCCCAGGAGGAGAUCGUGCCUGGAGCCAGGUUCAGGAGCCAGGUGCGGGCACCAUCCUUGAGCGCCAUGGGGAACCAGUUCGCCAUGACCUUCUCGUCCCCGUUGGCGGCUUCAAUGCCCAACUCAUAGAGCUGGAGGAACUCCGCAGGGUCAGCCGUGCCAUCGUAGCGCGGGGGCAGAUCUGGCUUGAACUUGCCCGGCCAGGCCACGCUGCACAGCUCGGUGGUGAAGGCACGGCAGCCUGUAGUGGCCGCGGGAGGCCUUUGGUAACGGAGAGCUUGAUCUUGGGAGUCUUUGUGCGCUGCCGCCAGGAGCAGCGCGGGGUCUUCACACGCUGGAGCAGGAGCGCGUUCGUGCCGGGCCGGUGCGGGGAGCACACAGGCAGCUUCUUGGGGACGAGGGAUCUCUUGGGAGCUCUUCUCUUGUUGUGCUGGCGUCGGACGGAAUGAGUUCCGUCCAGGGGCCACACGCCUUGGGGCCAAGGCGCCUUCUUGAGGGGGAGGUGGCUGGGGCGCCCCCGGAGCUUCAUCGCCCGCGCAGGGAGGGGCGCGGUGCAGCGAGAGGGAUGGCGCAGGGGAGCCCCAAGCGGCGCUGACGAGCUUGGUGACGCGGGCGAGCCACUCAUCGUAGAGGUCGUCGACGGGACGGUGGUGCAGGAGCUCUCGCGCCAGGAGCAGCGCGGCGUGCGCGUCCGCAGGAGCGCGACGGGCGUGGGACGAGGAACCGGCUGGAGUCAGCGACGGGGUGGCAGUGCGGCCUUCUCGCCGCACCGAAGGAUGCAGGGACGACACCUGCUGCUCGUUCCCCGCCGGGACGGUGGCAGCGUUGAUGGCAGGCGACGGGGAACGGCGGGGGCGUCCGCUAACGGGGGCCGUCUGGGCGACGCGAGUGGCAAGAGCGGCCCGGCGCUCGGCGCGGGCUGGGCAAGCGUCUGACAUGGACGCGACGGGUGGCGAAGCACAGGGCGGCGGAAAGCAGAUUCUAGUGCACCCCUACCUGGCACGCCAAAUGUCGGAUUUCGGGUUCUGGCAGACCCUAAAGGUUCGAACUCUGGGGUGCACGCGGUGAUCACACCUCCUGCCUACCUACGUCUCGUCGCCUCGCAAAGGAUCUAAACUACACGAAGAACAACACAAGGGACACGAGGUUUAUACUAGUUUAGGCCAACAUUGUGGUGUAAUACCCUACGUCUAGUUUGUGGUGUGGCGGAUUGCCUCAGGGGCUGAUGAUGAACAAUACAAGGGAAGAACAUCCUCGCGAGGGGCUGUUCUUGGGCUGGUGCGAUGAACUGCUUGGGUGAGUUCAGUCGCCUCUCUCGCUCUCUAGCCUGCCCAAAAUCUCGAUCCCUCACUCUGUGGUGGCUAGCUCUAUUUAUAGAGGGAGGCCCUGGGCCUCUUCCCAAAUAUUGAGAGGGAAGGGCGCCAAUAAUUGGCCAUUUUGAAGGGGAACAUCUAGUACACUUAUCCUGACUAAAGUUGGUCCUCGCCUGCCAAAGACUCUGACGAUGACGCCUUCCUGGGCUCCACGAUGACCUCCAUCCUGCCGUUCUGCCGGUCUUGGUCUUGUUGCACCGAAAUGGUUGCCUUUUCUUGAUACUCUUGCCUGCGCUUGCCCCCUUUGCACCAAAGAGGAAACAAGGACUCUGCGCAGGCGGCGCCCGCCUGGCCUCGGUCGUCAUGGCUUGCGUCAUGGGCACCUCGUGAGGUACCCUGCCUUGAUCUCUCUGCCUCCUCGCGAGUCAGCCUGACGAGGUUGUGCCCGAGGAAGCUUCUUGUCGUCCGCCCCGUGAGGCUUGGCCCCUCGCGAGGGUCUUGAGUAUGUGUCGAUGAAGAUUGGCCGUACUGGGCCACUCCCUAGGCUACGCUGCAGGCCGCAGGCGGGCAAGCCUGGGAACUCCCGUUCCCAAAACGCCGACAAAGAGAUUGUCCAUUUUGUACAUGAAGUGCAUCAAGUUUUUGCCAUAACCCUCGCAACUUUUUUGCACACAUUUAUAUACAUGGGGAGGGCAUCCCUAGAACACACAUCGAUUGUUCCUAACCGUAUGUGGCGCCCCCCUCCACAGUGAACACCUUGGUCAUAUCAUAGUAGUUCUUAGGCGAAGCCCUGCGCCAGUAACUUUGUCAUCACCGUCACCACGCCAUCGUGCUGACGAAACUCUCCUUCGGGCUCAACUGGAUCAAGAGUACGAGGGACGUCAUCGAGCUGAACAUGUGCUGAACACGGAGGUGUCGUACGUUCGGUGCUAGGAUCGGUCGGAUCGUGAAGACGUACGACUACAUCAACCGCGUUGAUAAAACACUUCCGCUUUUGGUCUACGAGGGUACGUGGACACACUCUCCCCUCUCAUUGCUAUGCAUCUCCUAGGUAGAUCUUGCUUGAAGUAGGAAAUUUUUUGAAAUUACUGCAUUCCCCAACAGUGUUACUAUCUACAAAGGUCGACUUGUCAUGAAAGGUUUUCGACAAGUUCAAGAAGUUGACUACGAUGAGAUUUUCUCACUUGUAGCGAUGCUUAAGUCUGUCCGAAUCAUGUUAGCAAUUGCCGCAUUUUAUGAAAUCUGGCAAAUGGAUAAAAAAAUUGCAUUCCUUAAUGGAUUUAUUAAAUAAGAGUUGUAUAUGAUGCAACCAGAAGGUUUUGUCAAUCCUAAAGGUUAGCUCCAGCGAUCCAUCUAUGGGCUGGUGCAAGCAUCUCGGGUUGGAAUAUACGCUUAGAUGAGCUGAUCAAAACAUAUAGUUUUAUACAGACUUGUGGUGAAGCCUAUAUUUACAAGAAAGUGAGUGGGAGCACUACCGCCUUUCUGAUAAGUAUAUGUGAAUGACAUAUUGUUGAUCGGAAAUGAUGUAGAAUUUUCUGGAAUGCAUAAAGGAGUAUUUGAAUGGAGUUUUUUUUUCAAAGAAUGACCUUAGUGAAGUUGCUUACAUAUUGGGCACCAAGAUCUAUAGAGAUACAUCAAGACGCUUGAUAAGAUUUUUCAAUAAGUACAUACCUUGACAAGAUUUUGAAGUAGUUCAAAAUGGAACAGUCAAAGUAGGAGUUCUUGCCUGUAUUGCAAGGUGUAAAGUUGAGUAAGACUUAAAACCCGACCACGGCAGAAAAUAGAAAAAGAGAAUGAAAAGCAUUCCCUAUGCCUCAACCAUAGGUUCUAUGAAGCAUGCUAUGCUGUAUACCAGACCUAUUGUGUACCUUGCCAUGAGUUUGGCAAGGGAGUAUGAUAGUGAUCCAGGAGUGGAUCACUGGACAACGAUCAAAGUUAUCCUUAUUACCUAAGGGACUAAGGAAAUAUUUCUCGGUUAUGGAGGUGAUAAAGAGUUUGUCAUAAAAAGUUACGUCGAUGCAAGCUUUUACACCGAUCCGGAUGACUCUGAGUCACAAUCUGGUUACAUAUUGAAAGUGGGAGCAAUAGCUAGAGUAGCUUGCUACGUCUUGAGCUUGCGUUGGUUUUCCUUGAAGAGGAAAGGGUGAUGCAGCAAUAGUAGCGUAAGUAUUUCCCUUAGUUUUUUAGAACCAAGGUAUCAAUCCAGUAGGAGGCUCCUCAAAAGUCCCACGCACCUACACAAACAAACCAAGAACUCGCAACCAACGCAAUAAAGGGGUUGUCAAUCCCUUCACGGCCACUUGAGAAAGUGAGAUCUAAUAGAGAUAGUAAGAUUAGAUAAAUAUAUUUUUGGUAUUUUAUAAUAUAGAUGCAAAAAGUAAAGAUGCAAAUAAAAGUAGAUUGAAAGCAAAUAUGAUAAGAGAUAGACCCGGGGGCCAUAGGUUUCACUAGUGGCUUCUCUCAAGAUAGAAUAAGUAUUACGGUGGGUGAACAAAUUAAUGUUGAUCAAUUGAUAGAAAAGCGAAUAAUUAUGAGAUUAUCUAGGCAUGAUCAUGUAUAUAGGCAUCAUGUCCGCAACAAGUAGACCGACUCCUGCCUGCAUCUACUACUAUUACUCCACACAUCGACGGACUCCUACCUGCAUCUAGAGUACUAAGUUCAUAAGAACAGAGUAACGCCUUAAGCAAGAUGACAUGAUGUAGAGGGAUAAAUUCAUGCAAUAUGAUAUAAACCCCAUCUUUUUAUCCUCGAUGGCAACAAUACAAUACGUGCCUUGCAACCCUUUCUAUCACUAGGUAAGGACACCGCAAGAUUGAACCCAAAGCUAAGCACUUCUCCCAUUGCAAGAAAGAACAAUCUAGUAGGCCAAACCAAACUUAUAUUUCGAAGAGACUUGCAAAGAUAACUCAAUCAUACAUAAAAGAAUUCAGAGGAGAUUCAAAUAUUUCUCAUAGAUAAACUUGAUCAUGAACCCACAAUUCAUCGGAUCUCGACAAACACACCGCAAAAAGAGUUUACAUCGAAUAGAUCUCCACAAGAGAGGGGGAGACCAUUGUAUUGAGAUCCAAAAAGAGAGAAGAAGCCAUCUAGCUAAUAACUAUGGACCCGAAUGUCUGUGGUAAACUACUCACAACUCAUUGGAGGGGCUAUGGUGUUGAUGUAGAAGAACUUCCGUGGUCGAUUCCCCCUCCGGCAGAGCGCCGGCGAAGGCUCCAAGAUGGGAUCUCGCAGAUACAGAAGGUUACGGCGGUGGAAAUUGUGUUUCGUUGGUUCUCUGGAUGUUUUUGGGGUACGUAGGCUUAUAUAGGAGGAAGAAGUACGUUGGUGGCCACCUGAGGGGCCCAUGAGACAUGGGGGCGCGCCAUAUAGGUGGGGGCGCUCUACCCUCUCGUGGCCUCCUCGGCUGCUUCUUGACUUGCACUCCAAGUCCUCUGGAUCACGUUCGUUCCAAAAAUCACGCUCCCGAUGGUUUCAUUCCGUUUGGACUCCAUUUGAUAUUCCUUUUCUUCGAAAUACUGAAAUAGGCAAAAACGAAUAGCAAUACGGGCCGGGCCUCCGGUUAGUAGGUUAGUCCCAAAAAUGAUAUAAAUGUGUAAAAUAAAGCCCAUAAACAUCCAAAAGGGGUAAUAUAAUAGCAUGGAACAAUCAAAAAUUAUAGAUACGUUGGAGACGUAUCAAGCAUCCCCCAAGCUUAAUUCCUGCUUGUCCUCGAGUAGGUAAAUGAUAAAAAUAGAAUUUUUGGUGUGGAAUUCUACCUAGCAUAAUUCUCAAGGUAAUUUUCUUUAUUGUGGCAUGAAUGUUCAGAUCCAAAUGAUUCAAAAUAAAAGUUCAUAUUGACAUAAGAAAUAGUGAUACUUCAAGCAUACUAAUCAAAGUAAUUAUGUCUUCUCAAAAUAACAUGGCCAAAGAAAGUUAUCCCUACAAAAUCAUAUAGUCUGGCUGUUGCUCUAUCUUCAUCACACAAAGUAUUUAAUCAUGCACAACCCCGAUGACAAGCCAAGCAAUUGUUUCAUACUUUAAUAAUCUCAAACUUUUUCAACUUUCACGCAAUACAUGAGCGUGAGCCAUGGACAUAGCACUAUAUGUGGAAUAGAAUGGUGGUUGUGGAGAAGACAAAAAAGGAGAAGAUAGUCUCACAUCAACUAGGCAUAUCAACGGGCUAUGGAGAUGCCCAUUAAUAGAUAUCAAUGUGAGUGAGUAGGGAUUGCCAUGCAACAGAUGCACUAGAGCUAUAAAUAUAUGAAAGCUCAACAAAAGAAACUAUGUGGGUGUGCAUCCAACUUGCUUGCUCACGAAGACCUAGGGCAUUUUGAGGAAGCCCAUCAUUGGAAUAUACAAGCCUAGUUCUAUAAUGAAAAAUUCCCACUAGUAUAUGAAAGUGACAACAUAGGAGACUCUCUAUCAUGAAGAUCAUGGUGCUAAUUUAAAGCACAAGUCUGGAAAAAGAGAUAGUAGGAUUGUCCCUUCUCUCUUUUUCUCUCAUUUUAUUUUUUUCUUUUCUUCUUUUUUUCUCUUUUUUUUUCUUCGGCCUUUCUUUUUUUGGACUUUUUUUUGUAAAGUCCGAAGUCUCAUCCCGACUUGUGGGGGAAUCAUAGCCUUCAUCAUCCUUUCCUCACUGGGACAAUGCUCUAAUAAUGAAGAUCAUCACACUUUUUUGGAUUUACAACUCAAGAAUUACAACUCAAAGCUAGAACAAGAUAUGACUCUAUAUGAAUGCCUCCGGCGGUGUACCGGGAUAUGCAAUGAAUCAAGAGCGACAUGUAUGAAAAUUAUGAAGGUGGCCUUGCCACAAAUACGAUGUCAACUACAUGAUCAUGCAAAGAGCAAUAUGACAAAAGUAAUGCAUGUCAUAUGAACGGAACGAUGCAAAGUUGCAUGGCAAUAUAUCUCGAAAUGGCUAUGGAAAUGCCAUAAUAGGUAGGUAUGGUGGCUGUUUUGAGGAAGGUAUAUGGUGGGUGUAUGGUACCGGCAAAAGUUGCGCGACACAAGAGAGGCUAGCAAUGGUGUAAGGGUGAGGGUGCGUAUAAUCCAUGGACUCAACAUUAGUCAAAAGAACUCAUAUACUUAUUGCAAAAAUCUAGAAGUUAUCAAAAACAAAGUACUACGCGCAUGCUCCUAGGGGAAUAGAUUGGUAGGAAAAGACCAUCGCUUGUCCCCGACCGCCACUCAUAAGGAAGACAAUCAAUAAAUAAAAUUGUGCUCCAACUUCAUCACAAAGCGGUUCACCAUAUGUGCAUGCUACGGGAAUCACAAACUUCAACACAAGCAUUCUUUAAAUUCAUAAUCACCCAACUAGCAUGACUUUAAUAUCAAUACCUCCAUAUCUCAAAACAAUUAUCAAGUAUCAAAUUGAUCAUAGCAUCCAUUUCACUUUCUAUGAUAGUUUUUAUUAUACCCAGCUUGGAUGCUCAUCAUUCUAGGACCAAAUUUGUAACCAUAGAAAAUACCAUGCUGUUAUAAAAGACUCUCAAAAUAAUAUAAGUGAAGCCUGUGAGACUAGCAAUUUCUUCAAAAUUAGGUCACCACCGUGCUCUAAAAGAUAUAAGUGAAGCACUAGAACAAAAACUAUCAAGCUCAAAAGAUAUAAGUGAAGCACAUAGAGUAUUCUAGCAAAUUCUAAUCAAGUAGGCUUCUCCCAAAAGGUGUGUACAUCAAGGAUGAUUGUGGUAAACUAAAAAGCAAAUACUAAUAUAAUACACGACGCUACAAGCAAAACACAUAUCAUAUGGCGAAUAAAAAUAUAGCUCCAAGUAAAGUUACCAAUGAACGAAGACGAAAGAGGGGAUGCCUUCCCAGGGCAUCCCCAAGCUUAGGAUUUUGGCUAUCCUUGAAUAUAUUGGGGUGCCAUGGGCAUCCCCAAGCUUAGGCUCUUGCCACUCCUUAUUCCAUAGUCAAUAAAAGCUUUACCCAAAACUUGAAAACUUCACAAUAAAAAACUCAACAGGAAAUCUUAUAAGCUCCGUUAGUGAAAGAAAACCAAACCACCACAUAAGGUACUGUAAUGAACUCAUUCUUUAUUUAUUUUGGUGUUAAACCUACUGUAUUCAAACUUCUCUAUGGUUUAUAAACUAUUUUACUAGCCAUAGAUGCAUCAAAAUAAGCAAACAACACACGAAAAACAGAAUCUGUGAAAAACAGAACAGUAUGUAGAAAUCUGUAACUAACGCAAACUUCUGGAACUCUAAAAAUUCUACCAAAGUAGGAAGUCCUGGAAAAUUUGUCUACUGAUCAGCAGCAAAAAGAAUCAACGCAAAACCACAUUUAUGUGAUUUAACAAAACUAAAUGCAUGCGCGCAAAGUUUCUGUUUUUCAGCAGAAUCAAAUCAACUAUCAUCAUAGGUUAUCCUAUAGGUUCUACUUGGCACAAACACUAAUUAAAAGAUAAAAACACAUCUAAACAGAAGGUAGAUACAAGAUUUAUUACUAAACAGGAACAAAAACAAAAAAUACAAAGAAAUUUGGGUUGCCUCCCAACUAGCGCUAUCGUUUAACCCCCCCUAGCUAGGCAUAAAAGCGAAGAUAGAUCUAAGUAGUGUCAUCUUUGGCACUAAAUUCAUAAGUAGCUCGCAGGAUAGAUUCAUAAGGUAAUUUGACUUUCUUUCUUGGAAACUGCUCCAUGCCUUUCUUUAAUAAAAAAUGGAAUCUAAUAUUCCCUUCCUUCAUAUCAAUAAUCGCGCCAAUCGUUCUAAGGAAAGGUCUACCAAUAAUAAUAGGGCAAGAAAGAUUGCGAUCUAUAUCAAGAACGAUAAAAUCUACGGGCACCAAAUUUCUAUUUGCAACAAUGAGAACAUCAUUGAUUCUUCCCAUUGGCUUUUUAAUGGGGGAAUCCGCAAGGUGCAAAUUUAAAGAGCAAUCAUCAAGAUCAUGUAAACCUAUAAUAUCACAUAAAGUUUUUGGAAUCGUGGAAACACUAGCACCCAAAUCACACAAAGCAAAACACUCAUGAUCUUUAAUUCUAAUCUUUAUAGUAGGUUCCCACUCAUCUUUAAGUUUUCUAGGUAUAAAAACUUCCAAAUUAAGUUUUUCAUCAUAAGAUUGCAUCAAGGCAUCAAUGAUAUGUUCGGUAAAAGCUUUAUUUUGACUAUAAGCAUGAGGAGAAUUAACAACGGAUUGCAACAAGGAAAUACAACCUUCUAAAGAACAAUUAUCAUAAUCAAAUUCCCUGAAAUCUGAGAUAGUGGGUUCAAUACUAUUUAAAGUCAUGACCUCUCCAAUCCCACUUUUACCAAAUUUAGCAUCAAGAUCUAAAAAUUCUGAAUUCUUGGGAUGCCUUCUAGGUAAAGUUGACUCAUCUUCAAUCCCAUAAUUAUCAAGAUUCAUAUUGCAAAACAAAGAUCUAAUAGGAGAUGUGUCAAUAACUUUAAGAUCUUCAUCAUUAUUUUCAUCUAACUUUUCUGGUUUGGCGGCCAUCUUAUUGACUAAGGUGGCUUGCUUAUCAGAAAUAUGGGCUAUAGCAUUUUCAAGCCGAGUAAUUUGAGAGUUCACAGCAUAAAAUUCUUUAUUCAUAUCAUCAAGCUCUUUGUUCAUAAACCCCAAAAAAUCUUUUUGUUCCUUAAGCUCUUUUCUGAAGAAAUUAUUAUGCUCAAAUUGCAAAUUCAUAAAGCUUCUAAUAUUUGAUUCAAUCUCUUCCAACCUUCUAAGAAGGUGGUCGGUACUCUUAGGAAAAGCCAUAAGGACAAACUAGCACACAAGCAAACAGAAAAAGGGCAAGCGAAAAGAGAGGGAGAGAUUGGGAAAGAGAGGGCGAAUAAAACGGCAAGGGUGAAGUGGGGGAGAGAAAAACGAGAGGCAAAUGGCGAGUAAUGUAAAUGCGAGGGAGAUGGGUUUGUGAUGGGUACUUGGUAUGUCUUGACUUGAGCGAAGACCUCCCCGGCAACGGCGCCAGAAAUCCUUCUUGCUACGUCUUGAGCUUGCGUUGGUUUUCCUUGAAGAGGAAAGGGUGAUGCAGCAACAGUAGCGUAAGUAUUUCCCUCAGUUUUUGAGAGCCAAGGUAUCAAUCCAGUAGGAGGCUCCUCAAAAGUCCCACGCACCUACACAAACAAACCAAGAACUCGCAACCAACGCAAUAAAGGGGUUGUCAAUCCCUUCACGGCCACUUGCGAAAGUGAGAUCUAAUAGAGAUAGUAAGAUAAGAUAAAUAUAUUCUUGGUAUUUUAUAAUAUAGAUGCAAAAAGUAAAGAUGCAAAUAAAAGUAGAUUGAAAGCAAAUAUGAUAGGAGAUAGACCCGGGGGCCAUAGGUUUCACUAGUGGCUUCUCUCAAGAUAGCAUAAGUAUUACGGUGGGUGAACAAAUUACUGUCGAGCAAUUGAUAGAAAAGCAAAUAAUUAUGAGAUUAUGUAGGCAUGAUCAUGUAUAUAGGCAUCACGUCCGCAAGAAGUGGAUCGACUCCUGCCUGCAUCUACCACUAUUACUCCACACAUUGACCGACUUCUGCCUGCAUCUAGAGUAUUAAGUUCAUAAGAACAGAGUAACGCCUUAAGCAAGAUGACAUGAUGUAGAGGGAUAAAUUCAUGCAACAUGAUAUAAACCCCAUCUUUUUAUCCUCGAUGGCAACAAUACAAUACGUGCCUUGCAAUCCUUUCUGUCACUGGGUAAGGACACCGCAAGAUUGAACCCAAAGCUAAGCACUUCUCCCAUUGCAAGAAAGAUCAAUCUAGUAGGCGAAACCAAACUUAUAUUUCGAAGAGACUUGCAAAGAUAACUCAAUCAUACAUAAAAGAAUUCAAAGGAGAUUCAAAUAUUUCUCAUAGAUAAACUUGAUCAUAAACCCACAAUUCAUCGAAUCUUGACAAAACACACCGCAAAAAGAGUUUACAUCGAAUAGAUCUCCACAAGAGAGGGGGGAACAUUGUAUUGAGAUCCAAAAAGAGAGAAGAAGCCAUCUAGCUAAUAACUAUAGACCCGAAGGUCUGUGGUAAAUUACUCACAACUCAUCGGAGGGGCUAUGGUGUUGAUGUAGAAGCCCACCAUGGUCGAUUCCCCCUCCAGCAGAGCGCUGGCGAAGGCUCCAAGAUGGGAUCUCGUGGAUACAGAAGGUUACGGCGGUGGAAAUUGUGUUUCGUUGGCUCCCUGGAUGUUUUUGGGGUAUGUAGGCUUAUAUAGGAGGAAGAAGUACGUCGGUGGCCACCCAAGGGGCCCACGAGAUAGUGGGACGCGCCCUAUAAGGGGGGGGCGCCCUACCCUCUCGCGGCCGCCUCGGCUGCUUCUUGACUUGCACUCCAAGUCCUCUGGAUCACGUUCGUUCCAAAAAUCACGCUCCCGAAGAUUUCAUUCCGUUUGGACUCCGUUUGAUAUUCCUUUUCUUUGAAAUACUGAAAUAGGCAAAAAAAAACAAUGAUACGUCCAUUUUGCAUCAUGCUUUUAUACCAAUAUUUAUUGCAUUAUGGGCUGUUAUUACACAUUAUAUCUCAAUACUUAUGGCUGUUCUCUCUUAUUUUACAAGGUUUACCAUGAAGAGGGGGAAUGCCGGCACCUGGAAUUCUGGCUGGAAAAGGGGCAAACAUUGGAAACCUAUUCUGCACAACUCCAAAAGUCCUGAAACUCCACAAAGCAACUUUUUGGAUUUAAUAAGAAUUUAUGAGCGAAAGAAAUAGGCUAGGGGGCCCACACCCUGUCCAGGUGACAGGAGGGCGCCCCCCUGUAGGGCGCGGCCCCCUAUCUCCUGGGCCCCCUGGUGGGCCUUUGGCAUCCAUCUUCUGCUAUAUCAUCACUUUUACCCUGGAAAAAAUCAUCGGCAAGCUUACGGGAUGAAACUUCACCGCCACGAGGCGGAACCUUGGCGGAAUCAAUCUAGGGCUCUGGCGGAGCUGUUCUGCCGGGGACACCUCCCUCCGGGAGGGGGAAAUAAUCACCAACGUCAUCACCAACGAUCCUCUCAUCGGGAGGGGGUCAAUCUCCAUCAACAUCUUCACCAGCACCAUCUCCUCUCAAAACCCUAGUUCAUCUCUUGUAUCCAAUCUUGUAUCAAAACCACAAAUUGGUACCUGUGGGUUGCUAGUAGUGUUGAUUACUCCUUGUAGUUGAUGCUAUUUGGUUUACUUGGUGGAAGAUCAUAUAUUCAGAUCCUUUAUGCAUAUUAAUACCCCUCUGAUUAUGAACAUGAAUAUGCUUUGUGAGUAGUUACAUUUGUUCCUGAGGACAUGGGUGAAGUCUUGCUAUUAGUAGUCAUGUGAAUUUGGUAUUCGUUCGAUAUUUUGAUGAGAUGUAUGUUGUCUUUCCUCUAGUGGUGUUAUGUGAACGUCGACUACAUGACACUUCACCAUUAUUUGGGCCUAGAGGAAGGCAUAGGGAAGUAAUAAGUAGAUGAUGGGUUGCUAAAGUGACAGAAGCUGAAACCCUAGUUUAUGCGUUGCUUCGUUAGGGGUUGUUAUGGACCCAUAUGUUUAAUGAUGUGGGUAGGUUUACCUUAAUACUCCUUUUUGUAUUUGCGGACGCUUGCAAUAGGGGUUAAUCAUAUGUGGGAUGCUUGUCCAUGUUAGGGCAGUACCCAAGUGCCGUUCCACCCACAUAUCAAAUUAUCAAAGUAGCGAACGCGAAUCUUAUGAACGUGAUGAAAACUAGCUUGACGAUAAUUCCCAAUGUGUUCUCGGGAGCUCCUUCUUCAUUAUUAGAAUUUUUCCAGGCUUAUCCUUUGCUACAUAAAGGAUUGGGCCACCUUGCUGCACUUUAUUUACUUUAUUUACUUUUUGCUCGUUACUAUUUAUCUUAUCACAAAACUAUCUAUCACCUACUAUUUUAGUGCUUGCAGAGAAAACCUUACUGAAAACCGCGUAUCAUUUCCUUCUGCUCCUUGUUGGGUUCGACACUAUUACUUAUCGAAAGGACUACGAUAGAUCCCCUAUACUUGUGGGUCAUCAAGACUCUUUUCUGGCGCCGUUGCUGGGGAGCGUAGCGUUUUUGGUGAGUUGAACUUGGUAAGGAAACAUUUAUAUAGUGUGCUGAAAUUUUCUGUUACUUGUCACCAUGGAAACUAAUCCCUUGAGGGGAUUGUUUGGGGUAUCUUCACCCCAACCAGAAGAGCAAAGAGAUGCUCCUCAACCUACUGAACUUUAUGAAAAUAUUCACUUUGAGAUUCCUUCGGGUAUGAUAGAAAAACUGCUAGCUAAUCCUUUUGCAGGAGACGGAACAUUGCAUCCCGAUUUACACCUUAUCUUUGUGGAUGAAGUUUGUGGAAUAUUUAAGCUUGCAGGUAUUCCCGGUGAUGUUGUCAAAAGGAAGGUCUUCCCUUUAUCUUUGAAGGGAGAUGCAAUGACAUGGUAUAGGCUAUGUGAUGAUACGAGAUAUUGGAAUUAUAAGCGAUUGAAGUUGGAAUUUCACCAGAAGUUCUAUCAUAUGCAUCUUGUUCAUCGUGAUCGUAAUUACAUAUAUAAUUUCUGGCCUCGCGAAGGAGAAAGCAUCGCUCAAGCUUGGGGGAGGCUUAAGUCAAUGUUAUAUUCAUGCCUCAAUCAUGAGCUCUCUCGGGAAAUGAUUAUUCAGAAUUUUUAUGCUCGGCUUUCUCUUGAUAAUCGCAACCUGCUCAAUACUUCCUGUGCUGGUUCUUAUAUGCUGAAGACUAUUGAUUUCAAAUGGGACUUAUUGGAAAGAAUUAAACGCAACUCUGAAGAUUGGGGUUCCAACGAUGGUAAGGAGUCAGGUAUGACACCUAAGUUUGAUUGUGUUAAAUCUUUUAUGGAUACCGAUGCUUUCCGUGGAUUUAGCUCUAAGUAUGGACUUGACUCUGAGAUAGUAGCUACUUUUUGUGAAACUUUUGCUACUCAUGUUGAUCUCCCUAAAGAGAAGUGGUUCAAAUAUAAUCCUCCUCUUGAAGUGAAAGUAGUUGCACCUAUUACAGUCGAAGAAAAGAUUAUUACAUAUAGUGAUCCCAUUGUUCCUACUGCUUAUGUUGAAAAACCUCCUUUUCCUGUUAGGAUAAAAGAUCAUGCCAAAGCUUCGACUGUUGUUCAUAAGAGUAAUACUAGGACCUAUACACCUCCUAAACAAAUUAAUGUUGAACCUAGUAUUGCUAUGGUUAAAGAUCUCUUGGACAAGGAUUUAGAUGGGCAUGUUAUUUCUUUCUUGGGUGAGACUGCUAAUAUUCCUAGACCUGAUACUAAGACACCUAGACCUAUUAUAGGCACGCCUGUUAUUUCUGUUAAAAUAGGAGAUCAUUGUUAUCAUGGCUUAUGUGCUAUGGGUGCUAGUGCUAGUGCAAUACCUUAUGAUCUUUAUAAAGAAAUUAUUCACGAUAUUGCACCUGUUGAAUUAGAAGACAUUGACGUUACUAUUAAGCUUGCCAAUAGGGAUACCAUCAAACCUAUUGGGAUUGUUAGAGAUGUUGAAGUUUUGUGCGGGAAGGUUAAAUACCCUGCUGAUUUUCUUGUUCUUGCUUCCCCACAAGAUGAUUUUUGUCCCAUUAUUUUUGGUAGACCCUUCUUGAAUACUGCUAGUGCUAAGAUUAAUUGUAAAAGGAAGGUCGUCACUAUUGGCAUAGAUGGUAUGUCUCAUGAGUUUAUUUUUUCUAAGUUUAGUAGACAACCUCGUGAAAGGGAACCACCUAGUAAGGAUGAAAAUAUUGGUCUUGCCUCCAUUGUUGUUCCUCCAACUGAUCCGUUAGAACAAUAUUUGCUAGACCAUGAAAACGAUAUGUUUAUGAAGGAACGGGAAGAAAUAGAUGAAGUGUUCCUUAAACAAGAACCUAUGCUGAAACAUAACCUUCCCGUUGAAAUUCUUGGGGAUCCCCGUCCACCCAAGGGUGAUCCCAUUUUUGAACUCAAACCAUUACCUGAUAAUCUUAAGUAUGCUUAUCUUGAUGAAAAAGAAAUAUAUCCUAUUAUUAUUAGUGCUAACCUUUCAGAGAAAGAAGAAGAAAGAUUAUUGAAAACUAUGAAGAAGCACCGAGCUGCUAUUGGAUAUACCCUGGAUGAUCUUAAGGGCAUUAGUCCCACAUUAUGUCAACACAAAAUUUCAGUGGAGAAAGAUGCCAAACCAGUUAGAGAUCCUCAAAGAUGAUUAAAUCCCAAAAUGAAGGAAGUGGUAAGAAAGGAGAUUCUAAAACUCCUUGAGGCAGGUAUUAUUUAUCUCGUUGCUGAUAGUGAAUGGGUAAGCCCUAUCCAUUGUGUCCCUAAAAAGGGAGGUAUUACCGUUGUUCCUAAUGAUAAAGAUGAAUUGAUCCCGCAAAGAAUAAUUACAGGUUAUAGCAUGGUGAUUGAUUUUCGUAAGUUAAAUAAAGCUACUAAGAAAGAUCAUUACCCUUUACCUUUUAUUGAUCAAACUAGACCAUGAUGACGCGUGUUGCUGCGCCCGCCAAUUUUAAUGAUCCAAAUAGGAGUUUGUGUAAAUUUUAUGAAGGUAAAAGAGAUUUCAACUCCAUAUAUCAUUCAUGCAAGCUUAUGAUGUCCAUCUUCGGCUUACAAAGCUUACACCCACACCAUCAUUUGUUGAAAUUCAUUCUGCUAGGCGGAACAAUUUUUCGUAAUAGCUAAAUGGCCAUAUUGUGAGGCAUGUAACUGGAAUAUGCUACAUGCUUAUUCAUAAUCUACUAAUGGUGUAAAUGAAAUAAUCAUUUUUAUCUCAGUUUCAUAUAGUAUAAAAGGCUACACCUGUAUAGACCGAUGCUUUUUUAUAGGCACCUGCAUGGCCGCUGUCGAGAAGUUUGUUAUUUAAGAAUUAUGCAAAAGUAGCUUAUCAAUUUAGCGCAACCUGGGAGCAAGGUGCCAACAGUAUAUCGUGGACCUUUAAUAUUUUAUAAUGUGCCAGUAUAACCUGGGAGCAGGGUGUCAACAUAAUCUCUUAAUGUCCAGAAGUUUAUUAAGUAAACCCACAUCUUUUAACAAAAACUGAGAAGUAAAGGAACAAACGUUUGUGCACUCGAGGACAACAGAUGAGUUUAAUCAAUCAUGUCCGCGGUGUGGUUAUUAUCCCAUCUCAUAAUAGAGAUAUGGGAGAACGCGUAGAGCAAGGUCAGGAAGGAAGAGAAGAUUCAAGACCAUAGGGAAAAGGGAAAUGAAGGUGGCAGCAUGGGGCAAGGAAAAUGAAGGAAAUUAAGACUGCUAGCAAGAUCCGGGAGCUUCGUAGCCAGGCUUGUGCCAUCAGAUCGACCGGUUGAUUUAGUAACACACCUUUAUAAUCAUAUUAUUAACGGGAACUCCAAGGGACGCACCGAUGAAAUCCGGAGGCAGUACGGCGACAGCAUGCGCCGCUGCGUCUUGGAUUUCUUUUGAGGGGACGCUGCGUCGUGGAUGAAUAGUCGUUUUUUGAGGAGGAUUCGAGGGGAGCAGCGACGGAGAUACAGUAAAUGGGCCAAAGUUUUACUUUGCUGGGCCUGUACUUGCACAACCCGAUUAAGGAGAUGACGACCAGGUCCACCUGUGGAGCAGCGGCCCGAUAAUGUUGGCCGAGCGGGGUACACAGGUGACGGGGAAAAGUAAGUCAGAAUCUACCCGAGGGCGACCGUUGAUGAGCAUAAUCGGACGGUUAGCACACUUAAAUCGCUGUGGGGGGCCGUAGGUAGCCCCGUUUUACUGUUCAGUAAUGCUAGAAAGGCUAUCCAAACACACACAUUUUUGCUUUCUAGAUGGUUAUUCUGGUUUUUCUCAAAUACAUGUGUCCGCGAAGGAUCAAUCUAAAACUAAUUUUACUUGCCCUUUUGGUACUUUUGCUUAUACACGUAUGCCUUUCAGUUUAUGUAAUGCACCUACUACCUUUCAAAGAUGCAUGAUGGCUAUAUUUUCUGAUUUUUGUGAAAAGAUUUGUGAGGUAUUUAUGGAUGACUUCUCCGUCUAUGAAUCCUCUUUUGAUGAUUGUUUGAGCAACCUUGAUCGAGUUUUGCAGAGAUGCGAAGACACUAGUCUCGUCCUGAAUUGGGAAAAGUGUCACUUUAUGGUUAAUGAAGGCAUUGUCUUGGGGCACAAGAUCUCCGAGAGAGGUAUUGAAGUUGAUAAAGCCAAAGUUGAUGCUAUUGAAAAGAUGCCAUUCCCAAGGACAUAAAAGGUAUAAGAAGUUUCCUUGGUCAUGCCGGCUUUUAUAGGAGGUUCAUUAAGGACUUUUCUAAAAUCUCUAGGCCUCUGCCUAAUUUAUUGCAAAAAGAUAUUCCUUUUGUCUUUGAUGAUGAUUGUGUAGAAGCAUUUGAAACACUUAAGAAAGCUUUGAUCACUGCACCUAUUGUUCAGCCACCUGAUUGGAAUUUACCUUUUGAAAUUAUGUGCGAUGCUAGUGAUUAUGCUAUAGGUGUUGUUUUAGGGAAAAGAGUUGAUAAGAAAUUGAAUGUUAUCCAGUAUGCUAGUAAGACUCUUGAUACUGCCCAGAGAAAUUAUGCUACUACUGAAAAAGAGUUCUUAGCAGUUGUGUUUGCAUGUGAUAAGUUUAGACCUUAUAUUGUUGAUUCCAAAGUUACUAUUCACACUGAUCAUGCUGCUAUUAAAUAUCUUAUGGAAAAGAAAGAUGCUAAGCCUAGACUCAUUAGAUGGGUUCUCUUGCUCCAAGAAUUUGACUUGCAUAUUAUUGAUAGAAAGGGAGCUGAGAACCCUGUUGCAGACAACUUAUCUAGGCUAGAGAAUGUUCUUGAUGACCCACUGCCUAUUAAUGAUUGUUUUCCUGAUGAACAAUUAGCGGUUGUCAAUGCUUCUCGUACUGCUCCUUGUUAUGCUGAUUAUGCUAAUUACAUUGUUGCUAAAUAUAUACCGCCUAGUUUCACAUACCAGCAAAAGAAAAAGUUCUUUUAUGGUUUAAGACAUUACUUCUAGGAUGAUCCUCACCUUUAUAAAGAAGGAGUAGAUGGUAUUAUUAGAAGUUGUGUGCCUGAGCAUGAACAAGAACAAAUCCUACGCAAGUGUCACUCUGAAUCUUAUGGAGGACACCACGCUGGAGAUAGAACUACACACAAGGUACUACAAUCUGGUUUUUAUUGGCCUACUCUCUUCAAAGAUGCUCGUAAGUUUGUCUUAUCUUGUAAUGAAUGUCAAAGAAUAGGUAACAUUAGUAGACGUCAAGAAAUUCGUAUGAAUUAUUCUCUUGUUAUUGACCCGUUUGAUGUUUGGGGCUUUGAUUAUAUGGGACCUUUUCCUGCCUCCAAUGGUUAUACACAUAUUUUAGUUGAUGUUGAUUACAUUACUAAGUGGGUAGAAGCUAUUCCAACUAGUAGUGCUGAUCAUAACACUUCUAUUAAAAUGCUUAAAGAAGUUAUUUUUCCAAGGUUUGGAGUCCCUAGAUAUCUUAUGACUGAUGGUGGUUCACACUUUAUUCAUGGUGCUUUUCGUAAGAUGCUUGCUAAGUAUGAUGUCAAUCAUAGAAUCGCAUCUCCUUAUAACCCGCAGUCUAGUGGUCAAGUAGAGUUGAGCAAUAGAGAGCUCAAAUUAAUUUUGCAAAAGACUAUGAAUAGAUCUAGAAAGAAUUGGUCCAACAAACUUGAUGAUGCAUUAUGGGCCUAUAGAACUGCAUACAAAAAUCCUAUGGGUAUGUCUCCAUAUAAGAUGGUUUAUGGAAAAGCAUGUCAUUUACCUCUUGAACUUGAACAUAAAGCAUAUUGGGCUAUUAAAGAGCUCAAUUAUGACUUCAAACUUGCCGGUGAGAAAAGGUUAUUUCAUAUUAGCUCACUUGAUGAACGGAGAACCCAAGCAUAUGAGAAUGCCAAGCUUUUCAAAGAAAAAGUCAAACACUGGCAUGAUAAGAGGAUACAAAAGCGUGAGUUUAACGUAGGAGAUUAUGUGUUAUUAUUCAACUCUCGUUUAAGAUUUUUUGCAGGAAAACUUCUCUCAAAAUGGGAAGGUCCCUACGUUAUCGAGGAGGUCUAUCGAUCUGGUGCUAUAAAAAUCAACAACUUCGAAGGUACAAAUCUGAGGGUGGUAAAUGGUCAAAGAAUUAAACAUUAUAUUUCAGGUAAUCCUAUCAAUGUUGAAACUAAUAUUAUUGAAACCAUAACCCCUGAGGAAUACAUAAGAGACACUUUCUAGAACGUUCGAGACUCCGAAAAGGCAUAGGUACGUGGUACGGUAAGUAAACCGACUCCAAAACAACUCUAAUGGCAAUUUUCAUCAGUUUUCGAUUAUUUAAGAAUUUUAGGAAGAAAGAAGUUGUCCGAAAGGGACACGAGGCUCCCACGAGAGAGGAGGUCGCGCCCCCCUGUAGGGCGCGCCCCCUGUCUCGUGGGCACCUGGUGUGCCUCCCGGACUCCGUUUUCUUGUAUGUUACGUAUUUUGGUCGAUAAAAAUUCAUUAUAUAUACUCUCGAAGGUUUUGACCACCCUAUCACACAAAUAUCCUCUGUUUUUGUUUCGAGCUGUUCCUGUUGCAGAAUAAAGCAAGAUGUCUUCUCAGGAGUCAGUUGGGGAGAGCCGGGUGUCUCACCCAAUGCCAGGUCCAGGAGCAAAUAGCGACGCCUAUCAUUUUGGACCAUCAACGGAGGAUGAGAUGGAGGCUGGUUUGAAAAUAAUAGAUGCCAUGGAGGAGGAUCAAGAAGUUACCUCUCGUCUUCGAGCAGAAUUCACUAUGGGGGAACUACCUAGCCUGGCUGUCCCUACUUAGGUCACUCCUUCCAACUCUAGAUUUCUUUCUUAUGAAAAUAUGAAAAAGAGUUUCACUUGUUCUCCAGAAGCUAUGCAACAUCCUUGGGUAAAAGGAGCCUUGACCGUUACGGGCAAGCUCCGUAAGGAAAAUAUGGACCUCAAACAACAAGUCAAUAAGCUCGAGGAGGAGAACCGUAUCCUGAAGGGCAUAAUCGCCAAGAAGAUCAUAACACCAACCGUGAAGAAGAAGAAAUAAUCACAUGGGUAUUGGCACUCCCUUUGGCGACUGCCAAGCUUGGGGGAGGUGCCCCGGUAUCGUAUCACCAUCACACUCCUAUUUUUACCGCUUUAUUUAGUUCGAUCCUUUUAGUAGUAUCUUGAUCUAGUAGUUUGAAGUUUUUGAUAUCAAGUAGCUUUGAGUUUUGCAUUGUGAUCUCUUUAUGUAAUCGAGUCCAUGUGCUAUCUAUAAUAAAGAUUAGUGUUGAGUCAAGGGCUUUGCUAUGUUGCUAUGAUAUUGAGAAAGUAGAAAGAAUAAAAGAGUUCAUAUUCACACAUAGAAAGUAUGAGGCAUAAAAAUUGUUGAGAGUUGAUGAACGCAGUGUUGGUCAUCCUUGCAAUUAAUAGGAAGUGAUAAGGAAAGAGGGGUUCACAUAUAAAUAUAUUAUCGUGGACAUUUUCUAUAAUUGGGAGCACUCAUUAGGUAUGACAUGCUAAAAGAGUUGACGUUGGACAAGGAAGACAACGUAAUGGUUUAUGUUUUCCGACAUCUCAGUUAAAGUAUAUUGUCAUUGACCUUCCAAACAUGUUGAGCUUGCCUUUCCCCCUCAUGCUAUCCAAAUUCCUUGCACCAAGUAGAAAUACUACUUGUGCUUCCAAAUAUCCUUAAACCCAGUUUUGCCAUGAGAGUCCACCAUACCUACCUAUGGAUUGCGUAAGAUCCUUCAAGUAUGUUGUCAUCGGUGCAAGCAAUAAAAAUUGCUCUCUAAAUAUGCAUGACUUAUUAGUGCAGAGAAAAUAAGCUUUGUAUGAACUUGUUGUGGAAGUAAUAAAAGCGACGGAUUGCAUAAUAAAGGUCCACAUACAAGGGGCAACAUAAAGUGACGUUCUUUUCCAUUAAGAUUUUUUAUAUCCAACCCUAAAAGCGCAUGACAACCUCUGCUUCCCUCUGCGAAGGGCCUAUCUUUUAUUUUAUGUUUUUACUUUAUGCUUGAGUCAAGGUGAUCCUCACCUUUCCCUUUUUCAAUUUUAUCCUUUGGCAAGCUCUUCGUGUUUGAAAGAUCAUGAUAUAUAUAUCCAAUUGGAUGUAAGUUGGCAUAGGCUAUUAUUGUUGACAUCACCUAAAGGUGAAUACGUUGCGAGGCAACACAAGAAGCCCCUAUCUUUCUCAGUGUCCGGCUGAAACUCUAUAACCACAAGUAUUGCGUGAGUGUUAACAAUUAUGGGGGACUACGAGAUAGUUGAGUAUGCGAGCUUGUUGAAAAACUCUAUUAUUGACUCUUUCUGAUGUUACGAUAAAUUGCAAUUGCUUCAAUGACUGAGAUUAUAGUUUGUUAGUUCCCAAUGAAGUUUUUGAACCAUACUUGACAUUGUGAAUUCUUAUUACUUGAGCAUAGGAAAUCAUAUGACAAAAUCUAUAUAUGUUGCUUUUAUUAGAAUGAUCAUGAUGCCCUCAUGUCCGUAUUUUAUUUUUAUCGACACCUCAUCUCUAAACAUGUGGACAUAUUUUUCGAUUUAGGCUUCCGGUUGAGGACAAGCGAGGUCUAAGCUUGGGGGAGUUGAUACGUCCAUUUUGCAUCAUUCUUUUAUAUCAAUAUUUAUUUAUGGGCUGUUAUUACACAUUAUAUCUCAAUACUUAUGGCUAUUCUCUCUUAUUUUACAAGGUUUACCAUGAAGAGGGGGAAUGCCGACAGCUGGAAUUCUGGCUGGAAAAGAGCAAACGUUGGAAACCUAUUCUGCACAACUCCAAAAGUCCUAAAACUCCACGAAACAACUUUUGGGAUUUAAUAAGAAUUUAUGAGCGAAAGAAAUAGGCCAGGGGGCCCACACGCUGUCCAGGAGACAGGAGGGCGCCCCCCUGUAGGGCGCGACCCCCUAUCUCCUGGGCCCACUACUAGAAAAACCGCUACUAAUGGCGCACCUAAUUUGGCCAUUAAUGGCGCAUCACUGGUGCGCCAUUACUAGCACGCCAUUAGUAAUUUUUACUAAUGGCGCACCAGUGGUGCGCCAUUAGUAUCUGGUAUACUAAUGGCGCACCACUGGUGCGCCAUUAGUAUAGGCCACGGUGCACCAUUAGUAUGCCUCCCAGGGGCCAUGUAUACCCAGGUGCUUUGGCAUACUAAUGGCGCAUGACCAUGGGAUGCGCCAUUAGUAACCGCGGCAUACUACUAAUGGCGCACUGUCAUGUGAUGCGCCAUUAGUAUGAAUAUUAGUUUUUUUUUAUUAUUUUCUGUUUUUUGCACAGGUUACAAAAUGUAUAAUUUGACAAAAUAUAGACAUCACACAUAAACAACAGAUUCAUCGAAUACAAUAGAAGAUUAGUCUGUGAAUACAACUAGAUGACCAGUUGCGCCAAUGGCGCAAAGGCCGAGAGUAAGCCAUGUAUUGAAAGAGUAACAUUAAUAUUAUUCAGACACAUAUUGAAACAUAUGAAAAUAAGUACUUAUUGCUGGUAGAUAGAUACUUAGUAAUGAUACAUAGUGUUCUAAGAAGCUUAUGAUUAAUUAUUUACAAUGUUAUUAGCAAACAAAGUAGAUAGUCACAUAUAGGCGCUAUGAAGUGAUAAACAUUAGAUAGAGUCAUCGUUGCACCCUUGACCAUGGCACAAAAAGCGAGAGCGAGCCAAGCAUUCAAAGUAUGUGUAUGAGAUUGAUUUAGAAUCAACUUAUAAAGAUACUUAUAUUCCAUUACAUGAAAGCUAUGCUUGAAAGAAAAUAUUCCGAUCAAUUGGUGAUAGCAUACAUUGGCUUUAAAAGACAUGCUAUAUUAGCAUAGAUGAAUGGUGUAUAUAGUGCUUGCCCAUUAACCAUUGCUCGAGUCUUGUACCUGCCAUCAACAGGAAGGAAAGAACCUAUGACCCAGGCGGACGAACAACCUAGCCGUACACUGCAGACAGGACCAGAGGCCUAUAGAGGAACAAAAAUAAUCAAGCGACUGUAUGUAAAACAAUAAGCAGAUGGUACGCCACUGGGAGAGACUGUAUUUGAUACAUAUAACAAUUGAGCAUAUUUUUGGAACACCAACUGGACCAUGAAACAAACAUAUAUAGCAAGCCAAGAAAAGGAGGAAUCAUGAUGCCACAAUGAAAAGAGUAAGUCCAAUGGACACAACUACAGAAGUACAUGUCAUAGGACAAGAUGCAAAAUCUAUAUAUCAAUUAGAUAUAGAAACAAAAACAGGAAAGAGUAAUCAUAAUGAUCUGAGUAUGUUGUAGAUUUCCUACUGAAAUUAUAAUUUAAUAAAUUUAAUGUCAAGAGAAAUGCAAUGAGGAAAGGGCCUGUAACAUGGAGUUGGUCCAACCCAGCCUCUCUAAUUCAUGAAACAGUAAGUUAAUUGUCACAGUCUUCUAGUUAUUAAUGGUCCUGCGUCACUAAUCUCAACCAACGCCAAAAGUUUGUGAUCCCAUGAAUGUACUAAGCGAUUUCCAUCAAGCCUGGACCAGCUCUCUUAGAUACCCCUGCCAAAAAUAGGAAAAUGGAACUUUGAAUACUCUCAGCUUACACAAAAUAAAAAACUAUGCAGGACAUGAUAGACACUUAAAAUUGCAAAGUUCAUUCGAUGUCAUAAAGCAAAAGACUAAGAACCAUUAUGUACCAACCUGGACGUUGCCUCUUACUCCCUUAGAUAUCAUGGUUCAACAAAUAAACCUCUUACUCCCUAGAAAUAGUAAAUCCCGCCUUCAUCAAUUACAGGGAGGAGCUUCCAACUGGAUUUGAAGUACCAUUUGUAUUAUACCCUCCCUAUACCAGUAUAAAAAACAACAAUCUUUUCACCAUCAAUAGUUAUCCUGCAACAUCAUUUAACUCUCACAUGAUUUAGAGAGAGUAGUAAUGAAGCACAGAUAAUAACAUUUGUCAGAAAAGAGUAGGAGAGAAACAAACAGAGUACAAUUUGAAUGCUCAGAACAAUCAAAUUAAACACUACAGGGAAAACUAAGAACAAUCAACCUUAACUACUGUAGGGAAGAUAAAAGUCGUCUCAAAUUAACUGCUAUUGGCUUUACUAAUCUACUAUUGUUCAGACUGAUUAUCAACUACUACAGGAAAAACCAAGAACAAUUGACCGCAACUAUUGCAUGAAAGAUAAAGCAUUCUCAAAUUCUUUUUUCUUUCCGAGUUGAAUGACUCCAUCCAGACCAAAUGACCAAGCUGGUCAUAAAAAGGGACAUAAAAAAAUGUCGAUAGAAGUGAAUCAGUAAAAACAAAAACCAAAAACUGUAUGCGAAUAAUCAAGAUGGGAUGAGUGCUUUUAAGCACCAUGUCAAGAACCAGAGCCAUGGCGAAAAUUCUGGUGAUUUCAUAUGCAGAUAAAUGUGCAAAAGUAGCAAGAUGACUCAGACUGACAAACAAAUCUCUUGACAGUGCUCUUUGGCAAGUGCUGCAGAGAUGGAUAAUACUCAAUCAGUCUCUAUACCAAUGUCUCCUGUAGGCUGGGUGUAGUACACAGCUUUUGGGAGCUAUAGAGUGUGUUCAGCAUAGCAUCCAAAAUAACCCUUGGUGGAAUGUGUACAGGAUCCAUUAGGAAAUCCUAAGAUGAUUUUAUAAAUGUUAGAUUAUCGCUCAUAAAAAAGGCCAUAUAAGGAUUAUUGCCAUUGAUCAGUACUAUGCAUAUGUAGUAUGGUCAAAGAAGAUAGAUAUGAACAAUUGGUGUUAGCUACCAUGUCAGACUAAAACUAAAAGAACUUGUUGAGUAAUCAUAGAUAGCAGGAAAGUCUAUGUUGGUUGCAUUUAAUUAUUCAGUUUUAGUACAGGUGCUGUUCAAGAAUGGCAGAACCAUUUUCUACCAAAGCUCACUAUACUAAAGGCUUAUCCAAUGCCAUAGCAGAGCCGAUCAAAGAGGCACUAACGGACAGGGGUCUCGCAAAGUACAUCAUGAAUUUCCAUGUCUCAAUCUGGCAGUGUAAAACUGUAGGUUCCAUGGCUCAAAAAUAGCUAAGUGAUUUGAAUCUAAAAUAAACCUAGGUUUAUUACCUAUAAGGCCAUCCCCAGGAAUAUCAAUCUCUACACCAGCAAGCACAUGACCAUUCCCGUCGAUCUCACACAAGUAAAAAGGCGGAAGCAAUGCACAUUGUGCUGCCACAGUUCCAAAAUUGGAAGAACAAAGGACACCAGAGCACACAUUCUAGGUAAACGAAGUAAUUACACAAUACGAAGCAGGAAAGAAUAUAUGUAAGCACACAAAUAAAUAGUAUAAGGUGAGAGGAUAAAACAUUCCAUGCACAAUAAAACCGUUCUACCAAGAACGCUAAAGACACUAUGUUAGAGGAACAAAAUGUAUUGAAACAGUAAACAAUUAGCAGGGAAAGUACUAAUAAUAAUCACCUUCACAAGAUGAAAGAAAGCAGAUGAGGCCCUUGACGAGAUCAACAGCACUAGAAUCCCAAGAACAGACCUAGAAGAAAACAGUUCAUAAAUCAGGACACAACCAAGCUUUCUACCCACAAGGAAACUCUUCUACCAAGAAUGCUAAAAACAGUAUAUACAACAGCACGAGCAGAAGGGAAUAGGACAGAUCUUAACCCCAAACAGAAAAAGGAUUCUAAGCACGACCGCAUUUCAUCGAACAGGUAGAAAGCAAGCGGGGAAAAAGUGGCUUACCUCUGACGAAACAUAAAUCGCACAGUUCAGACCGACACAAGAAUCAAGAAUUAGAUCCUGCAAAGAAGAGAGAGGAAUCAGUUACACUUGGGUUGUUUUUUCUCUUAAAGAGGAUUGAAUCCUAACCCUAGAGCGAGAGGAAAAAAGAGAGAAGGAGAGGCAGGGGCGAAGAGGCAUAGCAGAGGAGGAGCAUGAGGAGCAGGCCUCCACAGCCAGAGCGCCGCCGACCGCCAUGGGAGAGAUUAGAUCCUGCAAAGAAGAGAGAGGAAUUAGUUACACUUGGGCGGGCGCGUCGCCGCCUGGUCGUCCUCCUUCUCAUGCAUCUGCCCCCUCCCUCUUCUCAUGCGACGGUGGUGUCGGGGCGGCGCUGGGGCGGCGGGGCGACGGUGGCGUCGAGGGCGGCGGGGUGACGGUGGUGUCGGGACGGGGCGACGGUGGCGUCGAGAGCGGUGGGGCGAUGGUGGUGUCGGGGCGGGGCGACGGUGGCGUCGGGAGAGGAGAUCGGGGAAGGGGAUCGCGGGCGAGGGCGAGGGAGAGAGAGGGGAUCAGUACGAAGUAGGGGCGCCACAAUACUAAUGGCGCACCACCCCUCGGUGCGCCAUAAGUACAUACAUGCUAAUGGCGCACCGCGGGUGAGUGCGCCAUUAGUAGUUUUGUAGAAAAAGGAAUAAAAAAUAAUAAAAAAACAACAUUAGUGGCGCACUUUCUGACUGGUGCGCCAUUACUAGUUACCACUAGUAAUGGCGCACUUCCUAUGGAUGCGCCAUUAGUAUGUUUGGACAGGCGCACUAGUUAAAAAAAAUUUGAUACUAAUGGCGCACCAUGGGCCAGGUGCGCCAUUAGUAGUUUCAACACUAAUGGCGCAUCAGAAGGUGGUGCGCCAUUAGUAUAUACUAAUGGCGAACCACUUGUCUGGUGCGCCAUUAGUGCCAAUCCCAUCUAUAGCCCUUUUUCUAGUAGUGGCCCCAUGGUGGGCCUCCGGCGUCCAUCUUCUGCUAUAUCAUCACUUUUACCCUGGAAAAAUCGUGGGCAAGCUUACGGGAUGAAACUCUGCCGCCACGAGGCGAAAUCUUGGCGAAAUCAAUCUAGGGCUCUGGCAGAGCUGUUCUGUCAGGGACACUUCCCUCUGGGAGGGGGAAAUCAUCACCAACGUCAUCACCAAUGAUCCUCUCAUCGGGAGGGGGUCAAUCUCCAUCAACAUCUUCACCAGCACCAUCUCCUCUCAAAACCCUAGUUCGUCUCUUGUAUCCAAUCUUGUAUCAAAACCACAAAUUGGUACCUGUGGGUUGCUAGUAGUGUUGAUUACUCCUUGUAGUUGAUGCUAUUUGGUUUACUUGGUGGAAGAUCAUAUGUUCAGAUCCUUUAUGCAUAUUAAUACCCCUCUGAUUAUGAACAUGAAUAUGCUUUGUGAGUAGUUACGUUUGUUCCUGAGGACAUGGGUGAAGUCUUGCUAUUAGUAGUCAUGUGAAUUUGGUAUUCGUUCGAUAUUUUGAUGAGAUGUAUGUUGUCUUUCCUCUAGUGGUGUUAUGUGAACGUCGACUACAUGACACUUCACCAUUAUUUGGGACUAGAGGAAGGCAUAGGGAAGUAAUAAGUAGAUGAUGGGUUGCUAGAGUGACAGAAGCUUAAACCCUAGUUUAUGUGUUGCUUCGUUAGGGGUUGUUAUGGACCCAUAUGUUUAAUGUUGUGGUUAGGUUUACCUUAAUACUCCUUUUUGUAGUUGCGAAUGCUUGCAAUAGGGGUUAAUCAUAAGUGGGAUGCUUGUCCAUGUUAGGGCAGUACCCAAGUGCCGGUCCACCCACAUAUCAAAUUAUCAAAGUACUGAACGCGAAUAUUAUGAACGUGGUGAAAACUAGCUUGACGAUAAUUUCCAAUGUGUCCUCAGGAGCUCCUUCUUCAUUAUUAGAAUUUGUCGAGGCUUAUCCUUUGAUACAUAAAGGAAUGGGCCACCUUGCUGCACUUUAUUUACUUUAUUUACUUUUUGCUUGUUACUAUUUAUCUUAUCACAAAACUAUCUAUCACGUACUAUUUCAGUGCUUGCAGAGAAAACCUUAUUGAAAACCGCUUAUUAUUUCCUUCUGCUCCUCGUUGGGUUCGACACUCUUACUUAUCGAAAGGACUAUGAUAGAUCCCCUAUACUUGUGGGUCAUCAAACAGUAAUACGGGAUGGGCCUUCGGUUAGUAGGUUAGUCCCAAAAAUGAUAUAAAUGUGUAAAAUAAAGCCCAUAAACAUCCAAAAGGGGUAAUAUAAUAGCAUGGAACAAUAAAAAAUUAUAGAUACGUUGGAGACGUAUCAUAGCUCCAUGCAGAGCAUUGUAGACAUAGAAAAUUUCCAAAAUACAUAAGGCUCUGAAUGUGACAGACCCGUUGACUAAACUUAUCUCACAAAUAAAACAUGAUCACACAUUAGUACUCUUUGGGUGUUAAUCACAUAGCGAUGUGAAUAAGAUUAUUGACUCUAGUAAACCCUUUUGGUGUUAGUCACAUGCCGAUGUGAACUAAUCACAUAAAGAUGUGAACUAUUGGUGUUAAAUCACAUGACGAUGUGAACUAGAUUAUUGACUCCAGUGCAAGUGGGAGACUGGAGGAAAUAUGCCCUAGAGGAAAUAAUAAAGUUGUUAUUUAUAUUUUCUUAUAUCAUGAUAAAUGUUUAUUAUUCAUGCUAGAAUUGUAUUAACUGGAAACUUAGUACAUGUGUGAAUACAUAGACAAAACAGAGUGUCCCUAGUAUGCAUCUACUUUACUAGCUCGUUGAUCAAAGAUGGUUAUGUUUCCUGACCAUAGACAUGUGUUGUGAUUUGAUGAACGACAUCACAUCAUUAGAGGAUGACGUGAUGGACAAGACCCAUCCAUUAGCUUAGCAUAAUGAUCAUUUAGUUUUAUUGCUAUUGCUUUCUUCAUGACUUAUACAUGUUCCUCUGACUAUGAGAUUAUGCAACUCCCGAAUACGGGAGGAACACCUUGUGUGCUAUCAAACAUCACAACGUAACUGGGUGAUUAUAAAGAUGCUCUACAUGUGUCUACAAAGGUGUUUGUUGAGUUGGCAUAGAUCAAGAUUAGGAUUUGUCACUCCGUGUAUUGAAGAGGUAUCUCUGGGCCCUCUCGGUAAUGCACAUCACUAUAAGCCUUGCAAGCAAUGUGACUAAUGAGUUAGUUGCUGGAUGAUGCAUUACGGAACGAGUAAAGAGACUUUCCGGUAACGAGAUUGAACUAAGUAUGAUGAUACCAACGAUUGAAUCUCGGGCAAGUAACAUACCGAUGACAAUGGGAAUAACAUAUGUUGUUAUGCGGUUUGACCGAUAAAGAUCUUCGCAGAAUAUGUAGGAGCCAAUAUGAGCAUCCAGGUUCCGCUAUUGGUUAUUGACCGGGAAUGUGUCUCGGUCAUGUCUACAUAGUUCUUGAACCCGUAGGGUCCGCACGCUUAACGUUCAAUGACGAUUUGUAUUAUGAGUUAUGUGUUUUGAUGACCGAAGUUUGUUCGGAGUCCCGGAUGAGAUCACGGACAUGACAAGGAGUCUUGAAAUGGUCGAGAGGUAAAGAUUCAUAUAUUGGAAGGUUAUAUACGGACAUCGGAAUGGUUCCGAUAAGGUUCGGGGAUUUAUCGGAGUACUGGGAGGCUAUCGGAACCCCCCGGGAAGUUAAUGGGACUUAUUGGGCUUUAGUGCACAGAGGGAAGAAGGGCCACAAGGUGGCGCGUGCCUCCCCCUGCCCAAACGAAAUUGGACAAGGGGUGGGGGCGCGGGCCCCCCUUUUUCCUUGUCCCUCUCCCUUUUUUCCCCUUUCCCCUCUCCGUAAGAUGGAAGGAGGGGGGCCGAAUCCCACUAGGUUUGGAGUCCUAGUAGGACUCCCUCCAUGGUGUGCCCCCCUUGGUCGGCCUCCUCCUCCCCCUCCUUUAUAUACAUUGGCAGGGGGCAGCCCAAAGGACAACAGAAAAUCUCUUAGCCAUGUGAUGUGCCCCCCUCCACAGUUUAACACCUCGUUCAUAUCGUCGUAGUGCUUAGGCGAAGCCCUACGCCGGUAACUUCAUCAUCAGUGUCGCCACGCUGUCUGAUACGUCUCCAACGUAUCUAUAAUUUAUGAAGUAUUCAUGCUAUUAUAUUAUCCAUCUAUGAUGUUUUAUAUGCAUUUAUAUGUCAUUUUAUAUGAUUUUUGGGACUAACCUAUUAACCUAGAGCCCAGUGCCAGUUUGUGUUUUCUCCUUGUUUUUGUGUUUUACAGAAAAGGGAUACCAAACGGAGUCCAAUUGACGUGCCAAUUUUUGAGGAUUUUUUAUGGACCAAAAGAAGACCACAGAGCAUCGGAGUUGGGCCAGAGGAGUCCCGGGCUGCCCACGAGAGUGGGGGCCACGCCCUCCCCCCUGGGGCGCGCCCCCUAUCUCGUGGACAGCCCGGAGACCUUCCUGACGUGAAACCAAUGCCAAAAAUUCCUAUAAAUACAGAAACCUUUGGGAAUUAACCUAGAUCGGAAGUUCCGCCGCCGCAAGCCUCUGUAGCCACGAGAAAUCAAUCUAGGCCCUCUCUGGCACCCUGCCGGAGGGGGCCAUCAUCACCGGAGGCCAUGGAGGAGGAUCUCGGAGGGGCCAUCAUCUCCAUGAAGGCCAAGGACCAGAGGGGGAAAGCAUGGAGGAGGAAGCACAAGGGGGAGAAACUCUCCUCCUCUCUCUUGGUGGCACCGGAGUGCCAUCGGGAGGGGAAUCAUUGUCGCGGUGAUCGUCUUCAUCAACAUCACCAUCAUCAUCACCAUCUUCAUCUCUUUUACGCGGUCCACUCUUCCGCACUCCGCUGUAAUCCCUACUUGAACAUGGUGCUUUAUGCCACAUAUUAUGAUCCAAUGAUGUGUUGCCAUCCUAUGAUGUUUUGAGUAGAUAUCUUUUGUCUUUGGGUUGAUUGAUGAUCUAGAUUGGUAUGAGUUGUAUGUUUUAUUUUGGUGCCGUCCUAUGGUGCCCUCCGUGUCACGCAGGCAUGAGGGAUUCCCGCUGUAGGGUGUUGCAAUACGUUCAUGAUUCUCUUAUAGUGGGUUGGUGAGUGACUGAAACACAAACCCGAGUAAGAGGGGUUGUUGCGUAUGGGAAUAAAGAGGACUUGAUGCUUUAAUGCUAUGGUUGGGUUUUACCUUAAUGAUCUUUAGUAUCUGCGGAAGCUUGCUAGAGUUCCAAUCAUAAGUGCAUAUGAUCCAAGUAGAGAAAGUAUGUUAGCUUUUGCGUCUCCCUCAUAUGAAAUUGCAAUAGUGAUUACCGAUCUUGUUAACAAUUGCCUAGGACAAUUCCGCACAUCGAUCCACCAUUAUUCCACACUCGCUAUUUAUAUUAUUUAGUAUUAUAUUCUAACUCUAUGAUAACAGCACCUACUUUUAUAUUUUAGCUCUCCUAUAUCAUACAAAGUUAUCCUCUUUAUACCCACAACACAUUUUUAUUUCUUGUUUCUAGUUGGAAGCAAAUGUUCGGUGCACGUAGAGUCGUAUUAGUGGCAGAUAGGGCUUGAGAGAAUAUUGAUCUUACCUUUAGCUCCUUGUGGGUUUGACACUCCAUAUUUAUCACUUCCACCUUUGGAAAUUGCUAUGAUGAUUCCCUGCACUUGGGGAUUAUCAAGCUCUUUUCUGGCGCCGCUGCCGGGGAGGAAUAGCGUGGGGUUGAUAUUCUCGUGUGUGCUUGUUUGCUUUCUUUACUUAGUAGAUUUUGUUUUUCCUUUUUGUUUCUGUUUAGUUGUGGGUGAAACAUACAAUUUUUUUAAAAAAGAAUGAAAAUACCAAAAAUUAUUUACUUGCCUCUCAUGCCUAAAAAAAGGUUUUUCAAAAAGAGAAGUGAUUGGAAAGUUAUGCAUUGAAGAAGUGAGGGUCGACCUUGAGCACUUGUGUUCAUGCUCACGGAAACAAUGUAGAAUAUUUCAUGGAAGUUUCUCUGUAAAUAAUUAUCCCCUCGUAUAUAUCCUUUGUAUUAUAAAAAUAAUGUGCCAAUCUUUGGUUCUAGUAUGAUAAGAUCGCUUGCUUACUAUGUGCAGAACAAAAACAGAAACUUUGGCUGUAGUGCAUGAAUUUACAUUUUUUUACUGGAAAGUCAAAUGGGUCUGAGACAUUUUGCACAUUACUUCUGUAUAAAUGUUUCAAAUUUUAAAAUUUAUUUCAUAAUUUUAGGAGUUACAGAAGUUUACUAAACUUCCAGAUUACUACAGACUGUCCUGUUCUUGACAGAUUCUGUUUUUCGUGUGUUGUUUGCUUAUUUUGAUGCAUCUAUGGCUAGUAUGUGGAGGUAUGAACCAUAGAGAAGUUGGAAUACAGUAGGUUUAACACCAAUAUAAACAAAGUAUGAGUUAAUUACAGUACCUUAAAGUGGUAGUUUGCUUUAUUACACUAACGGAUCUCACAAAGUUUUUGUUUAAGUUUUUGUGAAUGAAGUAUUUGAAGAACGAGGAGUUACCGAUGUGAGAAGAAUAAAGAGAGACAAGAGUUCAAGCUUGGGGAUGCCCAAGGCACCCCAAGUAAAUAUUUCAAAGGAUACUCAAGCAUCUAAGCUUGGGGAUGCCCCGGUUGGCAUCCCAUCUUUCUUCUUCAACAAAUAUCGGUAUACCUCGGUUUUUGUUUUGUUCACAUGAUUCGUGUCCUUUGCGUUUUUGUUUUUCUUUAAGAAUCAUGCUAGUAUAAGAUAGCUCUUCAUUGAUUUAUAGAAUACUUCAUGUGCUUCACUUAUAUCUUUUAAGUAUGGUCUUAUAGAAUUGCUCUUUGUGCUUCACUUAAAUCGUUUGAGUAUGGUUCUAUAGAAUGCUUCGUGCGCUUCACUUAUAUAUUUUGAGCUUGGAUAUUGGCUAUUCUAUAUUAAUUGUAGAAUGCUCCAGGAAAUUCACUUAUAUCUUUUGGAGUUUGAAUAAUACUAUAAUUAAAAGUGGGUUUGGAAGAGUGUCAACUUUAGGAAUUAGUGAUCCCACUAUCUUGGAGGGUGUUGAAUCUUUGUACGAUAUUUAUGAAAGUGGAAUUGGAAUAGUGUCAACUUUAGUUAGUAUUCCACUACUUCGGAAGAGGUUCCAAUUGAGUAUGAGAACAAGUUGCUAUCUAGGAUUCUACUGAAAAUUAUUAUGAGGGAGGAAUAUGUGCUUGUAGGAGUUGCAAUAAUAUCAAGCUUCCUCUCUAUGUGCUUAAAGUUUUGUAGUUAUACUUGUUUUGCCUUCCUAUGCUAGUUGACUUUUGUUCCUAUAAUUUGUGUGCUCACAAAAUCCCUAGGCAUAGGAAGUGAGUUAGAUUUAAAUGUGCUAGUCAUAUUCUUCAUGAUGCUCUCUUUGUGUUUCAACUCUUUUCUUUUAUGCGAGCAUCAUUGAAACCAUCAUGCCUAGCCAAAAGGCAUUAAAGAAAAGCGCUUGUUGGGAGACAACCCAAUAUUUACCCUUACUGUUUUUGUGUGUCUACAUGAUUAAGCUACUGUAGUAAUCAUGUUUUAUGCUUUUUGUUUCAAUAAAGUGCCAAGUAAGACCUUUGGGAAGACUUGGGUGGAAGUUAAUGUGAUCUUGCUGUAAUAAAUAGAAAUUUUGCGCUCACGAGAUUAGCUAUAAUUUUUUAAAUAAGAGUGAUUUUGAGUUGAUUCUUUUUGCAGAAGAUUAAUAGACAAAUUUCUCACGUCCACCAAUUUAUUUAAUAAUUGUUGGAGUAGCAGAAGUAUGGUUAUUGUUCAGAUCAUUACAGACUGUUAUGUUUCUGACAGAUUCUGUUUUCAUUGCAUAGUUUGCUUGUUUCCUAGUUUCUAUGGCUUAUAUUUCCCAAUAUAAAUUGUAGAAAUGAUAUGUUACAGUAGGCAUUAUGUGAAAACAAAUAUGAACCUUGUCUUUUACAGUACCAAAGUGCAUGGUUUACUCUUUAUCAUACUAACCUAUCUCACGAAGUUCCAUUAAGUUUUGUGUGAUUGAAGUUUUCAAGUUUUGAGUGAGAUAUCGAUAUGAGGAGAAUAAGGAGUGGGAAGACCCUAAGCUUGGGGAUGCCCAAGGCACCCCAAGGUAAUAUUCAAGGAAGAAUCAAGUGCCUAAGGUUAGGGAUGCCCCGGAAGGUAUCCCCUCUUUCGUCUUCAAAACUAUCGGUAUACCUUACUCGAAGCUAUAUUUUUAUUCGUCACAUGAUAUGUGUUUUGCUUGGAGCGUCAUUUUCUUUUUGCUUGCUGUUAUUUAGAUAGUGUUUUGCAUCUUUAGUUUCAAUAAAAAUAUCAAGGAUAGCUGAGGGAGUCUUGGAUUAGGGGUUGUCCAGAUGGCCGGACUAUGACCUUUGGCCGGACUCCCGGACUAUGAAGAUACAAGAUUGAAGACUCCGUCCCGUGUCCGGAUGGGACUUUCCUUGGCGUGGAAGGCAAGCUUGGCGAUACGAUAUGAAGAUCUCCUCCCAUUGUAACCGACUCUGUGUAACCCUAGCCCUCUCCAGUGUCUAUAUAAACCGGAGAGUUUUAGUCCGUAGCACGAACAACAAUCAUACCAUAGGCUAGCUUCUAGGGUUUAGCCUCUCUGAUCUCGUGGUAGAUCAACUCUUGUAAUACCCAUACCAUCAAUAUUAAUCAAGCAGGAGUAGGGUUUUACCUCCACCGAGAGGGCCCGAACCUGGGUAAAAACAUCGUGUCCCUUGUCUCCUGUUACUAUCUGCCUAGACGCACAGUUCGGGACCCCCUACCCGAGAUCCGCCGGUUUUGACACCGACAUUGGUGCUUUCAUUGAGAGUUCCUCUAUGUCGUCGCCUUUAGGCCCGAUGGCUUCUUUGAUCUUCAACCAAGACGCGGUCCAGGGUGAGACUUUUCUCCCCGGACAGAUCUUCGUGUUCGGCGGCUUCGCACUGCGGGCCAACUCGCUUGGCCAUCUGGAGCAGAUCGAAAUCUACGCCCCUGGCCAUCAGGUCAGGUUUGGAAGUUUAAACUACACGGCCGACAUUCGCGGGGACUUGAUCUUCGAUGGAUUCAAGCCACGGCCGAGCGCGCCGCACUGUCUCGAUGGGCAUGAUCUAGCUCUGCCGCCGGACAGUGCCCAGAGUGCCGCUCAGGAUUCCGCUCCGACCAUUAGUUCGGAGCUGACUGCGCUAACCAGGGACGGACGGUUGGACGCCGCCCCAGGAGCCGCAAUCUCUACGGCGAUAGAGCCGAAUACCAGCCUAGUCCUUUGCAAGGCCCGUGACUCCAAGGUGUCGGACUCCGUUCCGGACUCCGAAUCUUCAGCACCCCUUCCGAUCGAACCCGAUUGGGCUCCGAUCAUGGAGUUCACCGCCACGGACGUCUUUCAGCACUCGCCCUUUGGAGAUAUCCUGAAUUCACUAAAGUCUCUCUCUUUGUCAGGAGUGCCCUGGCCGAACUACGGUCAGCAUGGUUGGGAUACGAACGACGAAGAAAUUCGAGGCCCACCCACCACCCACUUCGUAGCCACUGUCGACGAUUUAACCGACAUGCUCGACUUCGACUCUGAAGACAUCGACGGUAUGGACGCCGAUGAAGGAGACGACCAAGAACCAGCACCUAUAGGGAACUGGAAAGCCAUCUCGUCAUAUGACAUAUACAUGGUGGACACCCCCAAAGCAGGGGAUGGCGAGGAAAAAACGGAGGAUGACCCCUCCAAGAAGCAACCCAAGCGCCAACGUCAGCGGCGCCGCUCUAAAUCCCGCCAAAGCAAGAACGGCGAAUCCGGCACCGGAGAUAACAACACACCAGACAGCGCCGAAGAUAACCCCCUCCAGCAGGAUUCAGUGCAGGAGGACGAAAAAGCCAGCCCUCAUGAGAGAGCGGCGGACAGAGAGGUUGAGGACGACAACUAUAUGCCUCCCUCCGAAGACAAGGCAAGCCUCGACGAUGACGAAUUCGUUGUGCCAGAGGAUCCCGUCGAACAAGAGCGUUUCAAACACAGGCUUAUGGCCACGGCACGAAGCCUCAAGAAAAAACAUCAGCAGCUUAGAGAUGACCAAGACUUGCUAGCCGACAGAUGGACCGAAGUCCUGGCGGCUGAAGAGUAUAAACUCGAGCGCCCCUCCAAGAGCUACCCAAAGCGCAGGCUGCUACCCCAACUUGAAGAGGAAGCAACUAAACCUACAUCACCAGCGUACGAUGUGCCCGAUCGGCCACCCCGGGGCCGCGACAGAGAGGCCUUCAGGCCCUCGGCCCAAGACGCACCCCGACACCGCUCAAAACAUGCCAGAGUAUGGGGAGAUGCAACAGACCUAUGAGACAUAUUGGAGAACAAGGCAAGGCAAGAAGAUCGAUCUACGGAUCGCAUGGGCGCCCCGCAUCACGUGAUGAUAACCGUCACACCGGAUAUGAUAAAUACGGCCAGGCCGAAUACAACAGACCAAGCUCAUCCGAGCUCCGCCGCGAUAUAGCCCAGUACAGGGGAGCCGCACACCCACUAUGCUUCACAGAUGAAGUAAUGGAUCAUCAAAUCCCCGAGGGUUUUAAGCCCGUAAACAUUGAAUCAUACGACGGCACAACUGAUCCCGCGGUAUGGAUCGAGGAUUAUCUCCUUCAUAUCCACAUGGCCCGCGGUGAUGAUCUACACGCCAUCAAAUACCUCCCGCUCAAGCUUAAAGGACCAGCACGACAUUGGCUUAACAACCUGCCAGUAGAGUCAAUUAGUUGCUGGGAGGACCUGGAAUCCGCAUUCCUUGACAACUUCCAGGGCACUUAUGUGCGACCACUAGACGCUGAUGACCUAAGCCACAUAAUCCAGCAGCCAGAAGAAUCGGCCAGACAAUUCUGGACACGGUUCCUAACCAAGAAAAAUCAAAUGGUCGACUGUCCGGACGCCGAGGCCCUUGCAGCCUUCAGGCACAAUAUCUGAGACGAAUGUCUUGCCCGGCACCUAGGACAGGAAAAGCCGAAAUCUAUGGCAGCCCUUACGACACUCAUGACCCGCUUCUGCUCGGGCAAAGACAGCUGGCUAGCUCAUAGCAAUAACAUAACAAAGAGCCCUGGUAAUUCGGAUACCAAGGACAACAAUGGCAGGUCACGUCGCAACAAGCACAAGCGCCGCAUUAACGGUGAUAAUAUCGAGGAUACAUCAGUCAACGCCGGAUUCAGAGGCUCUAAACCCGGUCAGCGGAAGAAGCCAUUCAAAAGAAACCCUCUGGGCCCAUCCAACAUAGACCGGAUACUCGACCGCUCGUGCCAGAUACACGGCACCCCCGAACAACCAGCCAACCACACCAACAGGGAUUGUUGGGUGUUCAAGCAGGCAGGCAAGUUAAGUGCCGAAACCAGAGACAAGGGGCUGCGUAGCGAUGUCGAGGAGGAGCCCCGGCCGCCGAACAACAGAGGACAGAAGGGAUUCCCCCCGCAAGUGCGGACGGUGAACAUGAUAUACGCAACCCACAUCUCCAAGAGGGAGCGGAAGCAUGCUCUCAAGGACGUCUAUGCAUUGGAGCCAGUUGCCCCAAAGUUCAACCCAUGGUCCUCCUGCCCGAUCACAUUUGAUCGAAGAGACCACCCCACUAGCAUCCGUCACGGCGGAUUCGCCGCAUUGGUCCUAGACCCAAUCACUGACGGAUUUCACCUCACCAGAGUCCUCAUGGACGGCGGCAGCAGCCUGAACCUGCUUUAUCAGGAUAAGUGCGAAAAAUGGGUAUAGACCCCUCAAGGAUCAAACCCACAAAGACAACCUUUAAAGGUGUCAUACCGGGUGUAGAAGCCAGCUGUACAGGCUCAGUUACACUCGAAGUGGUCUUCAGAUCCCCGGAUAAUUUCUGAAGCGAAGAGUUAAUCUUCGACAUAGUCCCAUCCUGCAGUGGCUAUCACGCCCUGCUUGGACGAACCGCAUUUGCAAAGUUCAAUGCGGUGUCGCACUACGCAUAUCUCAAGCUCAAGAUGCCAGGCCCUCGCGGAGUAAUCACGGUAAAUGGAAACACCGAACGCUCUCUCCGAACGGAGGAGCACACAACGGCCCUGGCGGGGAAGUACAGAGCAGCCUCUCAAGGCAGCUCUCCAAUCCGGGUAUCAAACGUCCGGACAACGUCAAGCGCGCCUGAAGCAACCUACAACAGAGCUGGCUGGCACGAUCCAAGCAAGCAUAGCAGUGCGGCCCCAGCCCCAGCCCUCGUCAGAUGGUGCUAUCGGUACCACGCGUACAUAAUUACGCUUUGAAAAUACCAUGGGCAUAAGGGGAGGGGCACAAUUACGGCACGCCCAGAAUGCGGCUCAACCGCACUUAGGGCCUCCCUAUUUAGCCGUUUUCCUUUUUUAUAUAUACUUUCAGGACCCAACUACUCAGAAGGCCUGUCCGGCAAUACACUCGCCGAACACACGAUGCAACAGCCAGGGUGAGGACAAGCCGCGUCGAAUGUCCAGGUGGCCUCUAUAAUGAGUUAAAUACCUAUUUUUACUUACAAAACCCGCAGCUUGCCCCUGGAGGGGGACAUGUCAAAUAAUCCCAUCUCUUGCUUAUCGCACUAUUUGUAUCGUUCUGAUUUCAUAGCAGCCCCCUAAUAAUAAACAAUACAUAGCUUCUAUCUAUUAUUGUAUUCCUUUUUUAUAUAUAUGUUCAAUCAUGACAUUAUGCAGUCGUACACUUUGGUACAGCCAAUACACCAGGGGCUUAAGCACCCCAUUACAUGGUGUGAGAAGACCGAACACUCUCAUGCGUGCGGCACCCCGAACUUAUAGCACUAUAUGCAUCGGCUCCGAAUCAUGUCUUUGGUCAAUAGUUGGGUUUGCCCGGCUCCCAUGUUUUGGUACCUUACGUUCCGCAUUAUUGGCUAAGGUAGCGUUGGGAGAACUACUGCGAUUGUGCCCCAGUUGAGCUGGGUUAACACCUCAGUAGAGAAAGCUAAAACUGACUGUCAUGAUAGUGCGAGAGACCGGUCACUGUUCGCGAGGUUUUUCGAGUCCUUAAAGACUUAUGCCGCUUAGAGCGAGGAACCGGACUUAUCCGGCCUAGGCGUGGAUAGCGCCCCGAACUCGGUCUUCCGAAUACUAGGGGCUUCGCCGAAAUUUAAAAUUAUAGAAUUCUAUGGCUAAGUGAGAGUGAUUGUCACAUCCCUAGUUCUGGUAUGCUCAAGGCUAGCUAGUCAUUUGUGCAUCAUGUUUAAAUUCCAUUUAAUUUGAAAUGAGGAUUUGUGAAACCCUCAGAAUCAUUUUUGGAAAUGACCUAAAUAAAAAUUGCUCCAAAAAGGUCCAAGAAAAUGUUCAUGUUGCUCUCUGAAAAUAUUGGUCAGAGGUAAAAUUCAAACAAAUAUUUUAGGAGCUCAUGGAUAUUUAUUUUGGCCAUUUGGACUAAUCCGAUAAUUAUUUGCAUUGGAUAUAUGUAUGUCAUAUUUAUAAUAUAUGUCCAAAAAUUAUGCCAUUUGCUGAGGAGCUUUGGAAUAAUAUAGUUAGCUCCUGCAAAAAUUGGCAUAAGGUAAUAAAAUGAUUUAAUAUUUUAAUUAAAUCAAAACAAAUGUCAGAAAAAUAGAAAAGAAAACAAAAAUGUAAAAUGCUUACCUGUGCAGCCCGGCAGCAGCCAGCGCCGGCCCAGCCCACUGGCCCCUCCUCUGUCGUCUUCGUCCUCGACAGGAGGAUGGGCGCGUGCCCGACGCGCGCGCGUGCCGCCGCGCCACGCCACCAGCCUCCCUGCCUGCCUGCCCUCUCCCCUCCUCGUCUGGAUGCCCCGGGAGACGCCACGCGGCCCCUCGACCCUCUCCCACUCUCCCGUGUCUCUCCCUCGUCUGCUCUCUCCCUCCCGAGCACCACCGAGCGGAGCUCGUCGACGCCGCUCAUCGCCUACGUAGCCACAGCCUCCCCCUCGCCUCUCCGACACGCACAGAAGCUCCGCCACGACUUCCUCGUCUCCUCCGUCGAGCCACAAGACGCCGGACGCCCUGUGGAGCCGCCGUCGCCAUCGUCUUCCUCCUCGGACGCCGCCGACCGUCGACUCCGAUUCGCCGUCUCCAGUGCGUCCCCGAGCCCGCUUCGACGCCCGCUGCAACCGCUGUGAGCUCCGCCGCACUUUACCCCUAAUCUCGCCCUUGAUUUUGCCCUCUAACCCGUCGGGCCAUCAUGCCUGAGAGCUCGCCACCGCCGGCUAUGUCGCCGUCGCGGCUAGAGCGCACACGCGUCAUGCCUGAGCGCGUCACCGAGCUCAGCGCGGAUCCAAGAGCACGUAUCACCCAUCCGUUCAUCCAGAGGCGCUCUAUAGCGAGUCGCCGAUCCUGGCCGAGCUCCGGCCACCACCAAGGUCGACGCCGUGCCCAAGUCCGGCCACCUCGUGCCCUCCCCCUGCCACCGUUGGAUGCGCACGAGCCCCAGCUCCUCGUAGAUGGGCUCGGCCAUCGAUUUGAUCGCCGGAGCCGCUGUUCCGAUCAGCGCCGCCGCGUCUGUGUGCUCGCCGGCGUUGAACUCCGGUGAGAUGACGUGGCCCGCCAUUAGCAGCUAACAGCCCGCUUAAUUAACCCCCUGAGGCUGACAUGUGGGCCCCAGUGCCCCCUAAUCUUUUAAUUAAGCUAAUCUAACCCUCUGUUUACCCUGUGUCACUGACGUGUGGACCCCACACGUCAGAUUUGACCUGUUCAGCACCGUUGACCUGCUGACGCAGGCAUGACGUCAUGCUGACGCAAUUAUUUAUUUUCUGGUUUAAAUUUAAAUCAGGAAAUUCCAGAAAUUAGCAAAACUUCUAAAAUUCAUAGAAAUUCAACCGUAGCUCAGAUUGAAAUAAUUUAUAUAUGAAAAAUUAUGAGAAAAAUGCAAUCUUUCCAUCUGUACUAGUUUCAUGCAUGACAAACCAACUUAUACAUGUUGUAUAAGUGAAACACUAUAAUGGCUUAUAUAAAGAGCUUAUUUUGGAGAUGCAUUUGAACCUUUGGUUCAAAUGGACUUCAUCCAAAUAUAAUGCUAGCUGCAUUAGCACAAUCAGCAUCACAUCUUCAUGCCAUGUUCAUGCAUCAUUGUGUUGCAUAUGCUUGUGUUUUGAUUGUUGGCACUGUUCCUUCUCGAUAGGUCCUACUCCGGAGACGUUCCAGAGUACCUGUCUGUGAAGCAGUGCCUCCCUUGUUGAUUUACCAGGCAAGCAAACCCCCUUGUUCAUUCCGAUAUAAUCCUACUCUCUCGCUCCUGCUCUUUGUUAUUCCAUUAGGACAACAACGAUUCAUCUGCUACUUUGUGCUGCGGUAGUUGAACCCAUUCCUCUGCAUGACCUGUCAUUGCCAUAGUAAAUAGUUGAAACCCACUAGCAUGUGUAGGAGUUGAUUGAAGCCACUGAUGUGUUCCUACCAUGCUAUGCCUGCUAUUGCUUAGAGUUGUGUCAGGUCUGAUUCAUUGGGAAUGAAUUGGAGUGUUACGAUAUGUUCUGGUGCUAAGAGUUAAGUGUGUGAACACGAUUUGGUAAAGGUAGCGGUGAGAGGCCAUUUAGGAGUACAUGGUGGGUUGUCUCACUGGAACCGUCCUUAAGCACUGAGUUCUAUGUAUGUUGUCCAAUGACUCGAUACUACCACACAUUGGGCUCCGGGCGCUCCAAGCCCUCUCGACUUAUUAACCAACUUGAUCUCUGUCCAGGAGUCGCAACUAGUUUCUGGUGUUUGUAGGUAGUGCUAUUUUUCUACCAAGUGGCACCCGGCAGGGUGGGCUUGGGACAGACUAGGCACACGUGGCCUGGUGUACCGAGUGGCACCCGGAUGGUGGGCUCGGGAACCCUGCACACAUUGUUUGGGGCCGUGAGCGAAACCCCGGCCGGAUCUCCUUGCGGAUGGAACCCGAAUAGGCGAUAAACCUGGACUAGAGUCUUGUGUGGUUAGUCAGGUCGUGGCCGACACCCUCGCCAGGCUUCCGCUUGAAGGUUGCCGAGAUACAUGACGUGUACAUGGCGGUAAGUGGCGAGAGCGUGUGUGAAGAAGUACACCCCUGCAGGGUUAACAUGAUCUAUUCGAAUAGCCGGGUCCGCAGUUAUGGACUUCUUGGAUGCUUACAUGGUACAUAGACAACUUGAAGUGUAUACUCUAAAAAGCUCAAGACAAGUGUGAGUGCUAUGGAUGGCCUUCUCGUAGGGAGACGGGGAUGAAUCCAUAGUAGUGUAUUGUGUGGUGAUUAGUGGACUCGUGUGCGCCAUAUCACCUCAAGAGUUUCUGGUAGUCGUAGAAUAAGAUAGCCACUGAGUCAAAGCUGGCUUGCUGCAACUAAACCCCACAUUACCUUCUUGAUACACAUGCAUGUAUGAUAGGAUCUGAUGUAAGUCUUGCUGAGUACCUUUGUACUCAUGUUGCUUUAUUUAUGCUUUUGCAGCGGAGACUUCGGUCUUACUAGUGUUCCCGUGGACUUCGAUGAGUAGUUUGUACCUCAGCUACGAUCUUGAUCGGAUGUUGUAGAUAGUCAGGCUCUUCAGCCUUUUUCAUUUGUAGAUGUCUGUACCCAGACAUGUAAUGCUUCCGCUUGUUGCUUGUAUGCUCUGUAUGAUGGGUCUUGUGACCCCUGUUUGAAAUAAAGGCUAUGAUGGCUCUUUGAGCUUUAUCUAUGUGAGUUAUUGAGUUAUGCUGUGAUGCCAUGUUGUACAACACAUACUUGCAUGUUAUGCGUACGUGUAACGUGUAUUGCUAUGUGUGGGAUCUGACUAUCUAGUUGUUUAUCCUUAGUAGCCUCUCUUACCGGGAAAUGUCUCCUAGUGUUUCCACUGAGCCAUGGUAGCGUGCUACUGCUCCGGAACACUUAGGCUGGCCGGCAUGUGUCCUUCGUUCCUGUGUCUGUCCCUUCGAGGAAAUGUCACGCGAUGAAUACCGGAGUCCUGUUAGCCCGCUACAGCCCGGUUUACCGGAGUCCUGUUAGCCCAGUUGCUACAGCCCGAAUUCACUCGCUGAUGACCGACACGUUCGAUGCUGGGUCAUGUAUGCCUGUCCCUGUAAGUUAGUGCCACUUUGGGUUCACGACUAGCCAUGUCAGCCCGGGUUCUCUGUCAUAUGGAUGCUAGCGACACUAUCGUAUACGUGUUCAAAAAGGCGCAAACGGUCCCGGGCAUGGUAAGGCGACACCCAUGGGAAUACCGUGCGUGAGGCCGCAAAGUGAUAUGAGGUGUUACAUGCUAGAUCGAUGUGACUUAGGAUCGGGGUCCUGACAGCCUUGGUAUCAGAGCCUGACUGCCUGUAGGAUUACCAAGCCAAACUGGUCGAAGUUGAGUCUAGAAAUUCUUUAGUUAUGUAAGGGAAUUGAUUGUGGGAAGGAACGUAAGGCUCCUUUUACUCCGUUACCUCAUGGCCUUCUGAUCUGAGUCGUCCUAUCUUUCCUAUGGGGUUAAGGAACUAGGCUUUCUCUUCCGUCUAUUAGGAUCACGUGUUACUACUCUGUAGUCCCAUAGGAUUGGUUGAUCAGAGUCAUACCCCAGUUUUGAGUAUUUCCGGUGUAGUCUGUUUAGUAUGAUCUCAGAACCUUGAGUAAUGCUGAUGAGUAUGUUACCACCCCAUUUUUAGUAGGAUGUCUCAUUCUGAGCAUUUUACUACCGUUAUGCUGCCGGAAUUUCCCUAGGAGUUCGAGAGAUACUAAUUCCUUGUCCUACAUUCUACAGUCUAUAGUUGAUGCUGACUCCGUCCCUGGUUUCAUUUCUCAGGAUGUCAUCAAGUUCUAUUGUUCGUAGCCAGAACCAUGGAGAUGGUAGGGAUGAGGAUCCUCCCGACCCGCCUUCGUUGACACAGUUCAUGUUAGAAAUGGAGAGGAACAAGCGUGAGUCUAACCGUUUGUUGGCACGUAUCGAGGAGAACACCGCACAUCAGUCCAAUAAGUCUGCGACCAUUCAUGACUUCAUUCGCUUGCACCCACCUACCUUUCAUCAUUCCAUCGAGCCACUCGAUGCAGAUGACUGGCUCCGUAGCAUCACUCAUAAGCUGUGUUCCGCGAGCGUAGCUGAAGAUGACAAGGUCACUUAUGCCACAUACCACCUGGAAGGUCCUGCUAGUCUUUGGUGGCAGAACUAUGAGGCUAUGCUUCCAGCUGGCCAGAAUCCUACCUGGAGAGAUUUCGCUGAGGCUUUUCGCGAGCAUCACAUUCCUGAAGCCCUCAUCGAUCGCAAGAGAGAAGAGUUCUGUAGUUUCACCCAGAGUAAGAUGGCUGUUGAUGCUUAUAGUAGAGAGUUUGAGAACCUCGCUCGCUAUGCCACAGAAGAAGUGUCCACGGACGCCAAGAAGCAGGCUAGGUUCCGGAAGGGUCUCAACCCCAAGUUGCGUCGUGAUCUCCACCUGCAUCAUUGUGAUACAUUCCAAGCUCUUGUGAACAAGGCCAUCAAUGCAGAGACAGCUCAGCUCACUUACGAGGAGUCUCGUAAGCACACCCGUGAUUUGGGAUCCUCCUCUGGCUCUAGUUCCCAGAAGCGCCAGAUUUGGGUUCCAAACUCCGCUCUUCCUUCCGGAUAUGCACUGAGGCCAUCCCAUGUGGUGCCUCCCCCAGCUCAGCCAUAUGUUCCACCCAGGCCUACUGGUAGACCGCUUGUCAGUGCGGGUCCCCGUCCAACCUCAGGGACUUGCUUCACAUGCGGGAAGCCAGGACACUAUGCACGUGACUGCUCUCAGACUAGUUAUGCUCCACCCCAGCCCGAGAAGACUGUUGGCUGUGUUAAGCCAUCACGCAAGAUGAUCAGUGUCAAGUCAGCCCCCACUGAACGUGGACGUAUGCAUCACGUCUCAGCUAAAGACGCUCAUGAUGAUCCGGAUGUCGUCCUUGGUACACUCCUUGUCAAUUGUCACCCAGCAUCAGUUCUCUUCGAUACUGGAGCAUCUCACUCCUUCAUUUCUGAAGGCUAUGCUCGUUUGCACGACAUGUCAUUUUGUGAUAUGCCAACUCCGCUUGAAAUCCAAACCCAGGGUCUAGAUGGCAGACCACCAGAAUUAGCCAUGGAAAUGAAAUCCUUGUUGACAGACUUGUAUUCCUUGCAUCAUUUGUAGCCCUCAAGUCCUCAGAUAUUAAUAUCAUCUUGGGUAUGGACUGGAUGACAGCUCAUCAUGCCAAGAUUGAUUGUUACACAAGAUCUGUUCAGCUUACACACCCAUCUGGCAAGAUAGUCACUGUCUCCACUAGAGUUGCAAAGCGUCAGCUCUAUUCUCUUAAUGCCAGCCCUCUUCCAGACCUUGAAGAUAUCCCGGUAGUCCGUGACUUUCCGGAUGUCUUUCCAGAGGAACUGCCAGGUGUUCCACCUGACAGAGAUGUAGAGUUCGUCAUAGAUCUUAUCCCAGGAACUGCUCCAAUCUCUAGGAGACCCUACAAGAUGGCACCCUUAGAACUAGCCGAGCUUAAGAAACAACUUGAUGAGUCCUUGCAAAAGGGUUUCAUCCGUCCUAGUUCUUCUCCUUGGGCUUGCCCCGUCCUCUUUAUUAAGAAGGAUGGUACGGACCAGAUGUUUGUAGAUUAUCGUCCCGUUAAUUUGGUAACGAUAAAGAACAAGUAUCCGCUCCCCAGGAUCAACGACCUGUAUGAUCAGCUCGCUGGAUCCUUAGUAUUCUCCAAGAUGUAUUUGAGGUUAGGAUACCACCAAAUUAAGAUCAAAAAUGGGGACAUUCCCAAGACAACUUUUGUCACUCGUUAUGGCCAGUACGAGUACACCGUCAUGUCCUUUGGCCUAACCAAGGCCCCAGCCACAUUCUCCUGCUUGAUGAACUCGAUCUUCAUGGAGUACUUAGAUAAGUUCGUCGUGGUUUACCUCGAUGAUAUUCUUAUUUACUCGAAGAACGAGGAAGAGCAUGCCGAACAUCUUAGACUUGUGCUAGAAAAACUCAGAGAGCACCGCCUUUAUGCCAAGUUCUCCAAGUGUGAAUUUUGGUUGCCAGAAGUGACCUACCUAGGCCACGUAAUUUCUGGUAAGGGCAUUGCUGUCAAUCCCGAGAGAGUCAAGGCCGUUCUCGAUUGGACUCCACCUGAGACCGUUAAACAAGUUAGGAGUUUCCUUGGUCUAGCCAGCUAUUGUCGCCGCUUUGUUGAAAUUUUCUCCAAAGUAGCCAAACCCCUCACGGAACUUCUCAAGAAAGAUAAAAAGUUCGAGUGGUCCCCACAGUGUGAGUACAGUUUUCAGGAACUGAAAAGACGCCUGACUUCUGCUCCCGUACUUGUGCCACCGGAUUUCACAAAGGACUUUGUUAUCUAUUGUGACGCCUCACGACAGGGACUAGGUUGCAUUCUUAUGCAGGAUCGUCAUGUGAUUGCCUAUGCAUCUCGACAGUUUCAUCCACAUGAGGAUAAUUAUCCUACACAUGAUCUAGAGCUUGCAGCCGUAGUCUAUGCACUCAAGACCUAGCGACAUUACCUUCUUGGUAAACGUUGCGAGAUCUACACCGAUCACCAGAGUCUCAAGUAUAUCUUCACCCAACCGGAUCUGAACCUUAGGCAAAGACGUUGGUUGGAGUUGAUCACAGAUUAUGAUCUAGGGAUUACCUACACCCCAGGCAAAGCCAAUGUCAUGGCUGAUGCUCUAAGCCGUAAAUCCUAUUGCAACAAUCUCAUGUUGCAGCAAGGCCAACCACUUCUCCAUGAGGAAUUCUGUAAGCUUAAUCUUCACAUUGCUCCUCACGGAUUCCUUUGUACCUUGGUGGCGAAACCUGAUCUUGAAGAUCGGAUUGUCGCUGCUCAAAAGCAAGACACAGGAAUUUCUCGGAUCAAGAGAAACAUUAAGAAGGGAGUUGGUGGAUGUUUCUCUAUGGAUGAUCGUGGUGUUGUUUUCUUUGGGAAUCGCUUGGUGGUUCCCAAGAAUCAACAUCUGCGACAAUUGAUUCUUAAGGAGGCGCAUGAAUCUCCUCUCACGAUUCAUCCCGGUAGCACUAAGAUGUAUCAGGACCUACGCCAGAGGUUCUGGUGGACUAGGAUGAAGAGUGAAAUCGCCGACUUCGUUGCUAAUUGUGACGUAUGUCGUCGUGUUAAGGCAGAGCAUCAAAGGCCUGCUGGCACCCUUCAGCCUUUAGCUAUUCCUGAAUGGAAAUGGGAUAAAGUUGGUAUGGACUUCAUCACCAGCUUUCCCAGGACCAAGAGAGGGAAUAACGCUAUCUUCGUAGUCAUUGAUCGUCUUUCCAAAGUGGCUCACUUCCUUCCUGUUCGAGAGAGUAUCACUGCUAGUCAGCUUGCUGACUUAUACAUUUCUCGAAUAGUGUCACUUCAUGGUGUUCCACUAGAGAUCAAUUCAGACCGUGGCAGUCUUUUCACUUCUCAUUUCUGGGAGAGUUUCCAAACUGCCAUGGGAACCCAUCUUUCCUUCGGUACCGCUUUCCACCCUCAGUCGAGUGGUCAGGUGGAACGGGUCAACCAAAUUCUCGAAGACAUGCUUAGAGCUUGCGUUAUCUCAUUCGGUAUGGAUUGGGAGAAAUGUCUUCCUUUUGCCGAGUUUGCUUAUAACAAUAGCUAUCAAUCCAGCCUCAAGAAAGCUCCUUUUGAGGUUCUCUAUGGACGAAGAUGUCGAACACCUUUGAACUGGUCAGAAACCGGUGAAAGACAAUUCUUUGGACCGGACAUGAUCCAGGAGGCAGAAGAGCAAGUUCGCAUCAUUCGUGAGAACUUGAAAACAGCCCAGUCUCGUCAAAAGAGUCAGUAUGAUCGUCAUCAUAAGGAUAUGACUUAUGAAGUUGGCGAAAAAGCUUACCUUCGGGUUACUCCCUUGAAGGGUACCCAUCAUUUCGGUAUCAAGGGCAAGUUGGCUCCUUGUUACAUUGGUCCCUUUCGCAUUCUCGCUAAACAAGGAGAGGUUGCCUACCAGUUGGAACUACCCCCACAUCUUUCUCGAGUUCAUGAUGUCUUCCACGUCUCUCAACUCAGGCGUUGCUUCUCGGAUCCCAUCCGCGGAGUGGACCACGAAACGCUUGUUCUCCAAGAUAACCUCACAUACCGAGAGUACCCAGUUCGCAUUCUCGAUCAAGCAGAGUGUGUCACUCGACGUCAGAACAUCAAGUUUCUCAAGGUUCAGUGGUCUCAUCAUUCCGAGAGAGAAGCUACUUGGGAGCGAGAAGAUCGUCUUCGACUGGAGUACCCCGCUUUCUUUCCGUCGACCCCUGAAUCUCGGGACGAGAUUCUUUCAAGUGGGGGCGAGUUGUCACAUCCCUAGUUCUGGUAUGCUCAAGGCUAGCUAGUCAUUUGUGCAUCAUGUUUAAAUUCCAUUUAAUUUGAAAUGAGGAUUUGUGAAACCCUCAGAAUCAUUUUUGGAAAUGACCUAAAUAAAAAUUGCUCCAAAAAGGUCCAAGAAAAUGUUCAUGUUGCUCUCUGAAAAUAUUGGUCAGAGGUAAAAUUCAAACAAAUAUUUUAGGAGCUCAUGGAUAUUUAUUUUGGCCAUUUGGAUUAAUCCGAUAAUUAUUUGCAUUGGAUAUAUAUAUGUCAUAUUUAUAAUAUAUGUCCAAAAAUUAUGCCAUUUGCUGAGGAGCUUUGGAAUAAUAUAGUUAGCUCCUGCAAAAAUUGGCAUAAGGUAAUAAAAUGAUUUAAUAUUUUAAUUAAAUCAAAACAAAUGUCAGAAAAAUAGAAAAGAAAACAAAAAUGUAAAAUGCUUACCUGUGCAGCCCAGCAGCAGCCAGCGCCGGCCCAGCCCACUGGCCCCUCCUCUGUCGUCUUCGUCCUCGACAGGAGGAUGGGCGCGUGCCCGACGCGCGCGCGUGCCGCCACGCCACGCCACCAGCCUCCCUGCCUGCCUACCCUCUCCCCUCCUCGUCUGGAUGCCCCGGGAGACGCCACGCGGCCCCUCGACCCUCUCCCUCCCUCGUCUGCUCUCUCCCUCCCGAGCACCACCAAGCGGAGCUCGUCGCCGCCGCUCAUCGCCUACGUAGCCACAGCCUCCCCCUCGCCUCUCCGACACGCGCAGAAGCUCCGCCACGACUUCCUUGUCUCCUCCGUCAAGCCACAAGACGCCGGACGCCCUGUGGAGCCGCCGUCGCCAUCGUCUUCCUCCUCGGACGCCGCCGACCGCCGACUCCGAUUCGCCGUCUCCAGUGCGUCCCCGAGCCCGCUUCGACGCCCGCUGCAACCGCUGUGAGCUCCGCUGCACUUUACCCCUAAUCUCGCCCUUGAUUUUGCCCUCUAACCCGUCGGGCCGUCAUGCCCGAGAGCUCGCCACCGCCGGCUAUGUCACCGUCGCGGCUAGAGCGCACACGCGUCAUGCCUGAGCGCGUCACCGAGCUCAGCGCGGAUCCAGGAGCACGUAUCACCCAUCCGUUCAUCCAAAGGCGCUCUAUAGCGAGUCGCCGAUCCUGGCUGAGCUCCGGCCACCACCAAGGUCGACGUCGUGCCCAAGUCCGGCCACCUCGUGCCCUCCCCCUGCCACCGUUGGAUGCGCACGAGCCCCAGCUCCUCGUAGAUGGGCUCGGCCAUCGAUUUGAUCGCCAGAGCCGCCGUUCCGAUCAGCGCCGCCGCGUCUGUGUGCUCGCCGGCGCUGAACUCCGGUGAGAUGACGUGGCCCACCAUUAGCAGCUAACAGCCCGCUUAAUUAACCCCCUGAGGCUGACAUGUGGGCCCCGGUGCCCCCUAAUCUUUUAAUUAAGUUAAUCUAACCCUCUGUUUACCCUGUGUCACUGACGUGUGGACCCCACACGUCAGAUUUGACCUGGUCAGCACCGUUGACCUGCUGACGCAGGCAUGACGUCAUGCUGACGCAAUUAUUUAUUUUCUGGUUUAAAUUUAAAUCAGGAAAUUCCAGAAAUUAGCAAAACUUCUAAAAUUCAUAGAAAUUCAACCGUAGCUCAGAUUGAAAUAAUUUAUAUAUGAAAAAUUAUCAGAAAAAUGCAAUCUUUCCAUCUGUACGAGUUUCAUGCAUGACAAACCAACUUAUACAUGUUGUAUAAGUGAAACACUAUAAUGGCUUAUAUAAAGAGCUUAUUUUGGAGAUGCAUUUGAACCUUUGGUUCAAAUGGACUUCAUCCAAAUAUAAUGCUAGCUGCAUUAGCACAAUCAGCAUCACAUCUUCAUGCCAUGUUCAUGCAUCAUUGUGUUGCAUAUGCUUGUGUUUUGAUUGUUGGCACCGUCCUUCUCGAUAGGUCCUGCUCCGGAGACGUUCCAGAGUACCUGUCUGCGAAGCAGUGCCUCCCUUGUUGAUUUACCAGGCAAGCAAACCCCCUUGUUCAUUCCGAUAUAAUCCUACUCUCUCACUCCUGCUCUUUGUUAUUGCAUUAGGACAACAACGAUUCAUCUGCUACUUUGUGCUGCGGUAGUUGAACCCAUUCCUCUGCAUGACCUGUCAUUGCCACAGUAAAUAGUUGAAACCCACUAGCAUGUGUAGGAGUUGAUUGAAGCCACUGAUGUGUUCCUACCAUGCUAUGCCUACUAUUGCUUAGAGUUGUGUCAGGUCUGAUUCAUUGGGAAUGAAUUGGAGUGUUACGAUAUGUUCUGGUGCUAAGAGUUAAGUGUGUGAACACGAUUUGGUAAAGGUAGCGGUGAGAGGCCAUUUAGGAGUACAUGGUGGGUUGUCUCACUGGAACCAUCCUUAAGCACUGAGUUCUAUGUAUGUUGUCCAAUGACUCGAUACUACCACACAUUGGGCUCCGGGCGCUCCAAGCCCUCUCGACUUAUUAACCAACUUGAUCUCUGUCCAGGAGUCGCAACUAGUUUCUGGUGUUUGUAGGUAGUGCUAUUUUUCUACCAAGUGGCACCCGGCAGGGUGGGCUUGGGACAGACUAGGCACACGUGGCCUGGUGUACCGAGUGGCACCCGGAUGGUGGGCUCGGGAACCCUGCACACAUCGUUUGGGGCCGUGAGCGAAACCCCGGCCGGAUCUCCUUGCGGAUGGAACCCGAAUAGGCGAUAAACCUGGACUAGAGUCUUGUGUGGUUAGUCAGGUCGUGGCCGACACCCUCGCCAGGCUUCCGCUUGAAGGUUGCCGAGAUACAUGACGUGUACAUGGCGGUAAGUGGCGAGAGCGUGUGUGAAGAAGUACACCCCUGCAGGGUUAACAUGAUCUAUUCGAAUAGCCGGGUCCGCGGUUAUGGACUUCUUGGAUGCUUACAUGGUACAUAGACAACUUGAAGUGUAUACUCUAAAAAGCUCAAGACAAGUGUGAGUGCUAUGGAUGGCCUUCUCGUAGGGAGACGGGGAUGAAUCCAUAGUAGUGUAUUGUGUGGUGAUUAGUGGACUCGUGUGCGCCAUAUCACCUCAAGAGUUUCUGGUAGUCGUAGAAUAGGAUAGCACUGAGUCAAAGCUGGCUUGCUGCAACUAAACCCCACAUUACCUUCUUGAUACACAUGCAUGUACGAUAGGAUCUGAUGUAAGUCUUGCUGAGUACCUUUGUACUCAUGUUGCUUUAUUUAUGCUUUUGCAGCGGAGACUUCGGUCUUACUAGUGUUCCCGUGGACUUCGAUGAGUAGUUUGUACCUCAGCUACGAUCUUGAUCGGAUGUUGUAGAUAGUCAGGCUCUUCAGCCUUUUUCAUUUGUAGAUGUCUGUACCCAGACAUGUAAUGCUUCCGCUUGUUGCUUGUAUGCUCUGUAUGAUGAUUCUUGUGACCCCUGUUUGAAAUAAAGGCUAUGAUGGCUCUUUGAGCUUUAUCUAUGUGAGUUAUUGAGUUAUGAUGUGAUGCCAUGUUGUACAACACAUACUUGCAUGUUAUGCGUACGUGUAACGUGUAUUGCUAUGUGUGGGAUCUGACUAUCUAGUUGUUUAUCCUUAGUAGCCUCUCUUACCGGGAAAUGUCUCCUAGUGUUUCCACUGAGCCAUGGUAGCGUGCUACUGCUCCGGAAAACUUAGGCUGGCCGGCAUGUGUCCUUCUUUGUUCCUGUGUCUGUCCCUUCGAGGAAAUGUCACGCGAUGAAUACCGGAGUCCUGUUAGCCCGCUACAGCCCGGUUUACCGGAGUCCUGUUAGCCCAGUUGCUACAGCCCGGAUUGACUCGUUGAUGACCGACACGUUCGAUGCUGGGUCAUGUAUGCCUGUCCCUGUAAGUUAGUGCCACUUUGGGUUCACGACUAGCCAUGUCAGCCCGGGUUCUCUGUCAUAUGGAUGCUAGCGACACUAUCGUAUACGUGUGCCAAAAGGCGCAAACGGUCCCGGGCAUGGUAAGGCGACACUCGUGGGAAUACCGUGCGUGAGGCCGCAAAGUGAUAUGAGGUGUUACAUGAUAGAUCGAUGUGACUUAGGAUCGGGGUCCUGACAGUGAUAAAGCAUUAUAAGUCCGACGGCCUGGUUCGUUGUGCUGAGUGCCUCCCUAGAUGGACCCAAGAAUGGGAACAAGAGCGCUCAGGUUUAUCCCGAACACCCCAGCACUCAUGGCAUGGGGGUCGAAGCCGACGACUUGCAUCUCUCAGAUUUGAUAAAUGGCCGCAGAAAAGGUAAUAUUUUAAAUUAACAAGCGUUGCUUAACGCAUAUGAACAAAGUUUUCAGCAUAAUGGAUAACAGAUGCGAGCCUACUCAAAAAUUACAUCUUUGGAGCAUUCGUCCGCUAUACGGCGAGCACCCUUCAAGACACCCUUAUAAUACAUCUCGGGCGUGCGAUACUCCUUUCCCAGCGGUGGCGCGUCCGUCAAAAGCUUCUCAGCGUCCAGGUUGCCCCAUUGCACUUUAGCACGGGCAAGGGCCCGACGGGCACCUUCGAUGCAGACGGAGCGCUUGACGACCUCAAUCCACGGACACGCGUCCACCAGCCGCCGCACCAGACCGAAGUAGCUCCCAGGCAUGGCUUCUCCAGGCCAUAUCCGAGCUAUGAGGCCCUUCAUGGCCUGUUCGGCCACCUUGUGGAGCUCGACCAGCUGCUUCAGCUGGUCGCUCAGGGGCACCGGAUGUUCGGCCUCAGCAUACUAAGACCAGAACACUUUUUCCGUCGAGAUCCCCUCUUCGGCUCGGUAGUAUGCAGCGGCAUCAGACACACUACGGGGCAGAUAGGCGAACGCUCCUGGAGAGCUCCAGAUUCGGGUAAGUAGCAGAUAAUUAACUUUUAUAUUCGUGCUUUGCAUAAAGAAUGACUUACCGACCGUUAUUUUCUUCAUCGCCUCGAUCUCCUGGAGGGCCUUCUGGGCUUCGGCCUUAGCGUUUUUGGCACUCUCAAGAGCCAAGGCAAGCUCAGAGUCUCGAGUCUUUGAGUCACGCUCCAAACUCUCGUGUUUUUCCACCAGAGCCUGGAGCUCUUGCCGCACCUCCGCCACCCAUGCCUCCUGCUUCUCUCGCUCGGCGCGCUCCAGGGCUGCACUGUUUUCGGCCUUGGAGACCGCCUCCUUCAGGGUCGCCACCUCGGCCAUGGCCCCUGCAACAUUUAAGUUGGUCCUGUCAUUAUUUGCAACCAAGUAUUUCUAUAUACAUUUACAUGCAGUAUCACAUACCCUCCUUGUCCUCGAGCUGCUUCUUGGCACGGCCGAGCUUGUUCUCGGACCGCUCGAGGCUUCCCUUCAAUGCAUUGACCUCCGCAGUCAGUGCGGCAGAGGUCAGCAGCGCAGCCUGCAUUCCCAUAUGGACAUAUUUUUAUUAGACUCCUGCGUAUAUCUUUUUAGAUCCUCAGCUUGACUUUUCUUUCCGAACGCCGAAUCGAGCAUCAAGGGCUACUAUCUAUGCGGUAACAUUUUUAUAUGUUUUGAACACAUACCUCAAAGCCUGUUAACAGACUUGUACAGGCUUCUGUGAGCCCGCUCUUGGCGGACUGAACCUUUUGAAUCACCGCACUCAUAACAGUGCGGUGUUCCUCGUCGAUGGAGGCUCCGUUAAGCGCCUACAGCAAAUUGUCUGGCGCCUCCAGAUGGAUGGAGGUCGCCGGCGGCGUAGGCUUGCCCUUCUUAUGAAGGCGCCGCCCGUCGGACUCUGGAACCGCUGGUGGUUCCAGAGCAGUGUCCGGCCCGGGGCCGGACUUAGACCCCUCUGGGGCUUUACCCCCUUUGGGCCUGGAGUCUGGGAGGUCGCCUUGGGGCGCCUCCAGGACCACCUCCUCCUGGUUCGGUCCCUUUUGGGACUCCACCUCGGCAUCAUCCGCAGGGAGCGGGGAGGAGGCCGUCGGAAGUGAAGCGCUAUUCACAUCCGACGAAUUCAGGGAGCCGCUCGACGAAUUGCCGAGCUGAGCUCUGGGUGGACUGCAUGAUUAAAAUUCAGCGUUAGACAUUACCAAAUAAUAGAGGAGCGCGAUGAGUCAUUCGGGUAACCAGACACUUACGAUUUUGCCAGGGGCUUGACCCUGGAUGGCCAUUCCUCCCCGCUGUCUUCGGCAUCGGAGGCGUAGUCUGGGAGAAGGGUCUUCCCCUUCUUGGACCCUCCGGCCUCCCCAGUUGGGGCGGCUUUCCUUUUCUUUUCUCCCCCCGUUGGAGGGGGAGAGGCUUCUUCUUCUUCUUCUUCCUCCUCGUCUUCCAAGGCGGAGGGUGCAUCGGGGUUGUCGGGCGAUGAAUCCGACACCACCAGGCGCCGGGAGCUCUUUCGAGUCCCUGUGGCCUUCUUCUUGGCCUUCUUCUCUGGCACCACGUGAGGUGCCGGAACCAGCAGCCCCGUCAAUCGGGCGUCUGCUGGAUCUUCUGGUAAGGGAGCCGGACAGCUAACCUGUCCGGACUUCUUCAGCCAGUCCUGUCAAAGGUAGGGGAGUUUAGAUCCCGCAUAGAGUCAGACCAUGAAAGAAAAGAGUCCCGUAAAGGGUAGAAUAACUUACCUCGUUGGCUCGAUGCCACGAACUGAAUCCGCGAUCUUCGAUAGCGGAUGCGGGGGCCUCGGCACCCUUAAAACAGCACCUUCCAGGCAUCUUCGUACGUAGUAUCGAAGAGCCCGCUCAAGGCUUGGUGCUGUGCCGGAUCGAACUCCCACAAUUUGAAGGCCCGUUGUUGGCAUGGGAGGACCCGGCGGAUAAGCAUGACCUGGACUACGUUGACGAGCUUGAGGUUCUUGCUGACCAGCUUUUUGAUGCAGGUUUGGAGUCCGGUCAGAUCUUCCGAAUCUCCCCACGUUAAGCCCGUCUCUUUCCAGGAGGUGAGCCGUGUGGGAAAGCCAGAUCAGAAUUCGGGGGCCGCUUCCCAUUUGGGGUCGCGUGGCUCGGUGAUGUAGAACCACCCCGAUUGCCAUCCUUUUAUUGUCUCCACGAAGGAGCCCUCGGGCCAUAGGAAGUUGGCCAUCCGGCCCACCAUGGCACCUCCGCACUCCGCUUGGCAGCUGCUCACCACUUUCGUCUUGACAUUAAAAGUCUUCAGCCAUAAGCCGAGGUGGGGCUGGAUGCAGAGGAAGGCUUCACACACGACGAUGAACACCGAGAUGUUGAGGAUAAAGUUCAGGGACAGAUCAUGGAAGUCCAGGCCGUAAUAGAACAUGAGCCCCCGGACAAACGGGUGAAGAGGAAAACCCAGUCCGCGGAGGAAAUGAGGGAGAAAGGCAACCCUCUCAUGAGGCCUGGGGGUAGGGAUGAGUUGCCCCGCAUCUGGAAGCCGAUGCGCGAUGUCGUCAGACAAGUAUCCGGUCGUCCUCAACUUUUUGAUUUUCCCCUCCGUGACGGAGGAGGCCAUCCAUCUACCUCCCGCUCCGGACAUGAUUGGAGUAGGUUGAGGUGGGAAGUGCGGGCUUGGGCGUUGGAGCUUGAGCGCGCAGGGACGAAUAAGCAAAGGAGGAAGAAGGCGUGAAUGGAAAGGGCGGAUUCUUAUCCCCUUAUAUGAGCGGCCAAAACUACGAGCCCCCACCGGCCUAAUAAAACUCGCUUAUCUCCCAAGCGGCGCGGUUAAUGGUGCGGUUGGGUUACCCACGCCCGUAUUGAUGAGAAUACCGGAAUAAGGGGGCACGAUCUCUGCUUUGACAAGACAUGCCAAGGAAACCGCCUCGCUAAACGUGUUGAGGUGGAACGGUAAAAUGAAUAAAAGCCUGGCCGUGGCGUGAGGUCACGCUACGGAAUACGUUAGCAGAUUAGAUUGGUGCAAAUGUUAUUCUCUCUAUGGUGGCAUGUGGAACUUAUUUUGCAGAGCCGGACACUAUCCUGGUGUUCAACAUCUUCUAUGAAGUAUUCGGAGGAGGAACCCGCCUUGCAAUGCCGAAGACAACUUGCGCGCCGGACUCGUCGUCAUUGAAGCCUGGUUCAGGGGCUACUGAGGGAGUCCUGGAUUAGGGGGUGUCCGGAUGGCCGGACUAUGACCUUUGUCCGUACUCCCGGACUAUGAAGAUACAAGACUGAAGACUCCAUCCCGUGUCCGGAUGGGACUUUCCUUGACGUGGAAGGCAAGCUUGGCGAUACGAUAUGAAGAUCUCCUCCCAUUGUAACCGACUCUGUGUAACCCUAGCCCUCUCCGUUGUCUAUAUAAACCGGAGAGUUUUAGUCCGUAGCACGAACAACAAUCAUACCAUAGGCUAGCUUCUAGGGUUUAGCCUCUCUGAUCUCGUGGUAGAUCAACUCUUGUAAUACCCAUACCAUCAAUAUUAAUCAAGCAGGAGUAGGGUUUUACCUCCACCGAGAGGGCCCGAACCUGGGUAAAAACAUCGUGUCCCUUGUCUCCUGUUACCAUCCGCCUAGACGCACAGUUCGGGACCCCCUACCCGAGAUCCGCCGGUUUUGACACCGACAAUAGCCUUUACCAUGCCUAUUUCGCUAGUAUACAUGUUGCUGUUUGAAAACAGGAAGUUUACCGCUGUUGCAAAAAUUCCCUAGAAAAGUCAGAGAAUGAUAUAAUGUUGAAACUUUUUGGAUUUUGAUAUCUGAUAAAUCUUAUACAGCUUAGUAUUUUUCUCAUAAUUUUUUUAGUUAGGGAAGUAUGAUGAAUCUUGCAUUCUUUACAGACUAUACUGUUUUGGCAGAUUGCUGUUAUAGUUGCAUUGUUUGCAUAUGUUUGCUUGUUUAAUGAUUCUAUUUGAGGAUAGGAGUAUUAAAUAUGCAGAGGCAUUUAGUAUGCAAUGUUGAAUACUAAUUUUAGUGUUUUGUUACAGUAGAAAAUGAUAAGGUUUUGCAAUGGUUUAUACUAACCUAUCUCAUGAGUUCUUGUUGAGUUUGGUGUGGAUGAAGCUUUUGAUCAAAGAGAAACCAGGAUAUGAGAGGAAUUAAGGUGAUAUGAAAGUUCAAGCUUGGGGAUGCCCAAGGCACCCCAAGAUAAUAUUCCAAGAAGUCUCAAGCAUCUAAGCUUGGGGAUGCCCCGUUAGGCAUCCCACCUUUCUUCUUCAACAACUAUCGGUUAGUAUCGGUUGAACCUAAGCUUUUGCUUCUUCACAUGAGUUGUGCUAUCCUUGCAAUGUCAUUUUAUUUUGUUUUACUUGCUGUUUGAAUAAAAUCAUUGGAUCUGAAAUUUUGAAUAGAAAAGGAACCCUCCCAUGGCUAGUUAAUUAUUUGCCUACUCAGUAUCCUUCACUCAUAUCUUUUGGAGUAGUUUGUCAUUUAUUCAUGUGCUUCAUGUCUAUCCUAUGAGUAAAUGGGGGAAAUGAAUUGAAUGUCAUAAAUCUGAAUUUAUAUAUGUUUCAUAUGCUUAUAACAUGGUUAGUGAUGAUUUCACACAUAGAAAGAGGCAUAAAAGUUGUUGAGAGUUGGUAAACGUAGUUUUCGUCAUCGUUGCAAUUAAUAGGAAGUAAUAAAGAAAGAGAGGUUCACAUACAAAUAUAUUAUCUUGGACAUCUUUUAUGAUUGAGAGCACUCAUUAAGUAUGACAUGCUAAAAGAGUUGACGUUGGACAAGGAAGACAAUGUAAUGGUUUAUGUUUUCCAACAUCUCAGUUAAAGUAUAUUGUCAUUGACCUUCCAAACAUGUUGAGCUUGCCUUUCUCCCUCAUGCUAGCCAAAUUCCUUGCACCAAGUAGAGAUACUACUUGUGCUUCCAAAUACCCGUAAACCCAGUUUUGUCAUGCGAGUCCACCAUACCUACCUAUGGAUUGAGUAAGAUCCUUCAAGUAAGUUGUCAUCGGUGCAAGCAAUAAAAAUUGCUCUCUAAAUAUGUAUGACUUAUUAGUGCAGAGAAAAUAAGCUUUGUACGAUCUUGUUGUGGAAGUAAUAAAACCGACGGACUGCAUAAUAAAGGUCCACAUACAAGGGGCAAUAUAAAGUGACGUUCUUUUGCAUUAAAAUUUUGUGCAUCAACCCUAAACGCGCAGGACAACCUCUGCUUCCCUCUGAGAAGGGACUAUCUUUUACUUUAUGCUUUUACUUUAUGCUUGAGUCAAGGUGAUCCUCACCUUUCCCUUUUUCAUUUUAUCCUUUGGCAAGCUCCUCGUGUUUGAAAGAUCAUGAUAUAUAUGUCCAAUUGGAUGUAAGUUAGCGUGGGCUAUUAUUGUUGACAUCACCUAAAGGUGAAUACGUUGGGAGGCAACACAAUAAGCCCCUAUCUUUCUCAGUGUCCGGCUGAAACUCCAUAACCACAAGUAUUGCGUGAGUGUUAGCAAUUGUAGAAGACUAUAUGAUAGUUGAGUAUGUGGACUUGCUGAAAAGCUCUAUUCUUGACUCUUUCUGAUGUUAUGAUAAAUUGCAGUUGCUUCAGUGACUGAGAUUAAAGUUUGUUAGUUCUCAAUGAAGUUUCUGAACCAUGCUUGACAUUGUGAAUAGAUUGUUACUUGAUCAUGAAAAGUUUUAUGGGAUAAGCUACUAUUAUGACACAUAUUGAUGCUAGAAAAGGUGAUUGAAAUUAUCAUUGAUCAACUUGUGCACCUUCUAGCAUUCACACUUCAUAAAUUAUUUCUUUUAUCAUUUACCUACUCGAGGACGAGCAGGAAUUAAGCUUGGGGAUGCUGAUACGUCUCCAACCUAUCUAUAAUUUAUGAAGUAUUCAUGCUAUUAUAUUAUCCAUCUAUGAUGUUCUAUAUGCAUUUAUAUGUCAUCUUAUAUGAUUUUGGGACUAACCUAUUAACCUAGAGCCCAGUGCCAGUUUCUGUUUUCUCCUUGUUUUUGUGUUUUAUAGAAAAGGGAUACCAAACGGAGUCCAAUUGACGUGCCAAUUUUGAGGAUUUUUUAUGGACCAAAAGAAGACCACGGAGCAUCAGAGUUCGGCCAGAAGAGUCCCAGGCUGCCCACGAGAGUGGGGGCCGCGCCCUCCCCCCUGGGGCGUGCCCCCUAUCUCGUGGACAGCCCGGAGACCUUCCUGAAAUGAAACCAAUGCCAAAAAUUCCUAUAAAUACAGAAACCUUCGGGAAUUAACCUAGAUCGGAAGUUCCUCUGACGCAAGCCUCUGUAGCCAUGAGAAAUCAAUCUAGGCCCUCUCUGGCACCCUGCUGGAGGGGGCCAUCAUCACCAAAGGCCAUGGAGGAGGAUCUCGGAGGGGCCAUAAUCUCCAUGAAGGCCAAGAACCAGAGGGGGAAAGCCAUGGAGGAGGAAGCACAAGGGGGAGAAACUCUCCUCCUCUCUCUUGGUGGCACCGAAGUGCCAUCGGGAGGGGAAUCAUCGCCGCAGUGAUCGUCGUCAUCAACAUCACCAUCAUCAUCUCUUUUACGUGGUCCACUCUCCCGCACUCCGCUAUAAUCCCUACUUUAACAUGGUGCUUUAUGCCACAUACUAUGAUCCAAUGAUGUGUUGCCAUCCUAUGAUGUUUUGAGUAGAUAUCUUUUGUCUUUGGGUUGACUGAUGAUCUAGAUUGGUAUGAGUUGUAUGUUUUAUUUUGGUGCUGUCCUAUGGUGCACUCCGUGUCGCGCAAGCGUGAGGGAUCCCCGUUGUAGGGUGUUGCAAUACGUUCAUGAUUCACUUAUAGUGGGUUGGUGAGUGACUGAAACACAAACCCGAGUAAGAGGGGUUGUUGCGUAUGGGAAUAAAGAGGACUUGAUGCUUUAAUGCUAUUGUUGGGUUUUACCUUAAUGAUCUUUAGUAUUUGGGGAUGCUUGCUAGAGUUCCAAUCAUAAGUGCAUAUGAUCCAAGUAGAGAAAGUAUGUUAGCUUUUGCCUCUCCCUCAUAUGAAAUUACAAUAGUGAUUACCGGUCUUGUUAACAAUUGCCUAGGACAAUUCCGCACAUCGAUCCACCAUUAUUCCACACUCGCUAUUUAUAUUAUUUAGUAUUAUAUUCUAACUCUAUGAUAACAACACCUACUUUUAUAUUUUAGCUCUCCGAUAUCAUACAAAGUUAUCCUCUUUAUACCCACAACACAGUUUUAUUCCUUGUUUCUAGUUGGAAGCAAACGUUCAGUGCACGUAGAGUCGUAUCAGUGGCAGAUAGGGCUUGAGAGAAUAUCGAUCUUACCUUUAGCUCCUUGUGGGUUCGACACUCCAUACUUAUCACUUCCACCUUUAGGAAUUGCUACGAUGAUUCCCUACACUUGGGGAUUAUCACUGUCGUACUGACGGAACUCUCCCUCGACCGUCUACUGGAUUAAGAUCUCGAGGGACGUCAUCGUGUUGAACGUGUGCUAAACACGGAGGUGCCGUACAUUCAGUACUUGGAUCGGUUGGACCGUGAAGAUGUUCGACUACAUCAAACGUGUUAUUAAAUGCUUCCGCUUUCAGUCUACGAGCGUACGUGGACACACUCUUCCAUCUCGUUGAUAUGCAUCUCCUAGAUAGAUCUUGCGUGAUUGUAGGAAUUUUUUUGAAUUGCUACGUUCCCCAACAGUCAUGUAUGUGAUGCAUAUAUUCUUGAUCAUUGCCUUGGAUAUCUUCAUAACUUUGCACUUUUCUAUCAAUUGCUCCACAGUAAUUUGUUUACCCAUCGUAUGCGUUCUUCCAAGAGAGAACCCUCUAGUGAAAACUAUGGCCCCCAGGUCUAUUUUUAUCAUAUUAUUUUCAUAUCUAUAAAAUAAAAAACACAAAAAUAUCUUGCUACAAUUUAUUACCUUUUAUACCUAUCUCUAUCAGAUCUCAUCCUUGCCAGUAACACUGAAGGGAUUGACAACCCCUUUUUUGUGUUGUGUGCAAGUAUUUGUUUGUUUGUGUAGGUGCAACCAUUGGGGACUUGUGUGUUCCUCCUACUGGAUUGAUACCUUGGUUUGUAACUAAAGAAAAUACUUAUCUCUACUUUGCUGCAUCACCAUUUCCUCUUGAAGGGAAAAUCCAAUGCAAGCUCAAGAAGUAGCACCAGCUGUAGUAGCAUCGAAGUAAUUCGUGUGACAUGUUCAGCGCACCACUAACACUACUAGAAAAAGUCUUAUAAGUGGGCUCAAAUUAGUGGUGGGUAAAAAUGUCGCUAGACAAUAGCGGCGGACAAAAAAAGCUAGCCGCCACUCAUAAAUUUGUACAAAUUUAGCCAUGGCAUAAAAGAAUCAGUGACAGGCAACAACUUUAGCCCGCCAUUGGUUUUUCAUCUACCAGUGGCGGGCGAAAAGUUUGGCUGCCACAACAAUAUUUCUACUAGCCCGCGUCAAAUGUUUCAAAAUUUAGCAGUGGUGGGCGCCCAAGGAAGCCCGCCACAGAUAUAACAAGUAAGAAAUAUGGUUGAAAGAAAUCAUAUUUACUAAACAUAGAAUAAUUGAAAUGAUGUUGAAAAAUUGAGUUGUCUUUGGGAGGGGGUGGUUUCCGUUCGAAACUCUGAUACUUCAUUCGAGAGUGUUCAGUUUGUACACAAAGUGCAUCAAGUUUUUGUCGUAAUGCUCUCAAAUUUUAACAACUCCCUACAAGGGUCCUGUGAAGACACCAUGAAGACACCCUUUCCGGACUCUUUUGCAUGUUAUAUUGAAUGAAAAUGCGUUCUACCCUUUUUAGGGGCCGAGAAAUCAAGUAAUGCUUCAAAAAAUAGCAAACCAACUCAAAAAGUUCUAAAUUUUGAGAAUUGGAAUCCCAAUGGUGUGUCUUAAACAUAUUAAAACAUUGAAGUUGAAAUGAUGUGGAAAAUUUAGAUUUGUAUGAAAGACGAUGAUUUUUGUUUGAAACCUAACACUUCACCAGAGAGUGUUUAGUUUGUACAUGAAAUGCAUCUAAUUUUUGUCAAAACACUCUCAAAUUUUUACCACACCCUUCAUGUGUCCUAUGAAGAUACCAUAUGCCAAGUUUCACCCCUUUCCGAGCUUGUUUGCACAUUAUGUCGAAUGAAAAUGUGUUUAGUCCUUUUUAGUGGCCAAAAAAUCAGUUAAUGCUUCAAAAAUAGCAAACAACUCAUAAAGUUCUAGAAUUUGAGGAUGGGACUUCCAAUGUGUGCAUUAAAUAUAGUAAAAGAAUUAAGUCAAAAUGAAGUAGAAAAAUUGAGUUGUGUGUGGAAGGCGACGAUUUUCAUUUGAAAUGCUGAUACUUCGUAGGAGAGUGUUCAACUUGUACACGAAGUGCAUCAAGUUUUUGCCGUAUCGCUCUCAAAUACUUACCACACACCCUACAGGGGUCCUAUAAAACACUGAUACGUCUCCAAAGUCUCUAUAAUUUUUGAUUGUUCCAUGCUAUUAUAUUAUCAAUCUUGGAUGUUUUAUAUACAUUUACAAGCAAUUAUAUAACAUUUUUUGUGACUAACCUAUUAACUUAGUGCCCAGUAUCAAUUGCUAUUUUUUGCUUGCUUUCUAUUUCUCAAAAUAUCAGUACCAAACAAAGUCCAAAUGUCACGAAACUUUUUGCAGAUUUUUUCCUGGGCAUAAGAGACCCUGGAAGCUUCAUGAGGGGACAAGAAGAUGGAGCAGUGGCCCAUGAGGCACUAGGGCGCGCCUAGGGGGUAGGGCAUGCCCUGGUGGCUCAUGGGGCCCACGUGGCUCCGUUUGACCUAACUCAGCCUCUAUAAAUUCUCUAAAUCGGGAAACCAAUAGAGGAUUCCACGAAAUACUUUUUCCGCCGCCGCAAGUCUCUGUUCUCGUGAGAUCCCAUCUGGAGGCCUUUUCCGGCACUCUGCCGGGGGGGUCAAUCAUGGAGGGGCUCUAGAUCAACCUUGCUGCCCUUCCGAUGAUGCGUGAGUAGUUCACCAUGGACCUAUAGGUCCAUAGUCCAUAGUUAGUAGCAAGAUGGCUUCUUCUCUCUAUUUGAUCUUCAAUACAAUGUUAUCCUCGAUGUUCUUGGAGUCCUAUCCGAUGUAAUGACUUUUUGCGGUGUGUUUGUUGGGAUCCGAUAAAUUGUGAGUUUAUGAUCAGAUUAUCCAUGAAUAUUAUUUGAGUUUUUUCCAAUGUUGAUGAUAUCGUUAUCGUCUCGGUAAGCUAGGGAUUAGAGAUUAAUCGGAAAAUGGCCGAUUAGUCGAUUUUAUCGGCCGACUAUUAAUCGGAUAUUUUUGCAAAUCUCAGGUUCCCAACACUAAAAUAUGUUAUAUUCAACACCAAAAUAAUAUUGGAUAGAAGUGUUACCUUGAUUCCUAGCCUUUGAAUCCUCGUAUAAUGACAAACAAAAUAGGACAACAAUACAUAUUUCAUAACAAGGUCCACAAAACAUAAAUAAACAUAGUUUUUGCAAACAUAGUGCUAUGAAUAGGUCUGAUUUAUCGGCAGAUUCCCGAUAAAUUGCUUGUCAGAGCGAUAAAUCGGUCCAAAAGAUAAACGGUAAGGAUAAGGCAUAAUCUUAUCGGUCAUCCUCCAAUUAGCAAUAAAUCAGAAGAUUAAUCGCUGAAUCGGAAGAUUUUUUGAACAGUGGUUUUCUCUGAACUCUUUUAUGCUUGAUUGUUAUAGCUUCGUAUUUCUCUCUGAUCUGUUGAUUUGGAUUGGCCAACUAGAUUGAUUUAUCUUGCUAUGGGAGAGGUGCUUUGUAAUGGUUCGAUUUUGUGGUGCUCAAUCCCAGUGACAGAAAGGGACAUGACACGUAUGUAUCGUUGCUAUUAAGGAUAAAAUGUUGGGGUUUAUUCAUGCGUGAGUUUACUUUGUCUACAUCAUGUCAUCUUGUUUAAGGCGUUACUCCAUUCUUUAUGAACUUAAUACUCUAGAUGCAUGCUGGAUAACAGUCGGUGUGUGGAGUAAUAGUACUAGAUGCAGAAUUUGUCGGGGAUAUACCCCGCGGUGUAACCCGGCCGGAAGUAUAACCCGGCCGGACUCGGCGACUCACUAAUGACCUGCCCUGACUGGAUGAUACACUAAGUGACCCGCCCGAUCCUGGCGACUUAUGGGUGACCUGGCAAGCGGGUCAGAGGAGCGACAAGACCCGGGGGCCCAGGAGGUUCAAGGCCCAGAAGGCCGGCUUACAUUAUGGUAGGCUGGCUUAAGAGGAAAGGCGUGAGGAAUAUCUCCCUUACAAGGAAUCAAGACCCGGACUUGUAUCCGACUUGUAGUAGAAGAUAGGCUAGUCCAAAUCCUAUUUGGACUCCACAUGUAACCCGCCCAUCUAACUUAUAUAAGGAGAGGCGGGGCUCCCCAAAGAGGGACAGGCAACAAGAACAAUUUCUAGGGCUAGACACAAAGAGCCGGCUUACCGGCGACUUCCUCAUGAGCAUAAUGAGACCUAGCCUCAAACAGCAUGUAGGGCUACUACCGGAUGAUGUUUCCCGGGGCCCGAAGCUGUCUAAACCCUUGUCUUGCGUGUUGAUCCGCCCUGCAUCUCUCGUCCCACUCAACCCAUCUCAAGCUACCACAUAGAUGCGUUGGCCUCGCGACUAAGUCCUGACACUAAGGACAUCUGCCGUGACAAAUCCACGACAGUUGGCGCCCACCGUGGGGCAAGCGCACGGUGGUGUUGAGUUCUUGAAGAGAUUUUUUCUAGGGUUCAGAAGCUCGCGAUUAACCGGAUGGAGAAGAAAUGACGCGAACGGAUCUACAUUAAUGAUGAGCGGUCGGGCAGCAUACACAAGAUUUUGAGAUCGAGGCAAGCUAGGGUUGCGUAGACCACCGCAGGCGCCGUGGUGAUUCACCAGCCUCCACGCUCGCUGCUGCGCCUCAAACCGCGAGCUCGUUUUCAAUCGCCAUGUCUCUGCUUCCGGGCUGAGUCGCUAGGGCCUCGCGGUUGUUGCUUCUGAGAGCUGCCUAUUUACGAGUCGCCGGCGCCCCUUGUUUUCAGCCGCGCUCAACUUCCGAUCACCGACGCCGUGCGACCCGGCCGUCCGCUGGCUCCGGCUCCCGGCUCACUGCGUUGCCCCGAGGUGUCGCGCCGCCGCUACUGCUAUGGCCUUAACCCGUCAAGCCGCCUUCUCAUUGCUAUGAGCUGCCCGUGGCUUUGCUGUCGACGGGUGCUGCUCCUGGUUGAGCCACCUUCGUCGUUGCUACGACCAAGGGCUCACCUGCGAGUUGCCGCUCCAGCUGUCGCGCCUUCCGCCUGCUCGAACAGUCGUGGUUCGUCUCUGCACUCUGCAACCUUCAUCGUCACCUCCAUGGCCUGCCUAUAAGUCGCCCUUGUGCGGCCAUGCCUCCGAGAGGUUCAUGCGCCCUCAUUUCCACUACCGCGGUCCCCCGAUGAGUCGGCCGCACAAGUGAUCAUCUGCCGGGCUCGUUCAACUAGGUGUGGUUGUGUACACAUGCAAGUUUUCACAACAACAGGCAAAAUCAAAGGCGUUUUGUCAUUGGUAUUUUCCAUGUGAAGGCAGAGUUGGUCAAUCAGACUAGAUGGAGUACUAUUCCCUGGCGUAAAAGACCAAGGCCUGCAAAUAAAGAUGCACCUUUACACGGAGAGGCAAAUCUUACAAGGGCGCAGGUUGCAGUCUAAUCAUUAUUUAAAGCAAUACUACAGCUUAUAUCUGUUGAGGAUUUAUGCACAGCCUCAAAGAAAGACAAAGGAAGGCCUCUUGGGGCUACCGCUACAUUGUGUAAAUGUACAUCUAGACGGGUUAUCUUUUUCGUCCGGCGAUUACGUCCAGUAUCAUCCAACACCAGCAUAUUGUUCAUCCGACAAAAAUAUCAGGACCGUUAUUCCUUACAAAAGGUGUCGCAAAAGGGCGUGCGCCAAUAUUAUUUUUGCACUAGCAAUUGUCCAUGCCAUGCUGCUGGACGGAUACGUGUGCAUGUUGAUGUCCUCGCUACAUCAACACACCAACUAGCUCGUCGUCCGCGCCCGCGGCCGACUCACCCACGUCUGUGCUAUUUCUAACAUUGUGGCCGACUCUCCCGUCCGCGCCGGCUUACAACCCCGUGACUGACUCAUCUGUCUGCUUUCGCGGUUGACUCGCUCGUGAUUGGUUUCAACUUCACUGUAGUGAUCAUCAACUCCGCGGCGAAUAAUUUACAGCCUAACAUAUCAGGUGUGCUCAAGUCGCCGCCCGUGCAGCUUAAUCUACAUCAACCCGUCGGAGCUGCGAUGAGCCACCCUUGCCGCUUUGAGCCGCCGGGGUUAUAUUAAGUCGUCGGACUGCCUGAGUCGACGGAACUAUAUUGAGUCGAUGGUCGGCUUGAGCCACCUCUGUUGCGAUAAACGGAUCAUCCGUCGUCCAAACAAAUCAGGUGAUAUCCAUCCAAGUUUGUUUUAUUAGCACAUAUUGUUUUUUGUUAAAGAACAAGUUUAUCUUUGCCUUGGUCUGCAAUAUUGUUUAUGCAGGGCAAUUAUUUAUGACAAAAAGUGAUAUUAUACCGCGGAGAUGGAGGCACGCCAACAUCUUUUGGCACAGGUGGUCGUCGUUACUCAACGGACUCCCGCACCAGCUCACAACGCCGUGGCCAUCUCCCGCGACCACGCCGGCUUACAACAAGGAGGACAACCUUGCCCGUUCGCACCGGCUUACAAUGCCACGGCCGUUUUAUCUAUCUGUGCUGCCUCCGAUGUUGCAGUCGUCUUUACCGUCCGUCUCUCGCGGCCUGGUCUACAUCAACACACCGGGCCGCACUUGUCUGGAUAAGCUGUUUAUUGAGUAUGAGCAAGUCACUAUUUGGGAAGCCCGGUUUUCUUCCAACAAAUUGGAAGCAAAUUAUCAUAUAUUAUCAGCCGCCGUUUGCACUGGAUGGCUCAAUGGGUAGGCACACAAGUCGCCGCCACUGCAGUUUGGUUAACUACAAAUAGCCAGUUGGAAGGAGCCAUUGGCUGAGUUGCUGACAUGGCUCAUACGGGAUCAUUUAUAACCCGCCGCAGUCACCUCAACCUUCUGUGGAUUCACAUCGCGCUAUCAACGCCAAUGAUUUAUACCUUCUACUAUGGUCAAAUAUGGAGAAUCUCAAGCCAACUCCUCGAGUCGUCUUGAGACUCGGGGGUUACAAUGGUAUGACUCGGCAAAAUUAGCCGGUUUCAAUGAAUUCAAGAACUCCGGGUCAUUGAAGGGAAAAAUAACCCGGGCCCCAGAGAUUACUGCUAGAUCGAUGAAAAUUUAAAAGCCGUCAGAAGAUUUCCGGCUCAAAAUAAGGACUCUGGUUUAAAAUCUGGUUCAAGAGACAUCUUUCUCCCACAAAGCACUGAAGCUCUCAAAUCCGGUUCAAAAGCCGGCCCAGGGUAAAUUUGUCCCUCACAAAUUUCUGAAGCUCUCAUAUCCGGUUCAAAAUCCGGCCCAGGGUAAAUAUGUCCCUCACAAAUCCGGUUUAAAGUUCCGGUUCAAAAAGAAUUAAUCUCUCGCAGAGUUCUAAGAAAAAUUAAAGGUUGCUAAAAAGAACUUGCUGCCAUGAUGCGCGGUUCAAACAUAGGUAUCCUGCCUUACGGCUUAUCUUAUUAUCGUCACUUGGGGGCUUCCUGCUCAUCGAGCAUAGCUGUCGGUACCCUCUUGAUCGGUGCAAUGCUAAUAUAUGGUCACUUGGGGGCUUCCUGUUCAAACAUAGGUCGUAUUCGAACCAAAGAGAACAUAGCUGUCAAAACCCUUUUGGUCGGCACAUUGCCAAACUCACUAGGGGGCUUCUUGAUCGUAUUCAAAUCAUAGCUUAACCUCUUUUGGGUCCGACGUGGAUCAUAUUCGAAUCAGCGUCAUUAAACAACUCUCAAGGUCAUUUGGGGGCUUCCUGUUCAAACAUAGGUCGUAUUCGAACCAAAGAGAACAUAGUUGUCGGUACCCUCUUGAUCGGCAAUGCCAAAGCCACUGGGGGCUAUAUGAUCAUAUUCGAAUCUUAGCUCAACCCCUUUGGAACGGUUUUUUGAUCGUAUACGAAUCAGAAGCCUUAAGUUUUUUAAGUCUUUUUUGCGAACAAUUUUGGUUUUGACUUGAGACCUUUUUUGGAUUAUAUCUCAAAUGUAUAUAAGUGUUUUAUGCUUAACCCAGCUUGACUUUUAACUAUAAGUCACCAGCUUAUGACAAUCAUCAUCUAUGUGGAAGCAUUGGCUUCUAAAGAUUGGGUUAUCACCCUUACUGCACAGGUCAUGUAAACCGGCAGUACAAAUUCAAUAUCACCGUGGUUAUAUGUGAGGUAUUAUGACCCGCCCUGCGGUAAACCGCCAAGGGUUCUUGUGAUCUACUUGUGUGCAGGUAAGACUACAUUUGGGUGGUUACCCGCCCUGGCUCUUGCCGUUAAGUCACCGGGGCAUAUGUUGUUUAAACUCUAUGCAGGAUUUGCAGAACUAUGACUUAUAUAAAUGCUUCAGUCCAAGCUCAUCACUGAAAUUGGUGUCUCAAAAGGGUUAUAAAUUAUUGAUUUUCUCAAGGGCUAUAGGCCACCGGGUUACAAAAAUUCCGGCUUACAAUGAAUGUGCAUUAAGUCGUCAUCGGCCAAGAGCCGCCAGGUAUUUAAACUCCGGAUUUACUUGUCAACCGAUGAGGUAUUCAAAUUUUUAAUAGCCAAAACUGGUUGGAUUUUCAUGAUGAUAUUAAAUGAUUGAGGUUUUCAUACCGGAUUGUAUUAUUCAAAUCUUGAAUAGCCAAAAUGGCUAGAUUUCUAUUGUGAUUAUCAAUAACCAGUGUUAUGAUUGAGGUUUUCAAAGUCGCUUUAGCACAACGGCUAUUAUUUUUAUCAAUGGGCAUGAUUUAUUUUACAAUGGAGGAAAUAGUCCCGAGUCGUUGUAGGCUUAUGACCCGGCACUUGGGGGCUACAUUGUUCAAAUCGAGAUUACAUCGAAUAUACAAGUCCCAUGUCACUGCCAGCAUGCACCAUGGCACUUGGGGGCUAAUGCAAAGUCAUUUUUUUCUCAAUUUAUUGAAGACCCGACUCAUCACAUUUUAAAUGAGCCGGCCCUUGGGGGCUACCAAUUGCUCCUGUCAAAAAUUCAAGGUACACAAGCAUUAAUCCAUUAUAUUGAACGGUCCACUAUUCAGUUGGUGGAGUACAAAGCUCUUAACCUUGUGGACGUGGGUUCAAGCCCCAUGGUGGAGACUAUAUUAUAUGAUGUUAUUGUCAAUUAUAUACAAAGUCCCAGCUCAGUAUUAUCUUACUAAGCUAGCCCUUGGGGGCUACACAUUGUUGUUCAAAUUUACAUGGUUAUAUCUACAAAGUCCAUGUUCAUUAUUGCAUAAUGACCCGGCCCUUGGGGGCUACACUGCUUGAAGUUUUCAUGAGCAUAAAGCAAUUAGAAGUCCCAGGUUGCUGCAAGCAUGACAACCCGGCACUUGGGGGCUACAUGUGUGGAACAUUCAGUUUAUAUGAUUGAGAUGAAUAAACCGGAUUUCUUCAAGGUUGCAACAUUUAUUGGAGCAAGUUUUAAACCAUCACUUUGUUCUGCUCAAGACUUGGGGGCUACAGGUAAUAUGGAUAUAAGGGAGAAACAUCUUCAAAUUAUCAGUUUUGAGCAAAUCAGGAGGAUCAAUUACUUAAACCGGUAUCAACAACAAUUAUGACCCGGUAUCAUCUGUUUUAUAAUCCGGCAAUUUUUGGUAAUGAUAAGCCAGUAAGUUUUACAUCUUCAAGCCGGCUGAAUAUCAGAUGAGUAUUUGAAGACCAAAAUUAUUUAUCCCGGCGCCUUGCAAGCCGACUCAAGUGGAUUUUCUAGAUGAAGGAAAUGACAAUUGGACUUAAGGAUAAUCAGGUCCUGUCUCAGGAGAAUAUUUAACCCGGAGCGCAAGGAGUUAAGGAUGUUCAGGUGCCGGUUUACAAGAAUUCUUAACCUGGAGCACAACCUGUCAAAUUUGUUCUUGUGUUUAUUUUGCAGCAAAAGUUUACCAUGGAUAAAUCCAAGCUAAACUUGGGGGCUAAUGUCGGGGAUAUACCCCGCGAUGUAACCCGGCCGGAAGUAUAACCCGGCCGGACUCGGCGACUCACUAAUGACCCGCCUUGACCGGAUGAUACACUAAGUGACCCGCCCGAUCCUGGCAACUUAUGGGUGACCUGGCAAGCGGGUUAGAGGAGCGACAAGACCCGGGGGCCCAGGAGGUUCAAGGCCCAGAAGGCCGGCUUACGUUAUGGUAGGCUGGCUUAAGAGGAAAGGCGUGAGGAAUAUCUCCCUUACAAGGAAUCAAGACCCGGACUUGUAUCCGGCUUGUAAUAGAAGAUAGGCUAGUACAAAUCCUAUUUGGACUCCACAUGUAACCCGCCCCUCUAACUUAUAUAAGGAGAGGUGGGGCUCCCCAAAGAGGGACAGGCAAUAAGAACAAUUUCUAGGGCUAGACACAAAGAGUCGGCUUACCGGCAACUUCCUCAUGAGCAUAAUGAGACCUAGCCUCAAACAGCAAGUAGGGCUAUUACCGGAUGAUGUUUCCCGGGGCCCGAAGCUGUCUAAACCCUUGUCUUGUGUGUUGAUCCGCCCUGCAUCUCUCGUCCCACUCAACCCCUCUCAACCUACCACAUAGAUGCGUUGGCCUCACGACUAAGUCCUGACACUAAGGACAUCUGCCGUGACAAAUCCACGACAGAAUUGUUUCUGUCUAAUUGUCUCAGACUUGAUGACUAUAUACAUGAUCAUUGCCUUGGAUAUCGUCAUGAUUAUUUGUUUUUCUAUCAAUUGUCCAAUAGUAUUUUGUUUACCCAUUGUAUGCUAUUUUGAAGAGAGAAGCCUCUAGUGAAAACUAUGGCCCUCGGGUCUACUUCUGUCACAUAUUAAAAAUCCUAAAAAUACCUUGCUACAAUUUUAUUUUAUUUAUUUUAUUUUCUAUUUUUGUUUGAUCUAUCUAUCUAUCACCAUACAAUUUAAUCUUGCAAUUAACCGCCAAGGGAUUGACAACCCCUUGUUCGCGUUGGGUGCAAGGAUUUAUUAUUUUGUGUGCAGGUACUGCUAAUGAGUUAUUCCGUGAUUCUCUUACUGGAUCGAUAACCUUGGCUUCAUAACUAAGGGAAAUACUUAUCUCUACUAUACUACAUCAUCGCCUCCUCUUCGGGGGAAAACCCAACACAACUCACAAGUAGCAAAUGUUGUGCCAAGUUUCAUCCAUUUGUGAGCUCAUUUGUAUGUUAUGUUGAACGGAAAUGCGCUCUGCCCUUUUUAGUGCCUGAAAAAAGAGCUGAUGCUUCAAAAAUAGCAAACCAACUCAAAAAGUUUUAAAUUUAAGCAUGAGACUUCCAAUGGUGUGUAUCCCUGCCGCCGCCGCCUCCUCCAUCGCACUGCCCCCGUGCCCAUCCCUAUCGCCUCCUUCACCGUGUUGUCGUGGAAGUGCGCCUCCAGCGUCGUCGUGCAUGCCCAUGCCGCCUCCUCCACCACGCCGUUGUCAUGCCCGUGAGCCUAUUCUCUCUAGUGAGAAGAGCACCCUCUCCCUCUCCCUAUUCACUUCGGUAAUCAAUAGCAAGCUAUCAACUAGGGUUCUGCACCACCAUACCAAUUUGUGGUCCUCUACUAAUUUAAUUUGUGGAUGGUUUGAUUUGACAUGUUUAGAUGGUCUUGUGGAUUAUAAGACUAUCUAGAAGAGCAUGUUCUAGGCAUGCACUAGCUUUGCCUUCAAAAUGUAUAAAACUCCUUAAUUGACCCUUUUGAAUAAAUAGUGCAGGUAUGGUACAUUGUACAUUGCUUACUCACAUUCUCUCUUCUAGGAAUACACUUAAUGAGCUAAGUUCAUUAAACAAUUGACACAAAUAAAAGUUGAUUAAAAUGAGUGCUUGUGUUACUCGCGAUGGAUUCACGGUUUUUCUUUUCAAAUUUGCAAGUAUCAAGACGAGUGCCAAUGUUUUGGUGUGUAGGAUCGAAAGUAUGUCUAGAGGGGGUGAUUAGACUACUUGACCAAAUAAAAAUCUAGCCUUUCCCAAUUUUAAGUUUUGGCAGAUUUUAGCAACUUAGCACAAGUCAAGCAAUCAACCUACACAUGCAAUUCUAAGAGUAUAGCAGCGGAAUGUAAAAGAAUUGCACAUGAAGGUAAAGGGAGGAGUUUGGAGGGAGCAAACGCAAUGUCCACGGAGAUUUUUUAUCCAUGGUUCCGAUAGGUGGUGCUAUCGUACAUCCACGUUGAUGGAGACUUCAACCCACGAAGGGUAACGGUUUCCCGAGUCCACCGAGGGCUCCACCCAGGAAGGGUCCACAAAGAAGCAACCUUGUCUAUCCCACCAUGGCCAUUGCCCACGAAGGACUUGCCUCACUAGGGUAGAUCUUCACGAAGUAGGCGAUCUCCUUACCCUUACAAACUCCUUGGUUCAACUCCACAAUCUUGACGAUGGCUCCCAAGUGACACCUAACCAAUCUAGGAGACACCACUCCCCAAAAGGGAAUAGAUGGUGUGUUGAUGAUGAACUCCUUGCUCUUGUGCUUCAAAUGAUUGUCUCCACAACACUCAACUCUCUCUCUCACAGGAUUUGGAUUUGGUGGAAACAUGAUUUUAGUGGAAAGCAACUUGGGGAGGGCUAGAGAUCAAGAUUUAUGUGGUUAGAAUGGAUUAUCUUGACCUCAACACAAGUGUAGGUGGUUCUCUCUCAGAAAAUGUAUGUUGGAAGUGUAGGCAUGUUCUGAUGGCUUUCUCGACGAAUGAAGAGUGGGUGGAGGGGUAUAUAUAGCCUCCACAUAAAAUCUAACUGUUACACACAAACUACCAAACUCGGUGGGACCAAAUCAGAAAACUCGGUCAGACCGAUUUAGUUCAAAAUGUGAACAUUGGGAUUUUCGGUGGGACCGACAUGUCAACUCGGUGGGACCGAUUUCGUUAGGGUUAGGGCAUAACGUAAUCUCGGUGAGACCGAUUACAUAAACUCGGUGAUACCGGUUUUAGUUAUAAGCUAACCAGAGAGUUGGUCAGGCAAACUCAGUGGGACUGAUUCACUCAUCUCGGUUAGACCGAAACGUUACGAAGGGGAAAUAGAGAGUUUGCAUUGCAAUCUCGGUGGGACCGAUCGCUCAUCUCGAUUUGACCGAAACGUUACCAAGGGAAACAGAGAGAUUACAAUCCCAUCUCGGUGAAUCCAAGAUCCCUAUCGGUGAGACCUAAAAGACUAGGGUUUGUGGCAGUGGCUAUGUCAAUUGAACUCGAUGACGCCGGAUAGAAAGUUUCGGUGGGGCCUAGUUUGACUUUUGGUUUGGGACAUAUUUGGAUGUGAGAAAGUAGUUGAGGGUUUUUGGAGCAUAUCACUAAGCAUUUUGAGCAAGAACCUCAUUAAGCAACACCUCACCCCCUUUUAAUAGUAUCGGCUUUUCCUAUGGACUCAAUGUGAUCUUGGAUCACUAAAAGUAAAAUGUAGAGUCUUGUGCUUUGAGAUUGAGCCAAUCCUUUUGUCCUCACCAUUUUGAGGGGUCCACUUUCUAAUCCAUGUCGUGCCAAUCAUUGAGCUUUUUUGAAAUAUUUAUCUUGAACUAGCAUUAGCUCAAUGAGCUAUAUGUUGUUAGGAAUUACCAAAACCACCUAGGGAUAGUUGCACUUUCAAUCUCCCCCUUUUUGGUAAUUGAUGAGAACAUAUAGAUCAAAGCUUUGACAAAUGAUCAAAGGAUUGAAAAGCAUUGUCGCUUUGAGAAGUAUGUGAUCCUCUCCAAAUGAUAAUAAGAUUGAAAAACAUCAUCGCUUUGAGAAGUAUGUGAUCCCCCUAAAUUUGUGCACUAUUUAGAAUUUGCUUUAGAAUGCAAAUGUACAAUCGAUUAGGAUCAUGGGUUACUCUUCGAUGUCACAUACAUCUUGGUGGAGCGCUCAAAAUGAUAUAAUUUAAAAGCAUGCACUCAUCACCAAGCAAGUGAAUGAUCAUAUAUGAGAUAUGAAAGAUAAUAUCAUCCAAUAAGGUAGCAUAUGAUCAAACACAUGAUCAACCAAGUAUCACACAUAAGGAGAUAAUGUAGCAAGCAAACACACAAUAAAGUUCAACCAAAAUAGCAAGAGAGAUAAAAAGCAACACUCUCUGUCGAAGCCUAUGAUCUAUACAUUUUUCUCCCCCUUUGGCAACAAGUUACCAAAAAGUUCAAAAAUGCAUAGUGCUAAACGUAUCUCAGGCUUGGUCUUUGGGAGGUGGUGUAGAGAGAACUCCAAGGAUGAAGGCAUCCGUUGAAGUAGCUGGAGCUGGUGGAGUGGCUGCUGGAGGUGGCAUUGGUGCUAUAGCUGCUGGUGCUGAUGUGGUAGCUCUAGAAUCUGUCACUAGCACUAUAGCAGACCUCUGUCCUCUAGGCACUCGCUCAAAUGCAUCAGUAGUUUCCUUGCCUCUCUUCUCUUCUGCUUCCUCCUGAAGCUGCUCAACUGCUGUUUGAAUCUCAGUUACCUUUAGAUCAAGAUCAUAAAAUUCCUGCUCAAUGAUCCUCUCCAAGCUCUCCUGGUUUUGAGUCAGGGUGGCCAAGCCCUUCUCAAUCGUCAGUGUAGACUCGAUCACAUAUGCUUGCUCUUCAGGAAAACUUGAGAUGCCUCUUCAACACUUGGCAUCUUGGCAGCUUUCUCAGCCUUUGCCUUCUCUCUCUUCUCAUGUGCUUGCACAGAUGUGGGGUCUUCCUCAUUCAUCACAACAGUAUUAUCUUCAAAAUCAGGAUGCAGAGGAAGGUGCUCCUUGUCCAACAAGUAUGUACCUGUGCCCAUCUUAGAAUUAAUGAGCUCCUGAAUGUGUGGAGCAUACCCACAGCUUCUCUUCUGAUCGAUAGCUAUCCUCUUGAUUGUCUCUACAAUCAAACUCAUGACUUUGAACUUCUGAGGCACAUCAAACAAAUGUAGCAAAUUGAUAGCAUGUCCACUGAUCAUCUUGUGAUCUCCAUGCUUGGGUAGUAAUGUGUGCCUAAGGAUCCAGUUGAUGGUAGGUAGACCAGACAACAAGAAGUGUACAGAUCCAAGCUUGUGAGUUUCCAAGGCCUUAUCUGGGAUCUCCUUGUACAUGUGUGUCAUGGAGUUGUGGUCUUUCUUCUUUUUGGCAUAAAUAUCCAAGUCAUCCUCAUGCUCUUCAGGGGCAUUUAUCAGCUUGGCCCAUUCAUCAACUGUAGAUUAGUACCUAGUACCCUCUGACAUCCAUACGAUCUUCCCAUCUGGGUAAAAGUGAGCAGUGGAGUAAAACUGCAUGAUCAGCUCAUCAUCCCAUUUAGUGAGCUUCUGUCCAACAAAUUUGUCAACUCCACAUGCCUUGAAGCUAUCAAAAACUCCUGGAAAGUGAUCUUCAUUUUCCUUGAUGUAUUCCCAAUGCACCCAUCCCAUGUCACAUACAAUGGGCUUCUUGUCAAGCAAAAUAGUUUCAUAGAAGUCUUGUUGUUCCUUUGUGUGGAACCUAUAAUCAACUGUUGUUCUCCGCCUCAGAGCAUAAGGAUCAUACUGUCUCCACAAUCUCAGUCAUGCAUCUUUCCUGAUCCUCAUAUCUUCUGCAACAGGAUGUGCAUCAUUAUGGUCAGGGAUCUUUGGUUUUAGCUUCCUUAGCACUUGGGCAUUAGCUUCCUCUUCUUCAGUCUCAGGCACUAGGGCCUUGUUCUUUUCCUCAGCAGGUAUACUUCUGGUGUCGCUCUUGGGUUUUGGCUUGGGAGAAGCCUUGGGCUUUGAUGGAGCAGCCCCUAUCCUAAUGGCAUCUCCCAUAAGCUUCUGAGCUUUGGGUGCUGGUGCAGCAUCCUCCUCUUCUUCUUCUCUAUCAGAUGGAUCUUGCAUCAUGGAGGGCUUUCCAAUGACUCUUGCCAUGGAUUUCUUGACCCUCUCUUUCAUUUUCUUCCCUUCUUCAACUUCUUCAGCAGCUGAUUUUGGAGCUUCAAUAGUUGAUGCUCUGGCUUUUGACAUGGGAAUUAUCCUUGCUGGUGCUUUCUUAUUCAGACCUGGCUUACUUGCAGCAGCUGUUCCAUACUCCUUUUUCAGCACCUUCUUCUUGGAGCUUACUUCCUCCUCGGUGGCAACAUAAUCCUCAUCCUCAGAUUAUGAGGUUCUCUUCUUCCUGGAUCUGGUUGCUGCCUUUCGCAAGUUACUUGGUGUGCUCCUGCUGCCAUCAUCUGAAGUGCUAGAGGGAUCUGAGCCCUCACUCAUCUGCACCUGUUCCUCUGACCUGUUCUGACUGUCACUUUGAUCAGACAUCUCUGCAAACUUACUGACAGCAGACCAUGUGAAUAGAUAUAGAUGAGGUAGAGUAGAUGAGCAUCACAAAGUACAGAGGUUUUGCAAAACAAAUUGAGUCAAAAAGCUUAGUUUAAUUCUCUACAGAAGUGAUCUCGGAGCUACUGAAUUGACAAACUUGGUGAUACCGAAGCAACACUUGGAACCCAAACUAGUGAACUCGGUUGGGCCGAGUCACAGUUCGGUGGCACCGAGACUGCUAGGGUUUCAUAAAGAAUCAAACUCGGUCACACCGAUUUGCAGUUUUCGGUCAGACCGAAAAUGCAAGUGCAAUGGCCUAGGCAAAUUGGUGAGACCGAUUUCUACAAUUCGGUCGGUCCGAGAUGAGUUCGGCGGAGACCUAACCCUAAAAUUUUCGAAUCAAUCUAGACCUAAGGAAGUUUUAACUGGAUAGAUUAAUCACAUUCGUGGCAAGAAACAUGGCAUUGUCCUUGUGCUAGGAAUCAGAGUGAAAAAGACAGCACAAGGAGUCGAACACUUACCCUAGAGCGGCGAUUGUUCGCUACGGCGGCAACGGAGGGGCAGAAUUCCGUUGACGGUGAUGGAAACCAGUGCUGGGAGGUCGCUGGCGGUGAGAAGACGAUCCAGAGACCCGAUGCGGCAGAGCAGGAUAUGCGCGGGCUGAGAAGUUUCGAAGGAAUUUCCAAAAUCUCACACGUGGGUAUAUAUAUCCCGACCCUGUCAGUGUGACCGAGUGGAACGAAUCGGUGGCACCGAGAUGCAGAAUCGCAAGCGGUUACUGCAACUCGGUGUGACCAAAAAGUUCAAAUCGGUUGCACUGAGAUUGAAAACCUAGAUCAACUUAGUGAUCUCGGUGUGACCGAAUUGGAUGACUCGGUCAUACCGAAAUGCACAAAGAGGUUUUGGAAGUUUAAGUCUAUGAUGAAUCGGGGACUCCGAGUGCUCCUCACACAGAGUGGUUCGAAUCUGACUUGAUCAAACUUUGUGAUGUAGCAUGAAUAGAGUUUGAGACUAGAAAAGCAUAGAUAGCUAGAGGGAGUUCUUAGGCAUUCUUGUCCAUCCAUUUGGCAAAAAGGAAAAAUCCAAACAAUCAAAGCAACAAAUGGACGUCCUCAAAUGAGUAAAAUAUGCAAUCAACAUGCUCACACAAUAAAAUGACAAAUGAAAUAUGUGGCAAAGCAUGCACAAACACUCUAGCGUCUAUCAAGCAAUUUGGCGAUGACUAGGUCAUCUACAUAUGAGUAUAUUGACUUAGGAGUCAAAUAAGAACAUUUGAUCAUAGGUCAUACUCAUCGUUUAAGCACAAGUGGGGUUGCCAAGCAUUGUUGUGUUCACAUCAUUAGAGUUGCUUUAGCUCAAUUGAUUAGAGUAAAGCUCCCCCUAGAUGUGAUAUCCCCCCUAAGAGGGAUGAACUAACCUUGGGUUUUGUCGAUGAUGACUUCAUGUAGGUGUUGAAGAUGUGGAUGCUCAAUGUUAAUGUAGAUCAUUCGGAGCAAUCCUUUGGAGUGAGUUGCACUUUCAAUACCUACACGGGUUAGUCCCACAAGUUACAAACAAGGAUAUCCAUAGACAUAGAUUGAUGUUCACACAUGAUGAUGUCCAUGAAAGCAUUAGGUUACCUUGUCCCUAGUCUUACCAACAAGAGGGUUUGUGACUCCUUGAACUAGUGCAAGAUAUGGAAGUUGUUUGCACUUGUCCUUGCCAAAAUGAUAUGAGUGAAGUUUGUUGGCGGAGUCACCCUCAAGAACUCUCUAGUUCUUCUUCUUCGGGAUCCACAUCAUCUUGAUGGGAAUCCUUAGAGUUGUAGUCGUACUUGAUGAAGUAGAACUUGAUGUAGUCUUGGGAACCCACUUGACCAAGGCCUUGGGAGCUUCUUCAAAUGCAUCAAUCUCCUCUUGAAGCUUAUCCUUGCCUUUUUGCUUGUGGUCUUGUGGUGGAAGAUCAUCUUGAGCUUGUGUUCCUUUGAAAGAAGUGGGAUCAUACUUCUCUUGUUGAGGAACAAACUUCAUCUUGGGGUAUUAAUCUUCUUCCCACUCAACUCCAUUGGCAUUGAACUUUCGUUCAAAACCAACACCUUGAUUCUUCCGGUGUCUUCCUUGCUUGCGUACAAUUUCCUCAAAUUGCUUACUUCCGGCAAGACUCUUGUAAACACCUUUCUCUAUAAUUCCCUUCAAUAAGCUAUUUUCUUGCUCAAGUGUAACUUGGCUAAGAUAAUCAUUAGUGGAAUCAAGGGAACUACUAGAAGCAACAUUAUUGGAUUUAGCAUGAUUAAUGAUACUACUAGAAGAAGAAUCUUUCUUACUCUUGUUGCUAGAUUUAACUUGUGGCAUGUAAGUAGAUAAGAGUAAACGCUUGGCAAUGUAAAAAGAACUUUUCUUAUGAAGAUCAUCAUUGAUUGCUUUGAAGAACUCACGCUCUUGCUCAAGGUUAAGCUUUUCAAAGCGUAGCUUCUCAUGAGUCUUUAAAAGUUCUCGAUGAUCUUCCAAGGUAGUUUCAUGAGCUAACUUAAGAGUGUUUAGUUCUUUAGUUAGACGCUCAAUCUCCUUCUUAUGAUCGUCAUUCGCUUUAUCUUGAUUAUCAUGAUUAAUAGCAAGUUCAUCAUUGUUUUCAUAACUAGAGUUGUCAACAAGUAAAUCAUCAUCUCCUAGCAAAUCAUCUUCCUCACUAUUGAAAUCAACAUACUCGAGGUGUGUUACCUUUGGACCUUUAGCCAGGAAGCAUCUUCCAAUUCCUUCAUUCAGUGAGUCAAAUAUGUCAUAGGAGUUGGUUGACACAAGCGCUAGACCGGCAACACCUUCAUCUUGAGUAUAUUUGGAGUCGGAGUGAUAACUUCUUUCGGACUGAUGGUCAGAGUCAGAGCCAGAUACCCAUUCACCAACAUGAGCUUGAUGUCUUCUUUUUGUGUAGCUCUUUGAUGAUUUGUCCUUCCUUUCUGAAUCCUUGCUUCUUCGAGAGGAUCUUCGUUUAUAACGAUCAUCUCUACUCCUUCUCUCUCUUGGUGGUGAUUCUUCUCUCCUACUUCUUCUUUUGGGAGAAUCUUCUCAUCUUUUGUAGGGAGCCGUACGCUCAUUGGAAGAGUGUCCGGGUCUUCCACAAUUGUAGCAAUUACGCUCACGACUAGAAGAUCUUUUGUCAUUGUAGGACCUUGACUUGGAACUUCUUUCCUUGCUUCUACUCUUGUAGAACUUAUUGAAAUUCUUCACCAUUAGGCUCAAUUCUUCAUUGAAGGUUUAUUUCUCACUUGAUGAUGUGGGAGCAUCACAUGAGGCUUUGUAAGCACCACUUGACUUGUUGUGGAGCUCUUCCUUAUCCUUAAGUGACAUCUCAUGAGCAACAAAUCUUCCAAUGACUUCCGUAGGCUUGAGAUCUUUGUAAUUGGGCAUCAUUUGGAUCAAUGUGCACACGGCAUCAUAUUUUCCAUCCAAGGCUCUUAGGAUCCUCUUGAUGAUGAAUCUAUCGGUCAUCUCUUCACUUCCUAAGCCGGCAAUCUCAUUUGUGAUGAGAGCAAGCCUAGAGUACAUUUUAGCGACACCUUCACCAUCCUUCAUUUUGAACUUGUCAAGCUGACUUUGAAGCACAUCCAACUUGGAUUCCUUGACGGAGUCGGUACCUUCGUGCAUAUCAAUCAAAGUAUCCCAAAUUUCCUUUGCAUUAUCAAGACGGUUGAUUUUAUUGAACUCUUCGGGGCACAAUCCGUUGAAGAGGAUAUCGCAAGCUUGAGCAUUGUAUUGCAGCAUCUUCAACUCUUCUGUGGUAGCUUCAUGGUUCGGUUCUCUCCCAUCAAAGAAUUCACCUUGCAAGCCAAUACACACAAUAGCCCAAACGGCGGGGUUAUGUCCAGGAAUAUGCAUUUUCAUCUUAUGCUUCCAACUAGCAAAAUUAGUACCAUCAAAGUAAGGUCCUCUAUGGUGGUAAUUUCCCUCGCUAGAUGCCAUACUCUCCAAGGUUGUGAAACCAAGGCUAUGAUCACCAAAAGCUAUGGAAAUCAAAGCAAAUGGAUACCAAAGCUUUGAUGCCACUUGUAGGAUCGAAAGUAUGUCUAGCGGGGGGGUGAUUAGACUACUUGACCAAAUAAAAUUCUAGCCUCUUCCCAAUUUUAAGUUUUGGCAGAUUUUAGCAACUUAGCACAAGUCAAGCAAUCAACCUACACAUGCAAUUCUAAGAGUAUAGCAGCGGAAUGUAAAACAAUUGCACAUGAAGGUAAAGGGAGGAGUUUGGAGGGAGCAAACGCAAUGUAGACACGAAGAUUUUUUAUCCGUGGUUCCGAUAGGUGGUGCUAUCGUACAUCCACGUUGAUGGAGACUUCAACCCACGAAGGGUAACAAUUUCUCGAGUCCACGGAGGGCUCCACCCAGGAAGGGUCCACGAAAAAGCAACCUUGUCUAUCCCACCAUGGCCAUUUCCUACGAAGGACUUUCCUCACUAGGGUAGAUCUUCACGAAGUAGGCGAUCUCCUUACCCUUACAAACUCCUUGGUUCAACUCCACAAUCUUGACGAUGGCUCCCAAAUGACACCUAACCAAUCUAGGAGACACCACUCCCCAAAAGGGAAUAGAUGGUGUGUUGAUGAUGAACUCCUUGCUCUUGUGCUUCAAAUGAUUGUCUCCCCAACACUCAACUCUCUCUCACGGGAUUUGGAUUUGGUGGAAAGAUCAUUUGAGUGGAAAGCAACUUGGGGAAGGCUAGAGAUCAAGAUUUAUGUGGUUGGAAUGGAUUAUCUUGACCUCAACACAAGUGUAGGUGGUUCUCUCUCAGAAAAUGUAUGUUGGAAGUAUAGGCAUGUUCUGAUGGAUUUCUUCACGAAUGAAGAGUGGGUGGAGGGCUAUAUAUAGCCUCCACACAAAAUCUAACCAUUACACACAAAUCACCAAACUCGGUGGGACCGAAUCAGAAAACUCAGUCAGACCGAUUUAGUUCAAAAUGUGAACAUUAGGAUUUUCGAUGGGAACGACAUGUCAACUCGGUGGGACCGAUUUAGUUAGGGUUAGGGCAUAAAGUAAUCUUGGUGAGACUAAUUACACAAACUCGGUGUGACCGAUUUUGGUAAUAAGCUAACCAGAGAGUUGGUAGGCAAACUCGAUGGAACCGAUUCGCUCAUCUCGGUUAGACCGAAACGUUACGAAGGGGAAACAGAGAGUUUGCAUUGCAAUCUCGGUGGGACCGAUCGCUCAUCACGGUUUGACCGAAAUGUUACGAAGGGAAACAGAGAGAUUACAAUCCCAUCUCGGUGAGACCGAGAUCCAUAUCGGUGAGAUCGAAAAGACUAGGGUUUGUGGCAAUGGCUAUGUUAAUUGAACUCGGUGGCGCCAGAUAGAAAGUUUCGGUGGGCCUAAUUUGACUUUUGGUUUGGGACAUAUUUGGAUGUGAGAAAGUAGUUGAGGGUUUUUGAAGCAUAUCACUAAGCAUUUUGAGCAAGAACCUCAUUAAGAAACACCUCACCCCCUUUUAAUAGUAUUGGCUUUUCCUAUGGACUAAUGUGAUCUUGGAUCACCAAAAGUAAAAUGUAGAGUCUUGUGCUUUGAGCUUGAGCCAAUCCUUUUGUCCUUAGGAUUUUGAGGGGCCACUUUCUAAUCCAUGCCAUGCCAAUCAUUGAGCUUUCCUGAAAUAUUUAUCUUGAAAUAGCAUUAUCUCAAUGAGCUAUAUGUUGUUAGGAAUUACCAAAACCACCCAUGGAUAGUUGCACUUUCAUGGUGAAACAUCGAUUAAGUUAUGUCUCGCCAAAUUUUUAGCACUCGUUAUGUCCAAUUUUUUCGUCGAUAUUUUGUUUAGGGUCAAUUGGAGUAAUGUUGGUUUGUAUUUGCAGGGAUCAAAAUGAGUGACAAUGUUUUGGCAAACAUUGAUUAUUUUUAUUUUGGCAAAUUUCUGGCACUCAUUAUGUUUAAAUUUGUAGAAACAAUCAUGCCUAAUUUUUCCGUCAAUAUUUUGCGUACGGUCAAUUGGAGUACUAUAGGUGUCCUUGGAGAAAAGACAGAGAACCUUUCUACUAUCCAAACUGAAUAUUAAGGGCAUCAGGGAGUUGUUCUUUUUUUGAAAGGAGGACUACCCCUGGCCUCUGCAUCAAGAGAUGCACAUAAUGAUUUAUUUAACUGAAUGAAGUAUCAAACUAUGAGUAACAUAUCAAAGUAUGUGAACAAAAUUAAGAAUGUAAAUAGCCACAAUUGGCCAAAAAAAUAGGACACAACCCCUAUCAUAUUAUUGGACCGCCAUCCAAACUGAUUGUAUAUAGCCCGUGCUAUUGUCUUCCAUCGGUUGCACCCAAAGGCCAUAUGCUCCAUCUCCUCAGCGUGGCGUAGAAGUAAUUAUCAUGCACGGAUCCAUCUAGACGCCUGAUAGAUAAUCUGCAAAAAGUUUGUGAUAUUUGUCCUAUUAAAUACAACAUCAUUCCUUCAGUUUUAAGUAACCCAAAAUAAUGUACAAACUCCCACACGAAUUCAUGAUCAUGUAUUAACUCAAUCCCACCUAACCAAUUGCUAAACAAAUGAAAGAUACUAGUGACUGGAGAAACAUUAAAGGACACAUGUAUUGACAAAGGUAAAUAAUUUGAUGAGUGGGCUCCUUAAAUAAAAAAUGUAAUGGAUGACCAUCAACAAUGUAACUCAUCCAAGCGUCACAAAAGAUUAACCAAACAAUUCAGUCAAAUCAUUGUAUACUAGCAAGCUGCUGAUCCAAAUGUGGAUGAGCCACCGCCAGUCGUCCGAGUGGCACGUUGUGGCUGGUGCACCGUGCAGGAAGCCGGGCUAUUAGAGCAACUCCAAACGUAAGUAUCCAUUUCCUCCACCGCUGUCCAUUUGGGUCGGCUCGGAUAAAAAUAAAGACCCAACGCAUCGACCAAUUCGUAAAAUGUGUCUGCUUCACGUCCAUGCCAACACAUUUGCGUCCCAAAUUUACAGCAGAAAUGUGUCAGCGCAAACGCGAAACGGACGCAUCGCGCGCCUUCUCGGUGUCUGCCGCGUCCCCAUCUAGCGGCCAUCCAAUUACCGCGGUCAGCUUAAUUUAUGACGACCGCCCACCUCGGACCCACACGUCAGUGACGGCGGUCGGCCUUUUUUAAUGCGAGCGUGGGGCAGGGGGAGUCCUCAUCUGCUUCCAGAAGCCCCCCAUCCCCAUCUCGCCACCCUCUGCUCCCCCGUCGGCGGCAACCCUAGCCACCGUAAGGAUGGGUUUCUUCUCAGGCAAAGUGGCACUGGGAAAACCUCGUCCCUCUCCCCUACCCCGACGUCAUCCUGCCACACGUAUGGCACUUGGAUUCGGAGAGGACACCAGUGCCGGCGGUGCCGCGGUCGGCCAGGGUGCACGCGGAAGGAGGUACGACGUCGACUCGCUCUAUUGGGGGCGUUGGUUCCCCUUCGAGCAUGAGGAGGCCAGGUGGCGCGGCGUCUGUGACGUCUCGCAUGGCUCCCCACCGCCGCCCCUCGUCGUUCACGACGAGGACCGGGCAGCCCUGGCGGCUAUCCUCGGGGAGAGUGAGGAGGAAGAGCGGCGUAGGGAGGAGGAGGAGGAGGCGACGUAUGAGGCGCGCAUGGCAGAGGCCAUGGCGCUAUCUGCAGCCGGCGAUUGCGUAGUGCCGCCGCUCGCCCCGCUGUCCCCAGCCAAGGCCUAGCCGGAGCCGAUCCCUAUCGAGUGCUACUCCUAGACUGGAGUGGUGCACGAGUGGUUCAGUGCGCCGCUGGUCUAGAUGCGGGCGACGAAGGUGCAGGAGGCGGCCUACCUUGAACUGUGGUGCCAGCGACGGCUGGCCGAGGAGCGCCGCGAAGGUGAGUACUUCGAGCAGCUGGAGCGCCAUGCCGAGGAGGAGCGCCGCGAGGCCGAGGAGGAGGCGCGCCGUGCCCAGCCGGCGGCGGACGCCCCCGCCUGAAACACUGCGUUCCCCUGGGCCGGCCAUGCGCUGACGCUGAUCGACCUCACCGGCCCCGACGAUGACGACGAGGACGCAUAGGGCAGCGCGUCGCCUCGUAGUUUUGUUUUAUUAAUAUUUAAUUAAUGUAAAUGUGGACGUGUGGACUCUCGCCGGCCUUUGUGACCGUCAUUAAUGUUUUUUCAUUUUUGAAAUAUUUGUGUUCAAUUUUUUUCGCGCGCCGUAAAAAAGGAUCGGGCCAGCGUUAAGCGCAUGUGUAACGCCCCAGAUAUACUUUCCAUAUUUGUAUCCAACUCUUGCCGUCUCCGGCUCUAAGUUGUAUUUAUUUCUCGGGUUUGGGUCUUUGUCUUUGUGUGUUGUUUUUCUUUUUCGUGCAUCUUUUAUCAUGUCAUCACGUGCAUUGCAUUUGCAUACAUGUUCAUCUCAUGCAUUCGAGCUUUUUCCCCGUUGUCCGUUUUGCAUUCCGGCGCUUCGUCCUCCUCCGGUGGUCAUUUCUAGUCUUCUUUCGUGUGUGGGGUUUAAACAUUUCUGGAUUGGACCAAGACUUGCCAAGCGGCCUUGGUUUACUACCGAUAGACCACCUGUCAAGUUUCGUAUCAUUUGGACUUCGUUUGAAACUCCAACGGUUAACCGAGGGAUCGAAAAGGCCUCGUGUGUGUUGCAGCCCAACACCCCUCCAAAUUUGGCCCAAAACCCACCAAACUCUGCUCCAUCGUCUCGGUCGUUCGAUCACGAUCGUGUGGGCGAAAACCGUACCUCAUUUGGACUCUCCUAGCUCCACUUAUGCCUAUAUAUACACCCCCUCCGAAAUCCACGGUUCUUCUCCCCCCUAACCCUAGAUCCAACUCCUACCGCCGCCGCCGGACAAAAAUCGCGUGCCGGACGUGUCCGCCUGGCUCCGCGGGACGAAUCCGCCGCCGCCACGUGUCCCGGGGCCGGUCCCCAGUUCGCCGCCGCCCGCGGGCCCGCGAGGCCCGUGCGGGGCCCUCCCGGCCCGCUACGCCGCCCGCCUCCUCCUCCAGUCGCCGCCCCCGAGCCCGGCGACGCUCGCCCGCUCCGGCCGCCGUGGCGCCAUUGCCGGCCGCCGCNNNNNNNNNNNNNNNNNNNNNNNNNNNNNNNNNNNNNNNNNNNNNNNNNNNNNNNNNNNNNNNNNNNNNNNNNNNNNNNNNNNNNNNNNNNNNNNNNNNNNNNNNNNNNNNNNNNNGGAGCACCUCGCCCCGCCGCCCCAAGCCCUCGCCGGCGCCCGCGCCAGGGAGAGGAGCUCCCGGCUCCGGCGACCGCCCGCCGCGCCGCUUCCUCCUCGCCGUCCGGCCCCCCUCCCCGCUCCGGUUACUUCCUCUCCGGCCGCCGCCGUCGUCUACAGGAAUCCCGGCGAGAUCCGCCGCCGUCUCGGGCCGCGUGCCCGAACCCUAGAUCUGGAUCCUGGGGUAGUUUUUUUUCACUAAGUCCCUAGAUUUUUACUCCAUAUGCUCCUGUUCGAGGACCCGUAUCUCCACAUCCGUAGCACCGUUUUGGGCAUAUGAUAUGUCAAAAUCUUCGCUUCGACAUGUACAUCACUUCAUUCCAUUGCAUCAUUUGCAUUUGAGGUCAUCUUGAUCCCCAAAAUGCUGUUAGAAGGAGGCUUCGUGAGUUAAAUUGCAGAUCCGUUAGUUCAUCAUGCACUUUUGUCAUUUUUGCUAUGUUUAAUUCGUGCAUGAUAUGCCUGUGCCCCUUUGGGAUGAAUUGUUAAGCAUUUUGUCUUCUUUCCAGAGGUGUCACCCAUGCAUUUUUAGGAUGUGUGUGUUGUCUUGUGCAAACUUGCGAAGAGAGGUACCUGAGAAUGCAGAUUUCAGGGACUUAGUGAUUUUCACUAAGUCUGGGAUAUUUUAGUUCAUGAUGCUAUAUGUCCAGCUUGUUUCCUAGUGAUCUGUGCCUCUUUUGAGGAUGAUCAGUAAGGGAGUUUUGAUAUUUAAGUUAUGCUCUAUCUAUCCAUGUCUUUGUUUGCAUAUGUGGAGUGCUCUAGGUUUACUCAAUCGAGCUCAACUUUUGCUUCGUUGUUAAUCUGGGCAGAUCGUCAACUUGUUUGCGAUUUUGCCGAUGCUACCGUUAGUGUUCCAUGCAUGCUAUGCCUUCGUUCUUGCCAUGUGUAGCUAGCACAUUGUGCCUUCUUGCUGGUUAUAUGCUUUCCUUGCCAUGACUUGCACCGUAGUGAGUGCAUCGAGCUCGUUUACAUGCCUUCGUGAGUUAUAUUUCAGCGUGUCUCAGUUUUCACUAAGUCUGAAAACUGAUUGUGUUCGAGCUAUGUUCGUGAGCUCGGUAGAGUAUUUUGUGAACCCUUUUGGCCCCAGGUCACUUUGGGUGUUUUGUUAAGCUUGUUGAGUAGCUCCAUGCCAUGUUCUUACUUGUCAUGUUCAGGUUUUCUAUCAUGUUGUUUUGCUGCUCCGAAGAGAGCAUCGUGAUCUGAAAUUUCAGACUACUGUUAAUUUCACUAAGUCUGGAAUCUGUUUUGCAUUUGCGUUUUAGCCAUGCUUGUUUGAACCUCUUAAUGGAUGAAUUUGCCUAUGGCUCAGUGCUAGUGUUUUGUCAACCAUCUUGUGUACAUCAUUGCCAUGUAUUUUGUUUUCAUGUUUGGUGGUUGUAGCAUGUUCAUUUUGUUGCAUUUAGAUGCCUACUUGCUGUAAAUCGCAGACCGGUGUCAUAUCUUAAAACGCUUGCCAUUUCCAAACCGUAGCUCCGAUUCCUAUGAUCUUUAUAUCGUUUUCAAGCGAUUUCAUCCCCUCUAUCCAGUGGCACACUUGGUUUUUUCCAAGUUGAUGCCAGGUUCAUGCAUUUCCUGUCAUAUCUCGCAUUUUGCAUCCCGCAUCGCAUCCCGCAUAGCAUAUCGUCAUUUCAUCAUAUUGCUUGGACUUGCCCGUGGUUGAUUGUAUCCUUGUUGCUUGUUUGUCUUGUUGGGUAGAGCCGGGAGACGAGUUCGCUACCGAGGAGCCCGUUGAGUUUGCUUGUGAGGAUCCAGUCAACUCUGACAACUGUGCAGGCAAGAUGAUCAUACCCUCGAAAUCACUACUAUCUUUGUUAUGCUAGAUUGCUCGCUCUUUUGCUUUGCCACUGCUACGAUGCCUACCAUUUGCUUGUCAGCCUCCCAAUUGCCAUGUUGAACCUCUAACCCACCAUUGACCUAGCAAACCGUUGAUUGGCUAUGUUACCGCUUUGCUCAGCCCUUCUUAUAGCGUUGUUAGUUGCAGGUGAAGGUUGGAGCCGUUCCUUGUUGGAACAUUUAUUUUACUUGUUGGGAUAUCAUUAUAUUGCUAUGUUAUCUUAAUGCAUCUAUAUACUUGGUAAAGGGUGGAAGGCUCGGCCUCUCGCCUAGUGAUUUGUUCCACUCUUGCCGCCCUAGUUUCCGUCAUAUCGGUGUUAUGUUCCCGGAUUGUGCGUCCCUUACGCGGUUGGGCUAUAAUGGGAACCCCUUGAUAGUUCGCCUUGAUUAAAGCUUUUCCAGCAAUGCCCAACAUUGGUUUUACCAUUUGCCACCUAGCCUCUUUUUCCCUUGGGUUUCCGGAGCCCGAGGGUCAUCUUAUUUUAACCCCCCGGGCCAGUGCUCCUCUGAGUGUUGGUCCGAACCAGGCAGCCUGCGGGGCCACCUCGGGGAAACUCGAGGGUUGGUUUUACUCGUAGCUUGACCUAUCCGAGCGUGCCCUGAGAAAGAGAUAUGUGCAGCUCCUAUCGGGAUUUGUCGGCACAUUCGGGCCGUGUUGCUGGACUUGUUUUAACCUGUCGAAUCAUCUUGUUGUACCAAGAUACCGAGUAUGAUCGUUGUGUCUUGGGUGGAGGUCUAUUCCUUCGUUGACCGUGAGAGCUUGUUAUGGGCUAAGUUGGGACCCCCCUGCAGGGAUUGAUCUUUCGAAAGCCGUGCCCGCGGUUAUGGGCAGAUGGAAAUUUGUUAAUGUCCGGUUGUAGAUAACUUUAACUUAACUUAAUUAAAAUGAAUCAACCGUGUGUGUUACCGUGAUGGCCCCUUCUCAGCGGAGUCCGGGAAGUGGACACGGUGUUGGAGUUAUGCUUGUGCAGGUUGUUCCUUUAGCUUCUCGCUCGUGCUUCGCCUUCUCUUCUCGCUCUCUUUUGCGUAUAAGUUAGCCACCACAUAUGCUAGUCGCUUGCUGCAGCUCCACAUAUAUUUGCCUUAUCCAUUCCUAUGAGCUUAAAUAGUUUUGAUCGCGUGGGUGUGAGAUUGCUGAGUCCCUAUGGCUCACAGAUACUACAACUCCAGAUGCAGGUCCAGGUGUUUCUGCUCCAGUUGACGAUUACGAGCUCAAGUGGGAGUUCGACGAGGACUCUCAGCGAUACUACGUAUCUUUUCCGGAUGAUCAGUAGUGGUGCCUAGUUGGGGUUAUCGAUUCAGGACCUUGUCGCUCGUUGGGUUCUUUUCUAUUUUGGCGCCGUAGUCGGGCCAUGAGUGUUUGUUUGAUGGAUGUUAUUUAUGUACUCUGAUGUGACGUGGCGAGUGUAAGCCAACUAUGUUAUCUCCCGCUUUUAUUAUAUAUUACAUGGGAUGUUGUAAUGAUUGCCUGACUUGCGACAUUGCUUUCAAUGCGGUUAUGCCUCUAAGUCAUGCCUCGACACGUGGGAGCUAUAGCCGCAUCGAGGGCGUUACAAGUUGGUAAUCAGAGCCUUCCCCGACCUUAGGAGCCCCAUUGCUUGAUCGUUUUUAGCAGCCGAGUUGUGUCUAGAAAAAUGUUUUGAGUCAUUUAGGAAUUAUAUAUCGGAGAGUUAGGAAUUCUUUUUACUUCCCAGUCUCCUCAUCGCUCUGGUAAGGCAUCCUGGCGUAGAGUUUUGACUCUUCUCUUCUCAAAUUUCACUAAAAAAAUUUUAGGAUCACGCGAGUAUCUUGGUUUUGUUCCAAUGGUUUUGUGACGAGAACAUUGUUCUUGGUGCCUCCUGUCUUUAGGGGUUGUGGCAGUGUCCCGGGGAGUUGAGCUCCGAGGUGUUGUCGUCACAAUUUUAUCGUUGCAAUUCUGGUAUACUUGAGAUAUGUUCGCCGACAUCGAAAAUCUCUUUUAUGCAGUUCGUUGGUGAGAUAACCUCGACGCCACCCAGUACUGGGGCGGGAGUUCGGGAGUAUCGCCAUAACUUGUAUAACGGAUGCUUUUCGAAGGUUGAGGUAGAUGGUUUCCGAAGUUUUCUUGGUUAUGUGUUGAAGGAUGGAUACAGCUGGAUGUAGGAUUUGCUAGUUUGGGUGAGAUAUUGUGCUUCCCCUGUAUCCCCAACACCUGAUUGCAUAACCGGAAAGGUUCGGGAGUUUCAUAGGUGGGAAUUCUAGUAGCUCUAGUUCUUCUUCCACGGAUAUUGGUUUGAGAUUGGGAUUUCUUACCGAUUAUUCGUUCUUGAUCCGUACCUUGUUGAAUUAUUUCUCUUCCUUAAUUCUUCGUGGCUUCUCAAUUUAUGGAUAUGUGACCAUUUGAAGAGGAAUGCAUUCGUUCAUUUUGUUCGGAUGUGAAGACUAUAUGUUGCAAUUUUCAUUCCGUUGGAUUCAGCUUCUAUAUUGUUGUCUAUCUAUGUGCUAAUGGUGGUCAACCUCUUCAGGAUGGCUCCUCCAACGCGCACGACUCCGAAUCCUGAUCCGCCUCCACCUCCGCCUCCUCCGGAAGCAUGGCAAGCUGUGAUGGCCGCUACUAAUGCAAAUACACAGUUGAUCAUGCAAAUCCUCCAAGAGCGCAAUCAAGGCAGUCAAGGGAAUCAAGGCCACAAUCAGCACCACUUUGCUACUCUGAACCAGUUCCUCGCAAAUGGCCCAAAGACGUUCAGCGGUUGUGUUGAGGCUACCGAUGCUGACGAUUGGCUAGUGGAUCUGGGCAAGCAUUUUGAAUGCAGCAAUGUCAGGCCUGAAGAUUUCGUCAAGUUCGCUUCUUUCCAGCUCAAAGAUCAGGCUGCAGAGUGGUUCCAGCAGUACAAGGAUUCCAGAGGUGGACGUGUUAUCACUUGGGACGAUUUCCGUCAAGAUUUCCGCGCUCAUCACAUCCCUCAAAGUGUGGUUGAGAGUAAGCGUCAGGAAUUCCGCAAUCUGAAGCAAGGCUCUUUGUCUGUCUAUGACUACAACAAGUUGUUCCAGAAGCUCGCCCGUUUUGCCAAGCAGGAUGUUCCUGAUGAGAAGAGCAUGAUCUAUCAGUUCAGGGGUGGUCUUCGUGAGGAAAUUCAGCUCGCUCUUGUCCUCUUUGAGCCGUUGAGAUACGAUGAGUUCUACAACAUGGCACUGAAGCAAGAGGCUGCUCAGAUGAGGUGUGAUGCUUCCAGGAAGCGUGCCAGAGAUGUUACUCCGUCUUCCUCUACUCAAGUGGUCAAGCAGCAGAAGUAUUGGCUUCCUCCUCCUCCGUUCCGUCAGCCGUAUCAGCAGAAGAGUAAAGGUGGCAGUGGUUUCUCCCACCCACCCAACCCAGGCUUUCAGAACAAGUCUUCGUCUCAAGCUCCAAGAUCGAGUGCUCCGUAUCACCGUCCGCUUUCAGAGGUCACGUGCAACAAGUGCCAACAGAAGGGUCACUAUGCCAACAAGUGUACCAACCAGAGGCGUCUUCCUCCUCCUCCUCCUGUCAGAUCGGCAAGUACAGCUGUGGUCAAGCACAAUCCCAAGCACGCCAAGGUCAAUAUGCUGAAUGCAGCUCAGGCUGAGGAUUCUUCAGAUGUCAUUAUGGGUAACCUUCCUAUUAAUGAUAUUCCUGCAAAAGUUCUUUUUGACACGGGUGCAUCGCAUUGUUUCAUGUCAAAGCCAUUUUUUACCAAGCAUGAGUUCGUUUCUUCUCAUUUGGGUAAACAUAUGGAUAGCAUUUCUCCUGGCAAACGUUUGAGCGCAAGUCUGGAGGUGCCAGAUGUCGCUAUCACGAUGGGAGAUUUCAAGUUUCUUGCUUCUCCUAUGGUUCUUGGUAACUCGGAUAUCGAUCUUAUUCUCGGGAUGGACUGGCUCUCUAAGCAUAAAGCUCAGCUUGAUUGUGCAGCCAGGCAGAUUCAACUGACUCAUUCGUCUGAGGAUGUCAUUGUCUUUGCCGCUCGGGAUAAUUACAUCCGGUUGUUUUCUCUCAAUGAGAAGGGUGAAUUGGAUGCUAUUUCGCAGAUUCCGGUUGUUUGUGAGUAUCAAGACGUUUUUCCAGAAGAACUUCCAGGAAUGCCUCCGCACCGGCCAGUUGAAUUUGUUAUUGAACUUGAGCCCGGUACGGAACCUGUGUGCAAACGUCCUUACAAGCUCGGCCCCGAAGAGUUGAAGGAGUUGAAGAAACAACUCGAUGAGCAAGAAAGAUUGGGUCUCAUUCGGCCUAGUACUUCUCCGUGGGGUUGUGGUGUUCUUUUUGUGAAGAAGAAGGAUGGAAUGAGUCGACUUUGUGUUGAUUACCGUCCAGUAAACAAGAAGACCAUCAAGAACAAAUACCCACUUCCCAACAUCAAUGAGCUGUUCGAACAACUCAAGGGUGCUCAAGUAUUCUCCAAGCUUGAUCUCCGUAUGGGUUAUCAUCAGAUUCGUAUUCGUGAGCAAGAUAUUCCCAAGACGGCGUUCAGAACAAGCUUUGGUUCAUAUGAAUACACCGUCAUGUCUUUUGGCCUCGCCAACGCUCCUCCGACGUUCUCUCGCAUGAUGAACUUCAUCUUCAGCCCCUACACCAAUGAAUUCGUUUUGGUCUAUCUCGACGACAUUCUGGUUUUCUCGAAGAACAAGGAAGAUCAUGCCAAGCACUUGCGUUUGGUACUUGACAAGCUCAGAGAACAUCAGUUCUACGCCAAGUUCUCCAAGUGUGAAUUUUGGCUCGAUGAAGUUCUUUAUCUUGGUCAUAUCAUCUCUGCCAAGGGCAUUUCCGUGAAUCCUGAGAAGGUGUCUGCAAUUGUGAAUUGGGAACCUCCUCAGAACGUGAAGCAACUCCGAAGUUUCCUCGGUCUCGCAAGCUAUUGCAGAAGAUUCGUUGAAAACUUUUCUAAGAUCGCCAAGCCUCUCUCAAAUCUUCUUCAGAAGCACGUCAAGUACGUUUGGUCUCCGGAGUGUGAUAUUGCUUUCAACACUUUGAAAGAGAAAUUGAUCACUGCUCCAGUUCUGACUCCGCCUGAUGAAACCAAGCCGUACGAGGUCUUUUGUGAUGCCUCUCUCCAAGGUCUCGGUGCUGUACUGAUGCAAGAGAAGAAAGUUGUUGCUUAUACCUCUCGCCAGUUGAAGCCUAAUGAGAAGAACUACCCCACUCAUGAUCUUGAGUUGGCGGCAGUUGUGCACGCUUUGUUGACUUGGAGACAUCUUCUAUUGGGAAGGAAAGUGGAUAUUUUCACUGAUCACAAGAGUCUCAAGUACAUCUUCACACAGCCUAAUCUCAACCUCAGGCAGACUCGAUGGGUCGAAAUGAUUCAAGAGUACAAUCCGAGUAUCGAGUAUACUCCAGGCAAGGCUAAUGUGAUUGCUGACGCGUUGAGUAGAAAAGCAUAUUGCAACAGUCUGAUUCUCAAGCCUUAUCAACCCGAGCUUUGUGAAGCUUUCCGCAAGCUUAAUCUGCAAGUUGUUCCUCAAGGUUUCCUCGCCAACCUUCAAGUUUCUCCUACCUUGGAAGACCAGAUUCGCCAAGCCCAACUUCUUGAUGCUAUGGUGAAAAAGGUGAAGAUUGGUAUUGCAAAGAGUCAGUCCAAGUACAAGUGCUACCGACUUGAUGACAAGGACACUCUCUUCUUCGAGGAUCGAAUUGUUGUGCCCAAAGGUGAACUUCGUAAGGUGAUCAUGAACGAGGCUCACAACUCUCUCCUCUCCAUCCACCCUGGUAGUACGAAGAUGUAUCAGGACCUCAAGCAAACUUAUUGGUGGACUCGAAUGAAGCGCGAGAUCGCUCAAUUCGUGAACGAGUGUGAUGUCUGCAGAAGAGUGAAGGCAGAACACCAAAGGCCAGCAGGUCUCCUCCAACCUCUUGCCAUUCCAGAAUGGAAGUUUGACCACAUUGAAAUGGACUUCGUGACUGGGUUUCCAAAGUCCAAGCGUGGCAAUGAUGCUAUAUUCGUCGUCAUCGACAAGCUCACCAAAGUGGCUCACUUUCUGCCUAUCAAAGAGUCAAUCACUGCAGCUCAAUUGGCGGAACUCUAUACCUCUCGCAUUGUCUCUCUGCAUGGUAUUCCUCAAGUGAUAUCUUCAGACCGUGGUAGCAUCUUUACCUCCAAGUUUUGGGAUUCUUUUCAGAAGGCCAUGGGCACCAACAUCCGCUUCAGCACAGCUUUCCAUCCUCAAACGAGCGGUCAAGUCGAGCGUGUCAAUCAGAUUCUUGAAGAUAUGCUCAGGGCUUGUGUGAUCUCCUUCGGCAUGAAGUGGGAGGACUGUCUUCCUUAUGCUGAAUUCUCAUACAACAACAGCUUUCAAGCAAGUUCGGGCAAAGCCCCUUUUGAAAUUCUAUAUGGCAGGAAGUGCCGUACCCCUCUCAACUGGUCUGAAACCGGUGAACGUCAGCUGCUGGGCAAUGACCUAAUCACAGAGGCAGAAGAAAUGUGCAAAGUCAUUCGUGAUAACCUCAAAGCAGCCCAGUCCCGCCAGAAGAGCUACUAUGAUAGUAAGAACCGUGAAUUGGCUUUCGAGAUCGGAGAUCACGUUUACCUCCGCGUCUCUCCUAUGAAAGGUACUCGUCGCUUCGGUAUCAAAGGGAAGCUUGCCCCUAGAUACGUGGGACCUUUCAAGAUUGUCAGCAAGAGAGGCGACCUCGCCUAUCAACUCGAGCUUCCUUCAAACUUUGCAAAUGUUCAUGAUGUGUUCCAUGUCUCUCAGCUUCGAAAGUGCUUCAAGACUCCUGACCGCACCGUCAACUUCGAGGACAUUGAGCUCCAAGAAGAUCUCUCCUAUCGUGAGCACCCAGUUGCUAUUCUUCAAGAGACUGAACGCAAGACUCGCAACAAGUCAAUCAAAUUCCUCAAAGUCAAGUGGUCUCACCAUUCCGACCGUGAAGCUACCUGGGAACGCGAGGAUCACCUCCGUUCUGAGUACCCGGAGUUCUUUCAGUCCUAGAUCUCAGGAUGAGAUCUUUUCGUAGUGGUGGAGUGUUGUAACGCCCCAGAUAUACUUUCCAUAUUUGUAUCCAACUCUUGCCGUCUCCGGCGCUAAGUUAUAUUUAUUUCUCGGGUUUGGGUCUUUGUCUCUGUGUGUUGUUUUUCUUUUUCGUGCAUCUCUUAUCAUGUCAUCACGUGCAUUGCAUUUGCAUACAUGUUCAUCUCAUGCAUUCGAGCUUUUUCCCCGUUGUCCGUUUUGCAUUCCGGCGCUUCGUCCUCCUCCGGUGGUCAUUUCUAGUCUUCUUUCGUGUGUGGGGUUUAAACAUUUCUGGAUUGGACCGAGACUUGCCAAGCGGCCUUGGUUUACUACCGGUAGACCACCUGUCAAGUUUCGUAUCAUUUGGACUUCGUUUGAAACUCCAACGGUUAACCGAGGGACCGAAAAGGCCUCGUGUGUGUUGCAACCCAACACCCCUCCAAAUUUGGCCCAAACCCCACCAAACUCUGCUCCAUCGUCUCAGUCGUUCGAUCACGAUCGUGUGGGCGAAAACCGUACCUCAUUUGGACUCUCCUAGCUCCACUUAUGCAUAUAUAUACACCCCCUCCGAAAUCCACGGUUCUUCUCCCCCCUAACCCUAGAUCCAACUCCUCCCGCCGCCGCCGGACAAAAAUCGCGCGCCGGACGUGUCCGCUUGGCUCCGCGGGACGAAUCCGCCGCCGCCACGUGUCCCGGGGCCGGUCCCCAGUUCGCCGCCGCCCGCGGGCCCNNNNNNNNNNNNNNNNNNNNNNNNNNNNNNNNNNNNNNNNNNNNNNNNNNNNNNNNNNNNNNNNNNNNNNNNNNNNNNNNNNNNNNNNNNNNNNNNNNNNNNNNNNNNNNNNNNNNNNNNNNNNNNNNNNNNNNNNNNNNNNNNNNNNNNNNNNNNNNNNNNNNNNNNNNNNNNNNNNNNNNNNNNNNNNNNNNNNNNNNNNNNNNNNNNNNNNNNNNNNNNNNNNNNNNNNNNNNNNNNNNNNNNNNNNNNNNNNNNNNNNNNNNNNNNNNNNNNNNNNNNNNNNNNNNNNNNNNNNNNNNNNNNNNNNNNNNNNNNNNNNNNNNNNNNNNNNNNNNNNNNNNNNNNNNNNNNNNNNNNNNNNNNNNNNNNNNNNNNNNNNNNNNNNNNNNNNNNNNNNNNNNNNNNNNNNNNNNNNNNNNNNNNNNNNNNNNNNNNNNNNNNNNNNNNNNNNNNNNNNNNNNNNNNNNNNNNNNNNNNNNNNNNNNNNNNNNNNNNNNNNNNNNNNNNNNNNNNNNNNNNNNNNNNNNNNNNNNNNNNNNNNNNNNNNNNNNNNNNNNNNNNNNNNNNNNNNNNNNNNNNNNNNNNNNNNNNNNNNNNNNNNNNNNNNNNNNNNNNNNNNNNNNNNNNNNNNNNNNNNNNNNGGAGCACCUCGCCCCGCCGCCCCAAGCCCUCGCCGGCGCCCGCGCCAGGGAGAGGAGCUCCCGGCUCCGGCGACCGCCCGCCGCGCCGCUUCCUCCUCGCCGUCCGGCCCCCCUCCCCGCUCCGGUUACUUCCUCUCCGGCCGCCGCCGUCGUCUACAGGAAUCCCGGCGAGAUCCGCCGCCGUCUCGGGCCGCGUGCCCGAACCCUAGAUCUGGAUCCUGGGGUAGUUUUUUUUCACNNNNNNNNNNNNNNNNNNNNNNNNNNNNNNNNNNNNNNNNNNNNNNNNNNNNNNNNNNNNNNNNNNNNNNNNNNNNNNNNNNNNNNNNNNNNNNNNNNNNNNNNNNNNNNNNNNNNNNNNNNNNNNNNNNNNNNNNNNNNNNNNNNNNNNNNNNNNNNNNNNNNNNNNNNNNNNNNNNNNNNNNNNNNNNNNNNNNNNNNNNNNNNNNNNNNNNNNNNNNNNNNNNNNNNNNNNNNNNNNNNNNNNNNNNNNNNNNNNNNNNNNNNNNNNNNNNNNNNNNNNNNNNNNNNNNNNNNNNNNNNNNNNNNNUUCAUUCCAUUGCAUCAUUUGCAUUUGAGGUCAUCUUGAUCCCCAAAAUGCUGUUAGAAGGAGGCUUCGUGAGUUAAAUUGCAGAUCCGUUAGUUCAUCAUGCACUUUUGUCAUUUUUGCUAUGUUUAAUUCGUGCAUGAUAUGCCUGUGCCCCUUUGGGAUGAAUUGUUAAGCAUUUUGUCUUCUUUCCAGAGGUGUCACCCAUGCAUUUUUAGGAUGUGUGUGUUGUCUUGUGCAAUCUUGCGAAGAGAGGUACCUGAGAAUGCAGAUUUCAGGGACUUGGUGAUUUUCACUAAGUCUGGGAUAUUUUAGUUCAUGAUGCUAUAUGUCCAGCUUGUUUCCUAGUGAUCCGUGCCUCUUUUGAGGAUGAUCAGUAAGGGAGUUUUGAUAUUUAAGUUAUGCUCUAUCUAUCCGUGUCUUUGUUUGCAUAUGUGGAGUGCUCUAGGUUUACUCAAUCGAACUCAACUUUUGCUUCGUUGUUAAUCUGGGCAGAUCGUCAACUUGUUUGCGAUUUUGCCGAUGCUACCGUUAGUGUUCCAUGCAUGCUAUGCCUUCGUUCUUGCCAUGUGUAGCUAGCACAUUGUGCCUUAUUGCUGGUUAUAUGCUUUCCUUGCCAUGACUUGCACCGUAGUGAGUGCAUCGAGCUCGUUUACAUGCCUUCGUGAGUUAUAUUUCAGCGUGUCUCAGUUUUCACUAAGUCUGAAAACUGAUUGUGUUCGAGCUAUGUUCGUGAGCUCGGUAGAGUAUUUUGUGAACCCUUUUGGCCCCAGGUCACUUUGGGUGUUUUGUUAAGCUUGUUGAGUAGCUCCAUGCCAUGUUCUUACUUGUCAUGUUCAGGUUUUCUAUCAUGUUGUUUUGCUGCUCCGAAGAGAGCAUCGUGAUCUGAAAUUUCAGACUAGUGUUAAUUUCACUAAGUCUGGAAUCUGUUUUGCAUUUGCGUUUUAGCCAUGCUUGUUUGAACCUCUUAAUGGAUGAAUUUGCCUAUGGCUCAGUGCUAGUGUUUUGUCAACCAUCUUGUGUACAUCACUGCCAUGUAUUUUGUUUUAAUGUUUGGUGGUUGUAGCAUGUUCAUUUCGUUGCAUUUAGAUGCCUACUUGCUGUAAAUCGCAGACCGGUGUCAUCUCUUAAAACGCUUGCCAUUUCCAAACCGUAGCUCCGAUUCCUAUGAUCUUUAUAUCGUUUUCAAGCGAUUUCAUCCCCUCUAUCCAGUGGCACACUUGGUUUUCCAAGUUGAUGCCAGGUUCAUGCAUUUCCUGUCAUAUCUCGCAUUUUGCAUCCCGCAUCGCAUCCCGCAUAGCAUAUCGUCAUUUCAUCAUAUUGCUUGGUCUUGCCCGUGGUUGAUUGUAUCCUUGUUGCUUGUUUGUCUUGUUGGGUAGAGCCGGGAGACGAGUUCGCUACCGAGGAGCCCGUUGAGUUUGCUUGUGAGGAUCCAGUCAACUCUGACAACUGUGCAGGCAAGAUGAUCAUACCCUCGAAAUCACUACUAUCUUUGCUAUGCUAGAUUGCUCGCUCUUUUGCUUUGCCACUGCUAUGAUGCCUACCAUUUGCUUGUCAGCCUCCCAAUUGCCAUGUUGAACCUCUAACCCACCAUUGACCUAGCAAACCGUUGAUUGGCUAUGUUACCGCUUUGCUCAGCCCUUCUUAUAGCGUUGUUAGUUGCAGGUGAAGGUUGGAGCCGUUCCUUGUUGGAACAUUUAUUUUACUUGUUGGGAUAUCAUUAUAUUGCUAUGUUAUCUUAAUGCAUCUAUAUACUUGGUAAAGGGUGGAAGGCUCGGCCUCUCGCCUAGUGAUUUGUUCCACUCUUGCCGCCCUAGUUUCUGUCAUAUCGGUGUUAUGUUCCCGGAUUGUGCGUCCCUUACGCGGUUGGGCUAUAAUGGGAACCCCUUGAUAGUUCGCCUUGAUUAAAGCUUUUCCAGCAAUGCCCAACAUUGGUUUUACCAUUUGCCACCUAGCCUCUUUUUCCCUUGGGUUUCCGGAGCCCGAGGGUCAUCUUAUUUUAACCCCCCCGGGCCAGUGCUCCUCUGAGUGUUGGUCCGAACCAGGCAGCCUGCGGGGCCACCUCGGGGAAACUCGAGGGUUGGUUUUACUCGUAGCUUGACCUAUCCGAGCGUGCCCUGAGAAAGAGAUAUGUGCAGCUCCUAUCGGGAUUUGUCGGCACAUUCGGGCCGUGUUGCUGGACUUGUUUUAACCUGUCGAAUCAUCUUGUUGUACCAAGAUACCGAGUCUGAUCGGUGUGUCUUGGGUGGAGGUCUAUUCCUUCGUUGACCGUGAGAGCUUGUUAUGGGCUAAGUUGGGACCCCCCUGCAGGGAUUGAUCUUUCGAAAGCCGUGCCCGCGGUUAUGGGCAGAUGGGAAUUUGUUAAUGUCCGGUUGUAGAUAACUUUAACUUAACUUAAUUAAAAUGAAUCAACCGUGUGUGUUACCGUGAUGGCCCCUUCUCAGCGGAGUCCGGCAAGUGGACACGGUGUUGGAGUUAUGCUUGUGCAGGUUGUUCCUUUAGCUUCUCGCUCGUGCUUCGCCUUCUCUUCUCGCUCUCUUUUGCGUAUAAGUUAGCCACCACAUAUGCUAGUCGCUUGCUGCAGCUCCACAUAUAUUUGCCUUAUCCAUUCCUAUGAGCUUAAAUAGUUUUGAUCGCGUGGGUGUGAGAUUGCUGAGUCCCUGUGGCUCACAGAUACUACAACUCCAGAUGCAGGUCCAGGUGUUUCUGCUCCAGUUGACGAUUACGAGCUCAAGUGGGAGUUCGAUGAGGACUCUCAGCGAUACUACGUAUCUUUUCCGGAUGAUCAGUAGUGGUGCCUAGUUGGGGUUAUCGAUUCAGGACCUUGUCGCUCGUUGGGUUCUUUUCUAUUUUGGCGCCGUAGUCGGGCCAUGAGUGUUUGUUUGAUGGAUGUUAUUUAUGUACUCUGAUGUGACGUGGCGAGUGUAAGCCAACUAUGUUAUCUCCCCCUUUUAUUAUAUAUUAAAUGGGAUGUUGUAAUGAUUGCCUGACUUGCAACAUUGCUUUCAAUGCGGUUAUGCCUCUAAGUCGUGCCUCGACACGUGGGAGCUAUAGCCGCAUCGAGGGCGUUACAGCAUGUGCCGACCCAAACACGGAAGCGGGCGUGGGUGUCCGUCGAGCCGACCCAAACGGACAAAAGGUGAACAAAAUCGACGUCCGUUUGAGUCGGCGCGUUGAAGUUAGCUCUUAUUACAUGCGUAUGCAGUAUGCUAACUAGACUAGAAAUCGCACUAGUUUGAAACUUGAAACUGACCGUGCAGCUCAUUAGAAAGAGCAGGCUAGCUAGGUUUUCACUGCACCGUAUCCGUAUGCAUGUGCGCGUGCUAAGUUUUUACGUUUUUGUCAAUCUGCAAAGAAAUUGAGUGUGCCACACGCCCACACCUCAUUGCCAAAGAGGGUAUGGGUGUUUCGCGGUAGUUUCCUUCGUCACUGCCAUGAGAUGAACCGGACACUCCUUCCUGUUUUUUUAGAAAAGGAGGAAGCACCCCCGGCCUCUGCAUCUGGAUGAUACAUACGGCCACUUUAUUAAUUAUUAAGCACAAAAGACCUUACAAAGUAAUACAUCAAUAAGCCUGAAGCCACCAUCUAGGCAACAUCUAUCGCUACUCCUACCCCUUGAUGCAGUGGUGCCGAAUGUCCGAGUCUAAUACCAAAGACGUCGCACCAAAUUCUAACAUCUAAUGCCGGAUGCCCCAUCCUAGCCACAUACCAGGACUGGGUCACACGCCGGUCCGGCGCACUCACCGAGGCUGCCGCCGCCUUCUUCCACCGAUCCAUCUCCAGAGCAGGUACUGACGCACAGACCUUGCCAGACCUGCCGUCGACGCCACCAUGGCGCCAGACAGCUCGACCACCCUGCGCUCGUCCAUCCAGCCGCAUCCGUCGUCGAUAUGCAGCUACACCAUGCUGCCACCACUCGUCGUCAAAGACGCGGUAGAUACAACACCGCACCACCUGGCAACCUCCACACCAUCGCCACUGCUGGAGCUACUCGGAGCCCACCAUCCACGACAUCUCUCCCCCGAACAGCAGUUCCUCCCAAGACGGCGCCUCCAUGGAGGAUACGACGCGCAGGACGCCGCCGCCGCCCAAUCCAGACUGAAUUUUGGACAUUCGUCCGGGAGGGGUUCGGGGGUGGAUAGGGGGGACCUCGGCUUCGCCUCCAGGAAGGGUAAUGGCGUCAAGUGACGUCGCCGAUGCCGGGCCAAACACGCCGACCAAAGUUUCCUCCGGUCCCCAUCCUAUGCCACCAAACCUCCGUGUACUCCGGAUCCGGCAAGCCACGAUCCGAAACCCGCGAAGAUGAAAGAGCCAUGGGGCUCAACUCACCAGAAAGGAGGAUCGAGAAGAGCUCCUUGUAGAUCUCUAGACGCCGAAUCUAACGAUCCGACGUGGCCAGCGACGAUCAUCACCACCCCGCCGCGGCCGACGGAGUCCGAAGAAAGGAUCCAGAUGUUACCCCUAAUCUAGAGCUCGAUCUAUGGCGAUGAGAAAGGAGGGAGUCUGAACUUUUGUGCAGCGCACUAAACUGCUGCGUUUUCUUCUUCCUUUAUUCACUGAUAAACUGGGAAACCGGAUCGAGGACCAUCCCCUCUACUGGAUGGUGCCAUCCCACGAUCAGGGGCGUGCUCUCGCCGUGAGCUGCGGCCGCGGGAUCGCACAGAUUGCGUCCUCGGGCUCUCUAACUGAAACCGAUAAAACAGCUAACUAACCUGACAGCUAACUAAAAGUACUAGGCUGCCGUGGCAGCCCUGACUACUUGUCACGCUAGAUUAUUAGCCAACGAUCUCCCCCUAAGCUAGUCGUGACAUAAAACUUAAACUUCAACCAUACCAAUGCAUGCACGAAGCUGCUGAAACCGCGUGCGCCCUAGUGACUUUGUGAAGAUGUCCGCAAGCUGAUCACCCGUGGUGAUGUGCUCUACCAUGAUCUUGCCUUCUUCCACACACUUGCGGAUGAAAUGGAAUCGAACGUCGAUGUGCUUGCUGCGAUCAUGGAACACCGGGUUCUUGCACAACUGAAUUGCAGACUUGUUGUCGAUGAGGAUGGUGGUGGCACCGGCCUCCUCUUUCAGCAAGUCCCUCAUGAGCCUGACCAAAUCGCUUGAUAUGCCGCCGUAGUUGCUGCCACAUACUCCGCCUCACAUGAUGACAAAGCGACGAUCUUCUGUUUCUGUGACUGCCAGGUGAUCGGUGCUCCUCCCAGGAAGAAAAGAUUGCCGGACAUGCUCUUGCGGUCGUCGAUGUCGCCGGCCAGGUCCGAGUCACUGUACCCAAUGAGCUUUCCCUCACUCUUCUUGACGUACCUGCAGCCAAACUCGCAUGUGCCUGCAAUGUAGCGCAGCAGAUGCUUGACGGCGGCGAGGUGCGCCGUGGUCGGCGCCUCCAUGAAGCGGCUUACGUACCCCACUGCAAACGUGAUGUCCGGGCGUGUGUGCGUGAGGUAGCGAAGCCCUCCGAUGAUCCUGCGGUAGUGGGUGGCGUCCACCCGCGACUCUGGCCCCUCCUUGCUCAGCUUAAGACGCGGCUCCAUGGGGACAUGCACAGGAUUGCAGUCAGCCAUGCCCGCGCGCUCCAAGAGCUCGCCGGCGUACGCCGCCUGUGACAGGGUGAUCUCCCCGUCCCCCUGCUUCACCUCUAUGCCAAGGUAGAAGCUGAGCAGGCCGAGGUCGCUCAUGCGGAACCUGCCCAUCAUCUCUGUCUUGAAGCCCUGAAUCGCCUUGGUGUCGGCUCCGGUGACGACAAGGUCGUCGACGUACACGCCAACCAGGAGCCGAGCUUUCCCUUCGCCGCGCGUGUACAUGGCAUGUUCUGACGGGCAGCUCGUGAACCCAAGUUGCUGCAUAGUGAGGUCGAGCUUGGCGUUCCAGGCCCGCGGUGCCUGCCGCAGCCCGUAGAGUGCCUUGUGGAGGCGAUAAACCUUGUGCUCAUCGCCGCUCCGCACGAAACCAGGGGGUUGCUUGACGUAAACCUCCUCCUUGAGCUCGCCGUUGAGGAAGGCCGACUUGACGUCGAGGUGGUGCAGCUCCCAGCCACGCUGAGCCGCCAUGCCCACCAUGACACGCACGGAGUCCAGUCUGGCCACGGGCGCGAACGCGUCAUCGUAGUCCACGCCCUCCUUCUGCACGAAGCCUCUCGCCACAAGCCUCGCCUUGUGCUUGACCACGACAUCGGUUGCGUCUUUCUUCACUUUGAAGACCCACUUGAGCCCGAUUGCCUGGUGACCUGCUGGCAAGUCAGUCAGUGUCCAUGUAGCAUUCUCCUCGAUCGAAGCCAGCUCAUCUAGCAUGGCACGCCGCCAACAAUCGUGUGGCUCAGCAUCAGCAAAGCAGAGUGGCUCCUCCUCCACUAGCAGUAGCUCCUCGGCCAUCUGCACCAGCUCGUUUGCCCUGUGCAAGACGUCCGAGACGCGGCGGAACCGGUGCGCAAUGGCCGGAUCGUCGUAGGCGUCGAAGAGAUUUGGCUGCAUGGUCGGCGGCGUGACGAAGCCUACUCCCUCCGGGGUGUCCAUGGGCAGCACGCUGCCGCCGGGCGAGUCCACCGUGGAUGCGCUCGUAGCAGUCUGGAGCUCAACUGGUGUCCCCAGCGUCCUGACAGCGGUCUUGGACGCGGCCAGAGUCGCUCCCGUGUCACCAUUGCCUCCUUCGCUCAGGUUGUCCCUGUGUCGUGCAUUCUGUGUGCUCCGGUGACAGACGGGAGCUUGUGAUGGACGACGAGCGGCUCAGCAAUGGGCUCGCCGCCAGCGCCCCAAUCCCAGCUUGCUGCCUCGUCGAACACCACGUCGUGUGAUGCGUACACCCGCUUGGUCAAGGGGUCAUACACGCGGUACGCCUUCGAACCCUCCUCGUAGCCGAUGAAGAUCAUCUUCGUGCUGCGAUCGUCGAGCUUCUUCAGCCCGGGCCGCGUGUUCUUGACGUAGGCGAUGCAGCCGAAGACACGCAGGAAGUGCACAUCGGGAUUCUUGCCGUGCCAAGCCUCGUACAGGGUCUUGCCAUCGACGAUGCGGGUGUACGAUCGGUUGAGGAUGAACACCGUAGUGGCCACGGCCUCCCCCCAAAAGCAGCUCGGCAUAUUCUCCGCCUUGAGCAUGCUCCUGGCCAUGCCCACGACGGUCUGGUUGCAUCGUUCCACGACGCCGUUCUGUUGCGGCGAGUAGGGCGCCGUCAGGUGCCGCUGGAUGCCUUGGUCCGAGAAGUACUCACCGAGCGCUGUCGACGUGAACUCGCCGCCCCGGUCCGUCCGGAACGUGUGCAGCUUAGCUCCCCGCUCUGCCUCUGCUGCGGCGACGAAGUGUCUGAUGCUUGCCGCAGCGGCGUCCUUCGCCGGCAGCAUCAUGGCCCACAUGUAGCGGCUGUGAUCGUCGACGAUGCGCAUGAAGUAGCGCUUGCCUCCCGGAGUGCUCGGGGUGAUUGGCCCGCAUAGAUCGGCGUGCACCAGCUCGAGCGGGUCCUGCGCUCGGUAGCGCGCCUGUGAGGGGAACGGCGCACGCUGCUGCUUCCCCACCAAGCACGCGUCGCACAACUCCUCGGCAUGCUGCACGAGGGGCAUCCCGCGCACCAAGUCCGCGUGCCCCAUGCGCCGGAGGGCGUCGAAGUGUUGGUGACCGAGCCUUGCGUGCCACCUCCAUGCCUCGUCGCCAGCGUGUGCCGCCAGAGAAAUAGGGUGUGAAAUGUCCGAGCGAACCACAUAAAGGCAUUUGCCAUUUUGGCGUACCUGGGCCAGCUCGUGUUGAUGACGAUCGUACAGAGUCAGGAGGCCGCCUUGGAUCUUGACGAUGCAGCCGUGCUCAUCAAGUUGCCCGAGGCUGAUGAUGCUGGAUUUCAAACGCGGGAUGAAGUAGACGUCUGUCAGAGCGCGCUGAUCGCCACUGCGCACGGUGAACGUGAUCGUGUCGUGGCCUUGGAUGGCCACGCUUGAGCCAUCACCAAACCUGACACUUCCAGUGACGGCCUCGUCCAGCUCUGCGAACGCCGUGCAAUCGCCGGUCAUGUGGUUGGACGCGCCGGUGUCCAGGAACCACCGGCCAUCGCACGGCUCCUCGUCCGUGCCUAGGUUCACCUCUGCGCGCUCCUCGUUGAGCGUGAUGUGCUUCCCCGCGGUCGGUGUCGAGUCCGUAGCGAUCACCGCCAUCAGGAGCAUCGGGUCGUCAUCGGGCCCGUCCGCGGCGUGCUCGCCCUGCUCGGCGAGGUUCGCCUCCUCGCGGAUGCGUGUAUGGCACUCACGUGCCCAGUGCCCGUACUUCUUGCAGUGGCGACACUGAUCAGUAGGCUUCGCGCGGCUGCCGGUGUCGCGCCCACCACUGCGUCCACGGCCUCGUCCGUGACGUCCCCCUCCGCGCCCUGACCCGGAGCCACAGCCUCCGGAUCCGUCAUUCUUGUGGCGCCCGAGGCGCGCAUUCCACUCCUCCUCCGUCAUGAGGAGUUGGCCGCCGCUGGUGUUGACGAAGUCGAGGCUGUAGCGCUCCUCCGCCACCUUGAGCCGCCCGACGAGCUCCUCCAUCGGGAGUGUGUCAAGAUCAACAAGCAUCUCAAUAGAGAGCGCGAUCUGGGAGAACUACCGAGGCACGAUAGAGAGAAACUUGCGGACGACCUUCUUCUCUGGAAUCGUCUCUCCAAGGAGACUGAGCUGGUUCACCAUACCUGUCAGACGCAUGGCGAAGUCAUCGAUGCACUUGCCGUCGUUGAACGUCACGACGGUGUACUGCUUGCUGAGAGUCGCUGCCUUGGCCUCCCUCACACGCGCCACGCCAAGGCGCAUGGUCUUGAUGGCCUCCCAGGCCUCCUUUGUCGUGCUCUUGGCCGCAAGAGUCGCCACCUGUCGGUGUCAAAACCGGCGGAUCUCGGGUAGGGGGUCCCGAACUGUGCGUCUAGGCGGAUGGUAACAGGAGACGAGGGACACGAUGUUUUACCCACGUUCGGGCCCUCUUGAUGGAGGUAAAACCCUACGUCCUGCUUGAUUGAUAUUGAUAUUGUGGAUGUUUACAAGAGUGGAUCCACCACGAGAUCAAGGAGGCUAAACCCUAGAAGCUAGCCUAUGGUAUGAUUGUUGUUGUUGUUGUUGUGUCCUACGGACUAGGGCCAUCCGGUUUAUAUAGACACUGGAGAGGGCUAGGGUUACAUAGAGUCGGUUACAAUGGUAGGAGAUCUACAUAUCCGUAUCGCCAAGCUUGUAUUCCACGCCAAGGAAAGUCCCAUCCGGACAUGGGGCGAAGUCUUCAAUCUUGUAUCUUCAUAAUCUUGGAGUCCGGUCGAUGAUGAUAGUCCCGCCGAUGAUAGUCCGGCUGAUGAUGGUAGUCCGCCUAUCCGGACACCCCCUAAUCUAGGACUCCCUCAGUAGCCCCUGAACCAGGCUUCAAUGACGAUAAGUCCGGCGCGUAUAUUGCUUGGCAUUGCAAGGCGGGUUCCUCCUCCGAAUGAUAGAAGAUUGUGAACACCAGGAUAGUGUCCGGCUCUGCAAAAUAAAUUCCACAUUUCACCAUAGAGAGAAUAAUAUAUACACAAGUUCGAUCUGCUGACGUUUUUUGUGGCAUGAUGUCACGCCACUACCAAGCCAUUACUUGAAUCGUUUUUUACUCUACCACCUCAGCGCAUUUAGCGAAGCGGUUUCCUCGGCACGUCUUGUCGAAGCAGAGAUCGUGUUCCCCCUUAAUCCGGGAUUCUCAUCAAUACAGAUGUGGGUAACCCAACCGCGCCAUUGAUGGUGACGCUUGGGGGAUAAGCGAGUUUUACCAGGCCGGUGGGGGACGCAUAGACUUCGCCCUCCCAUAUAAGGGAUAAGGAUUCACCUUUUCACCUACGCCUUCUUCCUCCUUUGCUUAUCCAUCUCCGCACACUCGAGCUCCAGCGCCCAAGCCCGCACAUCCCGUCUCAACCUUCCCCAGUCAUGUCUGGAGCGGGAGGCAAGUGGAUGACCUCCUCCGUUACGGAGGAGCACAUCGAAAGACUGCGCAGCGCCAGAUACCUGUCCGGCGACAUCGCGCACCGGCUGCCCGACGAGGGGCAGCUCAUCCCCACCCCCAGGCCCCAUGAGAGGGUCAUUUUUCUUCCCCACUUCCUUCGCGGACUGGGCUUUCCACUUCACCCCUUUGUCCGGGGGCUCAUGUUCUAUUACGGCCUGGAUUUCCAUGAUCUGGCGCCGAACUUCAUCCUCAACAUAUCGGCAUUUAUCGUCGUGUGCGAGGCCUUCCUCUGCAUCCAGCCCCACUUCGGCUUGUGGCUCAAGACCUUCAAUGUCAAGCCGAAGGUAGUGAAGGGCACUCAAGCGGAGUGCGGAGGCGCCAUGUUGGGCAAGAUGCCCAACGUCCUUUGGUUCGAAGGGGCCUUCGUGGAAUCCGUCAAGGGGUGGCAAUCGGGGUGGUUCUAUAUCACCGAGCCGCGCGACCCUAAGUGGGCGGCGGCCCCCGAGUUCAGAUCUGGUAUCCCCGCGCAGCUCACCUCCUGGAAAGAGAAGGGCUUGCUGUGGGGUAGUUCGGAGGAGGUGACGGGACUCCAAGCCUGUAUCUAGAAGCUGGUGAAGAAGCUCAGGCUGGUUAACGUGGUCCAAGUCAUGCUCGUCCACCGGAUUCUCCCAUGCCAAGAGCGGGCAUUCAAUCUGUGGGAGUUCAAUCCGGAACAGCACCAGGCGCUGAGCGGGCUCUUCGACACGACGUGCGAAGGCGCCUGGAGGGUGCUGUUUAAGGGCGCCGAAGUCCCCGCAUCCGCGACUGAAGAUCGCGGAUUUCACUCGCAGCGCCAAGCCGACGAGGUAAGUGAUUCUACCCCUUUACGGGACACUUGCUUUUCAUAGUUUGACUCUAUGCGGGUUUUAAUUUCCCCUUUUCCUUUGACAGGACUGGAUGAGGAAGGCGGAGCAGAUUAUCUGCCCGGCCCCUAUGCCAGAAAACCCAGUAGACACCCGUCCAGCGAGGCUGCUGGUUCCGGCACCGCACGUGGUGCCGGAGAAGAAGGCCAAGAAGGAGGCCACGGGUGCUCGAAAGAGUUCCCGUUUUCAGGUGUCCGACGACUCCGGGGCGGACUCCUCCCCCGAAAACGAGGAGGAGAAAGUGGACUCUCUCCCAGAGGGGGGAGAGAGGAAGAGGAGGGCUUCCCCCACAGGGGAGGCCGAAGGGUCCAAGAGGGGAAGGACUAUUCCCCCGGACAGCUCCGCCAACAUCAACGUUGGCGAGGAAGAAUGGUCUUCAAGGGCCAGGCCUCCGGCGAGAUCGUAAGUAUCUGGAUUCCUGAAUGAGUUAUAAUUUCUUUUUAUGCGUCACAUAGUGUCAUUCUGAUGCCGCAUGCUGCCUGUAGUCCGGCCAAUGAUGAUCUCCCCGCUUCAUCGAGCGGGUCGUUGGCUCCGUCGGAGGUAGACUCCAUCCCGACCGCCUCCACCCCUCGCGACACCGAGGACGCCGAGGUGGGAUCCCAAGAAGGGGCCCAUCAGGGGGAGGCUCCGGAGGCGCCACGAGGUGGCCUCACGGACUUUGCGCCGGACUCCAUAUCAGAACCCGCAGUGGCUCUGGAGUCCGGCUGGCGGCCCCUUUGCACGAAGGGCAAGACCGUGACGCCGGCGGCUUCCGUCCAACCGGACGCGCCGGAUAAGUUGUUGGAGGUGCUCCAGAGCGCUUCCAUCGAGGAAGAACACCGCACUAUUAUGAGUGCGGUGAUUCAGAAGGUACAGCUUGCCAAGAGCGGGCUGACCGAAGCCUGCAGUAGCCUUCUAUCAGGCUUUGAGGUAAGAAGUUAAAAAUAUACAAUGUAAUACCGCAUAGACAGUAUCCCCUGAUGCUCGAUUCGGUGUUCGGAAAGAAAAGCCGGACUAAGGAUCUGGAAAAAAAAGAUAUACGCAGGGUUGCUAAAAAAUUAUGUCAAUAUGGGUUGCAGGCUGCGCUGCUGACCUCUGCCGCACUGACUGCGGAGGUCGGUGCUUUGAAGCAGGAGCUCGAGUGGUCCGAGCAAGAGCUCGGCCGCGCCAAGAAGCAGCUCCAGGACAAAGAAGGUGAGUGACACCACUUUGAACUUGUACCUUACAGAAAAGGAUUUAGGUUGCAACAAAAGAUAACAAGGAUAACAUGGGUACUGCAGGGGCCACGAACGAGGUGGCGACCCUAAAGGAGGCCGUGUCUGCGGCCGAACGCAAUGCGGCCGCGGAACGAGCAGAGCGAGAAAAGCAGGAGGCGCGGGUGGCGGUGGUUCAGCAAGAGCUCCAGGCUCUCAUGGAAAAGUAUGAGAGUUUGGAGCGUGACUCAAAGACUCAAGAGUCCGAGCUUGCCUCGGCUCUCUAAAGUGCCAAGACUGCCAAGGCCGAUGCCCAUAAGUCCCUUCAGGAGAUUGAGUUGGUCAGGAAGAUAGCGGCGGGUAAGGCAUUUUUCAUGCAAAGCAAGCAUGUGAAUGUAAAUUACGUGUUACUUACCCGUAUUCGGAGCUCUCCAGGGGCAUUUGCAGAUCUGCCUCGCAGUGUAUCUGAUGCCGCCGCAUUCUAUCGAGCCGAGGAGGGGAGCUCAACAGAGAAGGUCUUCUGGUCUCAGUAUGCUGAGGCCGGCCAUCCAGUGCCCCCUAGCGACCAGCUGAAGCAGCUGGUCAAGCUCCACAAGGCGGCCGAGGAGGGCAUGAAGGGCCUCAUAGUCUGGCUGUGGCCUGGAGAGGCCAUGCCUGGGAGCUACUUCGGCCUCGUGAGACAGUUGGUGGAUGUGUGCCCCUGGGUGGAGGUUAUCAAGCGCUCCGCCUGUACUGAAGGUGCUCGUCGGGCCCUUGCCCGCGCAAAAGUGCAUUGGGGCAAGCUGGAUGCGGAGAAGCUAAUCACUGACGCGCCACCAGCGGGCAAGGAAUAUCGUACGCCUGAAAUGUACUAUAGGACUGUCCUGAAGGGUGCCCGCAAGAUUGCGGAUGAGUGCCCCAGGGAUGUAAUUAUUGAGUAAAUUCGCAAUGUUAUCCUGUGCGCUGAAAACUUUGUUCAUAUGCGCUAAGCAACGCUUGUUAAUUUAAAAUAUUACCUUAUGUGCGGCCGUUUAUUAAAUCUGAGAGAUGGCAAGUCGUCGGCUUCAGCCCCCAUGCCACGAGUGCUGGGGUGUUCGGGAUAAACUUGAGCACUCUUGUUCCCAUUUUUGGGUCCAUCUAGGGAGGCGCUCAACACAACGAACAAGGCAACCGGACUUAUAGUGCUUGAACACUCUCACUUAGCCAUAGAAUUCUAUAAUUUUAAAUUUCGGCGAAGCCCCUAGUAUUCAGAAGACCGAAUUAGGGGCGCUAUCCACGCCUUCGUCGGACAUUAUCCGGAACUUCGCUCAAACCGGCGUAGGUCUUUAAGGACCCGAAAGGACCUCUCGAACAGCGACCAGUCUCUCGCCUUAUCAUGACAGUCAGUUUUAGCUUUCUCCACUGAGGCGUUAACCCGGCUCAACUGGGGCGCAAUCACAGUGGUUCUCCCAGUGCUACCUUAGCCGAUAGAACGGAACGUAAGGUGCCAAACAUGGGAGCCGGGAAAACCCAACUAUUGCCCAAGACAUGAUUCGGAGCCGAUUCAUAUAAUGCUAUAAGUUCGGGGUGCCGCACUUGUGAAAGUGUUCGGACUUUAUCACACCAUAAUGCGGGGAACAUAAGCCCCUGGUGUAUUUGGCCGUACCAAAAUGUACGGAUGCAACAUGUCGUAAAUGAACAUAUAUAUAUAAGGUAAUGCAAUUAUGGGCAGAAAGUGCUGCAUUUUAUUCGAGAAGAUCUGUUAUGAGUACGGAAUGAUACAAAUAGUGCGGAAAGCAAGGGAUUGGACGAAUUAAAGGCGUCUCCCUCCAGGGGUAGGCCACGGAAUGGUGUAUUUAACAAAUUUAAUGCUCGUAAUGGAGACCACCUGAGUGUUCGUCGCGGCCUUUGUCCCUCCCUGGCUGUUGCAUCAUGAGUUCGACAGGUUCGCCGCCGGACAGAGUUCUGUAUAAAAGAGAGAGAAAUAAAAGAUAAAAAGAGAGACACACUUGGGAGCCCCUGGUGUGGUCGAAUCGCACUCUGGGUCUGUUGUGGUUGCGCCUCUCCCCCUAUGCCCAUGGUAUCUCCAGGGCGUAAUUAUGUACGCGGAGAGUUUGUCUUACAAUUGAGCGAGGGCUGGGGUUGAGGCCGCAUUGCUACGCGUGCUCGGAACGUGCCAGGUGGUCUUGGUUGAUGUUGCUCCGGGCGCGUUUGGCCGUGUCCGGUCAUUUAACGGCUGGACUCGAAAAUUGCCUUAAAAGGCUGCUCUGUACUUCUGCCGCGAGAGCCGCUGUAUGUUCCUCCGUUCGGAGGGAGCGUUCGGUGUUUCCAUUAACCGUGAUGACUCCACGAGGGCCUGGCAUCUUGAGCUUAAGGUAUGCAUAAUGCGGCACCGCGUUGAAUUUUGCGAACGCGGUUCGUCCGAGCAGAGCGUGAUAGCCACUGUGGAACAGGACGAUGUCGAAGAUUAACUCCUCGCUUCGGAAAUUAUCCGGGGAUCCGAAGACCACUUCCAGUGUAACUGAGCCUGUACAACUGGCCUCGACACCUGGUAUGACGCCUUUGAAGGUUGUCUUUGUAGGUUUAAUCCUUGAAGGGCCUAUGCCCAUCUUGCGCACUGUAUCCUGAUAAAGCAGGUUCAGGCUACUGCCGCCGUCCAUCAGGACUCUCGUGAGGUGAAAUCCAUCGACGAUUGGGUCUAAAACCAAUGCGGUGAAUCCGCCAUGGCGGAUACUAGUCGGAUGGUCUCUUCGAUCGAAAGUGAUCGGGCAAGAGGACCAUGGGUUGGAUUUUGGGGCGACUGGCUCCAUCGCGUAUACGUCCCUUAGUGCACGCUUCCGCUCCCUCUUGGGAAUAUGCGUUGCGUAUACCAUGUUUACCGUCCAAACUUGAGGGGGGAAUCCCUUUUGUCCUCUGUUUUUCGGCGGCCGGGUCUCUUCCUCGUCAUCGCUGUGUAGCACCUUGUCACUGUUUUGGGCGAUCAAUUUGCCUGCCUGCUUGAAUACCCAACAAUCUCUGUUGGUGUGGUUAGCUGGCUUUUCGGGGGUUCCAUGUAUUUGACAGGAGCGGUCGAGUAUUCGGUCCAAAUGGGACGGGCCCGGAGUGGUUCUUUUGAAUGGCUUCUUCCGUUGACCGGGCUUGGAGCCUCGGAAUCCGGCGUUGACUACCGUAUCCUCAUUGUUGUCGCCAUUAAUGCGGUGUUUGUUUUUGUUUCGACGCAACCUGCCAUUCUGGUCCUUGGUAUCCGGACUGCCAGCAUUUUUGCUGAGGUUGUUGCUGCGAGCUGGCCAGCUAUCCUCUCCGGCACAGAAGCGGGUCAUGAGUGAUGUGAGGGCUGCCAUGGAUUUCGGCUUCUCCUGUCCUAGGUGCCGGGCCAGCCACUCGUCGUGGAUGUUAUGUUUGAAGGCAGCGAGGGCCUCUGCAUCCGAACAGUCGACGAUUUGAUUUUUCUUUGUUAGGAACCGUGUCCAGAAUUGCCUGGCCGAUUCAUCUGGCUACUGGAUUAUGUGGCUUAGGUCAUCUGCGUCCGGUGGUCGCACAUACGUGCCCUGGAAGUUGUCGAGGAAUGCGGCUUCCAGGUCUUCCCAGCAUCCAAUUGACUCUGCGGGCAGGCUGUUAAGCCAUUGCCGAGCUGGUCCUUUAAGCUUGACCGGGAGAUAUUUGAUGGCGUGAAGAUCGUCGCCGCGGGCCAUAUGUAUAUGGAGGAGAUAAUCCUCAAUCCAAACCGCGGGGUCUGUUGUGCCAUCGUAGGAUUCGAUAUUAACAGGUUUAAACCCUUCAGGGAUUUGAUGAUCCAUUACUUCGUCAGUGAAGCAUAGUGGGUGUGCGGCGCCUCUGUAUUGAGCAAUAUCGCGACGUAGCUCGAGAGAGCGUUGUCUGCUGUGUUCGGCCCGGCCGGAGUAGUUGUAUCCGGCGCGACGGUAUUCGUCGUGGGUCUUGGGGCGCCCACGUGAUCCAUAGAUAGAUCUGGAUUGUCUCACCUUGUCCUCCAAUAUAUCUCGCAAGUCCGACGCGUUCCCCCGUGGCUUCAUGCUUUUUGAGCGAUGCCGGGGUACGGUUUUGGUGGAGGGCUUGCAUGCCUCUCUGUCGCGGCCACGAGGUGGUCGGUCUGCCGUAUUGUGCGCUGGUGAUGCAGGUUUGUACGCUUCCUCCUCUAGUCGGGGGAGCAACUUGCGUUUUGGGUAACUUUUGGAGGGGCGUUUGAGUUCAUACUCUUUGGCCGCGAGGACCUCGGUCCAUCUGUCGGCUAGUAGGUCUUGAUCAGCUUGAAGCUGUUGCUGCUUUUUCUUUAGGCUGUUUUGCCAUGGCCAUUAGCCUGCGUUUGAAACGCUCUUGUUCGACGGGAUCCUCAGGCACGACGAAUUCAUCGUCGUCGAGGCUUGCCUCGUCUCCGGAGGGAGGUAAGUAGUUAUCAUCCUCGACCUCUUCGUCUGCCGCCCUCUCGUGAGGGCUUGCUUCUGCCUCCUCCUGCGUUGGAUCGUGCUGGAGGGGGUUGUCUUCGGCACUUUCCGAGGUGCUAUUAUCUCCUGUGCCGGAAUCUCCAUUCUUGCUGUGGCGGGAUUUAGAGCGGCGCCGCUGACGUCGGCGCUUGGGCUGUUUCUUUAAGGAAUCGGCCUCCGCUGCUUCUUUGCCAUCCCCAUCUUUUGGGGUGUCCACCAUGUAUAUGUCGUAUGACGAGGUGGUCUUCCAGUGUCCUGUAGGCACUGGUUCUUGAUAGUCUCCGGCAUCGUCGUCCAUACCGUCGAUGUCUUCGGAGUCGUAGUCGUGUACGUCGGUUAGAUCGUCGACGGUGGCUACGAAGUGGGUGGUGGGUGGGCUCUGAAUUUCUUCGUCGUCCGCGUCCCAACCGUCCUGGCCGUAGUUCGGCCAGGGCUCUCCGGAUAGCGAGAGAUGCUUCAGCGAAUUUAAGAUAUCGCCGAAGGGUGAGUGCUGAAAGAUGUCCGCAGCGGUGAAUUCCAUGAUCGGCGCCCAAUUGGAUUCGACUGGCGGGGGCGCAGAAGGUUCGGAGUCCGGCAGAGAGUCCGGCACCUCGGAGUCAUGAGCUUUAUGCAGGACAAGGUAAGUGUUUGGCUCCAUCGCCGUAGAAGUUGUAGCUCCCGAGGCGGUGUCCAGCCAUCUGUCCUCGAUCUGAGCAAUCGGCUCCGGACUAUGGGUUGGAGCGGAUUCGUGUGCGGCCUCCAAGGUGAUGUCCGGCGGCAGAGUUAGGUCGUGCGAAUCGUGACAGCGCGGCAUGCUCGGCUGUGGCUCAGGUCCAUCGAAGUUCAAGUCCCCGCGGAUAUCGGCCGUGAAGUUUAGGCUUCCAAACCUGACCUGACGGCCAGGGGCGUAGCUUUCGAUCUGCUCCAGAUGGCCAAGUGAGUUGGCCCGCAGUGCGAAGCCGCCGAAUACGAAGAUCUGUCUGGGGAGAAAAAUCUCACCCAGGACUGCUUCGUUGUCGAUUGAAGAGGCCAUCAAGCCUAUCGAUGACGACACAGAGGAACUCUCAAUGAAAGCACCAAUGUCGUUGUCAAAACCGGCGGAUCUCGGGUAGGGGAUCCCGAACUGUGCGUCUAGGCGGAUGGUAACAGGAGACGAGGGACACGAUGUUUUGCCCACGUUUGGGCCCUCUUGAUGGAUGUAAAACCCUACGUCCUGCUUGAUUGAUAUUGAUAUUGUGGAUGUUUACAAUAGUGGAUCUACCACGAGAUCAAGGAGGCUAAACCCUAGAAGCUAGCCUAUGGUAUGAUUGUUGUUGUUGUUGUUGUGUCCUACGGACUAGAGCCAUCCGGUUUAUAUAGACACCGGAGAGGGCUAGGGUUACAUAGAGUCGGUUACAAUGGUAGGAGAUCUACAUAUCCGUAUCGCCAAGCUUGCCUUCCACGCCAAGGAAAGUCCCAUCCGGACACGGGGCGAAGUCUUCAAUCUUGUAUCUUCAUAGUCUUGGAGUCCGGUCGAUGAUGAUAGUCCGGCCGAUGAUAGUCCGGCUGAUGAUGGUAGUCCGGCUAUCCGGACACCCCCUAAUCCAGGACUCCCUCACCACCAUCUCAGGCGGCACCCCGGACAAGAUCGCCUCCAUGGCGAGCCUGUCGUCACUGCGCACUGCCGUGCCGGUCUCGAUCGCCUCCCACAGGUGCCGCCCCUCGAGCUUCACCUGCAUCAGGAGGGCCCAGUCCCCAUAGUUGGUAUGGGUGAGCACCGGCCACGGCGAUCCGCCGCCUCCCUCACGCACUACCCGAGUCUGCACGAUCAUCCCCGGCUGCUCAUCGCCGUCGGUGAUCUGCGCUCGCGGUGUGACGCCCGAGGUCUGCGGCGACUUGGACUUGUCGUCGUUCGCCAUCCCUGAACCUGGCUCUGGUGCCAAUUGUUGCCCCUAAUCUAGAGCUAGAUCUAUGGCGAUGAGAAAGGAGGGAGUCUGGACUUUUGUGUAGCGCACUAAACUGCUGCGUUUUCUUCUUCCUUUAUUCACUGAUAAACUGGGAAACCGGAUCGAGGACCACCCCCUCUACUGGAUCGUGCCAUCCCACGAUCAGGGGCGUGCUCUCGCCAUGAGCUGCGGCCGCGGGAUCGCACAGACUGCGUCCUCGGGCUCUCUAACUGAAACCGAUAAAACAGCUAACUAACCUGACAGCUAACUGAAAGUACUAGGCUGCCGUGGCAGCCCUGACUACUUGUCACGCUAGAUUAUUAGCCAACACCAGAUGGAUCCGAUCUGAAUCCGGCGGCCCCGCGACCACCGGUCAGGCCAACGCAGCCACCACCUCACGACACACAGGUCGCCACCGCCGCGCCACGCACGACACCGAUGGGAGACCCGUCCGCCGCGCCGCUGGACCCCACGUUUGCCCACGUUCCUCUGGAUCCCGCUCUCCCGCGCCAGCCAGGAAUGAGAGGAUGGGGACAAGCCCCGCCGCCGUCCAGCCGGCCAGGCUUCGGCCGGCGGCGCUAUGGACGGCGGCGAGGAGGGGGAGAGGAGAAUGAGAGGCGGCGGCUAGGGUUUUCCCCCUCAGGUCGCCCGCGUGCGUGUGUGUGUGUAGUCGACGGCUAUGUAGCCGACUGCUGUGCUGAAGGUGUUGAGAAGCGCCAAUCCAGAGGCGUAGCAGUCAGCACAGCAGUCGGCUACCAACCCGUGUACUGCCCUCCGAUGCUUGACAUUUUGACCGAUCCAUCAUGCGCCCUCUGCACUGCAGUCCUCCUUCAUUCUGCCGUGCAUCGAGCUGACGGACGCGGAGGAAGCCAGGGUAAGCGCCCUCUGGAUUGGGAUGCUGUGCUGCGCCUCAUUACAGGCGGCCGCGGCGGCGCUGGCACUGCUGCUCCCAGGCCACCGUCGCUGGGCCCGCUGUGCGUCGCCUACCUCGCGCUCGCGGUCACCGUCCUCGACCAUUGCAUGUACGCCAGCACCGUUUGGGUCUUCCUCGCCGCCGACCCAGGAUUUAUCUUCGGCAAGAUCUACUUCACCACGGGCUUCUGCUUCUUCGUGGUGGGCGACCUCCUCAGCUUCCGGGCCCUCCUGGGAGGUGAUGGGUGCGGCAUGAAGUACGUAGCCUAUUUCUUCUGAUCAUGUUCGUGGAUCAG